This 112548-nucleotide long non-coding RNA is filed under the name Citrus maxima (pomelo). Its description in RNAcentral is "long non-coding RNA (CMAX_LNC001174)". The stretch from base 57719 to 57822 matches the Rfam family "Plant small nucleolar RNA R71". Lineage: Eukaryota; Viridiplantae; Streptophyta; Magnoliopsida; Sapindales; Rutaceae. The record is from RNAcentral.
GGUCAAGACUCAAAAGAAGCACUGAAAUUUAAAAAGCAUGGAAUAGUUCUUUUGCCAUGUGUCAAUUAAUGCAAGUUUGAAUAAGUUUAUUGGCUGAACGAUGUUAGCUUCUUUUCCUUUCGUGCACUUUGGUAUGCUAUCAAGUGACAGCCGUAUGUAUGGCUUGCAUAUAGCUGCUGCUGGGAAAAUUGACGAUUUCAUGGCUGGCCGUGUUAUUGUCUUAAAUUAGUUGUGAUAAGCUGUUGCUUGGAGAUUCUGUUGCCAAGACUUUGCUCACAUCAGAAGCUGUGGAAUCUGAACCCUUCGUUAUGUAUCAUCUUUUUCAUUGUUUUAAAACUCUCAGGAUUAAACUUGAGCGAAUUUGUUCGGUUGUCUAUAUAAUCAUGUAUUGAGUAAACUCUCAGGAUACUGAGGGUGAGAGAAAUUAGAGGGUGUAUAGGGAUUUGGAUUUGUUAGGAAGUUAUCAUUUUUAUUUUUAUUUUUAUUUUUUUCCCAGAAAAUCUUCUGGUGGUGCUAUAUUUUCAAACGACAGUCCGAUUCAAAACUUGAUAUUCCAAUUAUAUUCAUAAGCUUCUAUAGUUAUCUUCAAAAAGACAAAUGGAAGGCUUUGAACGGCUUGGGUCUGAGUAUUGUAGUUUGAUUUAUUUUGAUGAAAGUACCUUUUGACAUUGAGAUUCUUUCAUGAGUUAAACAUUCUUUUUAAAACCAACUUAUUAAAAAAAAAAGUAACUAACAUAUAUUAUUUUGUUAGUGCUUUUUAAAUCAAAUAUAAAAAAGAGAACUGUAAUUCUUAGCAACCAAUUUUUCACUGAGUACACCUACAACAAACUACUAAAAAAUAAAGUGAUAGAAAAUGCCUGAUUUUUCGUACUUUCUAAUUACUUUUGGUCUUCAAAUAUGGCGGUUUGUGUAAUAAUAAGCCCAUGUAUAUCUUUAUGCCAUUAGUUUGAUAAAUAGCUAUCAAGGAUAACUUAUUAAGCUAAAAAUAUUUGAAGGAUAAAAUGAUAAAACUAAAAGGGUGGAGUAAUAUAGUUAUUUAGGAUUAUAUAGUAAGUCAACUAUAUUCGAGGGAUAAAAUAUUAAAACUUGAAUAGUGAUAUUAAAAAUAUCUCGACUAUUAUACUGUUAAACCAUAUGCCGUAAUAAUAUUUUUUUAGAGCUUGAAAAUAAUAAAAAGAUUUUAAAAUAUAAAUUGCAUAUUUGUUUAUUACUGUUGUUUGGUCUAAUUUCUUAUGUAGAAUUGCUUGUUAUUCUUUGGACGUUAUUGAUUAUAUUUUUGUCAGACUUGGCGUAUAUAUUCACAUACGUUUUAUUUUGUCAUUUUGUAGAACAUUUUUACACGCCAUAUUAUCACGACUCUUCUGUGUCUGAAUAAGAAGAAAGCAUAAUGCGACCCUCCAAUAGCUUAAUCUAUGGAAUUAUCGUGUUUUGUAAGUUGAGGUCCAAUGGCGUUUUGGCACAUCAUAUGAUAGACCACUAUAUUGCGUUGCUUUACAAAAGAUUAAUAUUUUUAAAAUUUAUUAGGUAAGUUUAGGCUCAGUGGCCCUUUAACUCAUGAUAUGAUAGUCCAGGUUUUCCGUUUUCGGAUCGAGUUCACUUUAACUCUGGUCCCGUGUUAUUAAAAUACCAAUUUCGGAUCGAGUUCAGGCGCCAGAACAAUUUUCUAGAACCUGGCCCGAGUUUAUUUUUGGGCUUGGGCCGGACGACCAAGUCCGCCCUGAUUAAAAAUUUGAGACUUUUCGAGGUUCACAGGGAUUCUGGCAUCCCUAGUCGAAUCAACACCGAUGUGAUCUACACAACCAGUGUACAUACCAUUUGAUACUGAAUCACCAAAUACUUAGAUGUAAUCAGCAACAAUUACAUAUAUAUAUAUAUAUAUAUAUAUAUAUAUAUAUAUAUAUAUAUAUAUAACUAAUAUUAAAAAUUGUUACUUUAUUAUACUUUUCUUCAAUGUAUGCCAUCUUUUGGGCAGGCAUGGCAAUAAAUGAGCAAAAAUGAAGACAACACACACAUUACACACACACACACACACACACACAGAGUGUAAUUGAAGUAUCAAACUGGCAAGGACACAAAAUGAAUUUAAUAGUAUAUAUUAUCUCAUAAUGGCAAAUCUAAAAAACACAAACUUAUUUAACAGCUAGCAAAUUUAAAAAUCACGACAGCAUCAAAAAUUGCGCACACGAAUUUAAUUAAGAGGGACGUAAAAUGGAGUUGAUAUGAUCAGCAAUGUUUUGGGCAUCAGCAGCAGCUCCAUAGAGUCCUUUCCUUGACAAUCCAACGCAGUAUAAACCAUUCUUCCCUUUCCAAUGAUUUGGGUAACUUUGCUUUGGGAUUCCAUCAUCGUUCAGCAUAGAAUCAUCUCCCUACUCAACAACAACAACAACAACAACAAGAAGAAAAUAAAAAAUAAAAAAAAUCUAAGAUUGAUUUGUACUUUUUGUAACCAUUAACGCGAAAGAGUUACAUAUUAUUAUAGAAACAAUAAAAAAAUAAAAUGGUAAAAGGCGAUUUGUUUUGGGGGGGAGGCAAAGUGAGAAUCGUCGUCUUUCCAAUAUAUAUGUAUAUAAAUAUUAUAUUACCUUGAGCCAAACAUUUGUUGAUCUCUUGAAGCCAGUACAGAAAACAAUCGAGUCAAAGUGAUGGGAGUGUCCAUUCUCAAAUACCACCUGGUUGCCUCUAAUGCUCUCCAUUCCCGGCAAUACCUGUGCAGGAGGAAUUUUAAAUUAUAUCACAAGUAAUACAUCAAUCAACUAACUUAGUUAUAUACUACAUGUGUAAUUAAAAAAUUAAUAUAAUUACUGCUUACAUAUUAAUUUUUCAUAAUAUAUAUUUACCUGUGUGUGUAUAUAGGGAGAGAGAGGAUGGCCAGCCAGGUCAUUCAAAAAAUAAAUAUCUGAUCACCUUGUAAUUAAUUACCUGAAUCUGUCCAGACUUGAUUUUCUCACAGGUGCCGACAUCGAUAACCGGGUAUUUUCCAUAAGCAGCUUUCAUGAAAAAAGGACCCUCCCUGGGCUUGUAGAUCCCAUACUUGCUCAAAUCUCCAUAAACAAGCCUGCUAAGCAUCACCAUCAAUGUGUCGACCCCGCCGCAUGGAACAUACUUCAAUAAAACUAACCCCAAAUACACCAUCUCCCUCGACAGCACAUGAACCUGAUUAAUUAAUUAAUGGAGUGGAUAGAUAUAUAGAAAUUAAGUAAAAAAAAUAUGUGCAUGCCAAGUGAAAUAAUAAUGAAUUUACCCACCGGGCUACGGAUAACUAAAGAGGUUUUGGCGGCAUGGUUGGCUAGAUCCAGUGCAAUUUUCAUGCCAGAAUUUCCAGAGCCAACGACCAACACAUGCUUGCCGCCAUAAGGUUUUCCAUUUUUAUACUGAGUGGAAUGAAUAACUUCUCCAGUCCCGGUGGCACUACUGCAGAAAGAACUCAGUCCUCGAACAUCCGGCGUAAAAGGGUUGCUCGUUUCCCCACUUGCAACCACUAGAAACCUCCCGGAAUAAUAUUCCUCAAUCUCACGGCCGGGACUUAGUAAGUUGCUAGCCUUAACGUUCCACAUAUUGGUUGCCUCGUCGUAGCUCGCCGAUUCAACGGAUCUUUGGUACCGUAUUGACGGACCGAUGUUGAAAUGGGAAACGUAGUGAUCCAAGUAUUCAAUGAAUUGGGCUCUGGAGACAAACAUCGGAUAAGAAGAAGGGAAUGGCAGGUGAGGGAGCUGACAAAAUUGCUUUGCUAAGUGCAGACGUAGGCGAUCGUAGGAAUAUUUCUUCCAGAUGGACGCGUAACAAUUUUCUCUUUCGAGGAUUACGUAAGGGAUUGAUAGAAGGCUAAGGCAGGCCGCCGUCGCCAGGCCGGACGGUCCUGCCCCUACUAUUAUCACUUCUACUCCCGCCGCUUGCUCUUUCAUUUCUUCUUUUUCUUCUUCUUCAGGUUAAUUUUGAGUUAAGUUGAUUGUUAUUGCCCAUCUGGGGGUGCUUGUUCUAUUUAUAUACUGAAAUCUUUACGUUAUAUGUACGACUCCAAUCAAUUUUUAUUUUGAUACUAUUGAAGAAGACGUAUGUUACAAGACACUCGAUUCACGAACUCCACGUGGUCGGACUUUAGAGGGAAAAAUUGUGGUGUAAUUCUGGUACCGUAUCACAGUUGCACUCAAUCGUUGGAUUUUGAUAGACCCCACUCAUCUAAUAAAUCUAACGGUUGGAUGCAACUGUGGUACAGUACCACAGUUGCAACGUAGCCGGACCUUAGAGGAAAAAAUGGUGGUGUAAAUGUGUUACCGUACCACAGUUGCACCCAAUCGUUGGAUCUCGAUGGACCCUAUCCAUCUAAGUGGAUCCAACGGCUGAAUGCACCUGUGACACAAUACCACAGUUAUACCGUAGUCGGACCUAUAUAUAUAUAUAUAUAUAUAUAUAAAGUGGUUUCCGAAAUAUUUUAAAGUGCAAGAAAAGUUCAACAAAAUUUUAAAACAAUAGAAUUUAAGAAGUUUAAAACUUAAAACAAUUAAACUGCAUAAUUUAUGUUUUUUUUUCAAAUGUUUCUGCACUAUAAAAUUUUGAUUGAAACCUCUCUGUUUGUAUAUAUGUUCGCUGCCACCCCCACCGUUUUAAUUUUCUCAUUCUAUGUGAUAAAUCAAUAUUUUUAUACGUCCUUAGUGUUACGAGAAAAACUUUUUACGUAGGACCAAAUGAUUAGAGUACUACCAAUUUAACAGAUUGAUUGAGGUAAUAAUUAAUCAUGCACAAGUCUUUCUCCAAAGUUACCAUGCUGACUAUAAUAUCUUCUUAAGCGUGCAUUUUUUUUCUUCUCUUUAAUACAAAAAAAAAAAAGAAGUAUUACAUUUGCAUAUAAAGUAACAUUAUCUAGGUCAUGUUACUAUUAAGGAAAAUGCUAUUUGCAUAUGAAAAAUAAAGUAAGGAUACUUUUACACAAAGACAAAAUUAGUAAAAUGAAUAAGUUUGUUUAUAAUGAAAUGUUUCUUAUUUUUAAUGACCUUGUAUAAUUUUAUGUAUAAUAUUAUGUACAAAUAAUAUUACCUACCAAAUGGUUAUGCUACCUCGAAUGGACGCAAAAUUAUUGGAAUAUAUUAAAACCAUAAAUUGUAUAACUUUUUUUUUUUUGGUUUAUUUAAUUUUGGCUUAAGAGAGAAGAAACAGAUUAGCAUGCUUUAUUUGAUUGAAAAAGACAUUGAAAAUAGCAUUCUUUGUGUUUCCACAAAUGAAGUCAUCCUCCCAGAUUUCAGUUUAUUUGGAAAUUUGACAUCCACAUGUUCAUUUGGAAUUUCGACAUCCACAUUCAACAAUCCUUCAAAGGAAAUAAGUUGGAAGAUGAAUUUCCCUUUCUCAAUAACUACCAUACCUCAUCAAAAUUGAAGUCCCAACUCAUAAUAUAUGACGUACGGUCCAGAAAGACUCAACCAUAUACUUGUAUUCUUGAAUGGAUAAUUUUGCCAGCAUGUUUCCUUGUUUGUUGGGUCAAAAAUAAAAGAAAUUAGGGAAGAAGAAAAAAAGCAAAUUGAAUUUGUCAAUGGAAACGUAAAGAUUACUUGACGUUGCCAAUAAGGUAUUUGAUUGACAUCUCAACUCUGACGAACGGCACUCGAAAUUGUAAUGUGAAAACACAGAAAUGAAGGGCCAAAUUAAUUAAAAGUAAAGAGGCUUUUAUGAUGUGGUGCAAGGCUUUAUGAAAAAAAUAGUCAGGUGAUAUUCUGCUUAACUAUAUUAUUGUUAACGACAUGAUUGGAUUGGGUCUGCUUAACUAUAUAAUAUUCUGCUUAAGAAUUAAUGAAAUUAAUAAAAUAAUUAAAUAUUAUUAAUUUAAUCAGGUGAUAUUCGUUUUGGGUUUAUACAACCUCGAUCGAGUCGAUGCUUCUUGAAGUCGUCUUGAAUUGGGGGGAUCCAGGACGAACAAAUAUGAAGCAACAUGAAAGGCGAUAACGACUCUCACACACAAAAUCAGAUAGUAUAUAUAGGAGUAACGAAAUCUCUUUUCUAGAUAAAGUAAGAGAUAGGUUAAAUUGAAAAAUAAUAAUAAUAAUAAUAAUAGCACAGUGAGUGACUUCAUGAAUUUAUGAGAUAACCAUGUAAUGCAUCAGAACUUGAAAAAUAAAAAUCAUUAAAAAAAAUUAAAAAUCAAAGUUAUGCAUUUUUGUAAGGGUGUUUUAUGUGAUAAAUACACGUUUAGUCUCUAUAUUUUGGGUUAAGUACUCAUUUAGUCCUCAUAUUUUGAAAAACGUCUCCAAGAUUUGUUAUGCUUUUGUCCUUAUAUUUUUCGUCUCAACUUUUACAAAAACAUCCUUGCGGGGCAUUAAUAAAGGGGAGAAAAUAUUAAUUUGUCAAAUUAACCGCAAAAGUAAACAAAAAUUAAUGUAAAAAUUUCUUACUAUUAUUUUUAUUUUUAAAGUUAAUUUGAUAUUAGUUUGGUACUUGUAAAGAAAAUUAUUGUAAACUCCUACGCCCAUCGGAGAUCCUCCUUUCUUCUCAGAAUUAUACAAAAUAGUAUUAAAAUCUCCACCUAACAGCCAAGGACCCCGGACAGUCAAAGCUAUCUUUGCCAACUCAUUCCAAAGAUGUCUCCUGAUGCUUGGAUUAGGACUAGCAUAGAUUGCCGUCAUCCAAGUUAGCAGGUUAUUGUUCCUUGAAAUCUUGAGGUGAAUGAACUGAGUAUGAUUCCCCACUAUCUCAACUUCAAAUAAAUUUUUCCAAAGGAUCCAAAUGCCGCCCGAAAAACCCUCAGCUUCCACUCGGUGAGACUUGUCAAAACCACUAUUCUUGAUGAAGUUAUCCGCCUUGGAACCACUGAUGCGAGGCUCCAUUAACACCACCAUUACGGGCUUGUAAUUAUUAACCACAGCAGAGAAAGAACGACGAAAGGACGGUGAAGCAGCACCUUGAGCAUUCCAAAACAUAGUUGUAAUACACAUAACAAAAAAAUUUAAAAGGAGAGCCAGGGGAAAAACUAAGACAGCCCUAUGGCUUCAGCUUCAUCAUCCAUGAAGGUGUCAGGAACCCCUGAAUUAUCUUCAUCAGUUAAAGGCACACUCCUACCCGCAACAUCUGAAUCAAGCUCCCUAAAAGGUCCCCCCCGGAGAUUAAGACUAUUCAUGCCAUCCUCAUCGGGGGGCUCUUUAUCCAAAUUCUGGGCCAAAACUUCCUUAGGCAACUGUUCAUGGUGAGACCGAGAAUGAGGAAAUUGAAGCUGAGGGUUAGGGAAAGAAACUGCACUAUGGUUUAACGGGUUAAGGGUUACAUGAACAGGCAUCGGGGAAGCAGCCAUUGUGUUGGGAUGGGCAUGCAUGCCAUGCAUGGAGCUACAGGGAACAUCAGAGGUAGCACUUGGUUCAGAUGUGGUAAGACCCUUGAGAUGUGCGUGCAUGCCUUGCAUGGCUAGGGUAGGAUUAUGUGGUUGGAAAGGCUGGCCACGGCUAUGAUUAUUGGGGUUGAUAUUUUCAGCUAUGGAGUUGUUUGCCCGAACGGAAAUUUUCUUGGUAGGAUAUUUUCGUAUAAAGUGACUCACUUGUUUCUUUUUCAUGCUCCUGGAUUUUGGGGCUAAAGUGUUGGGAUUUUCUAAUGUUGGCUCUGGAAUUUCCUGAUGGAUUACCGAAGUGUUGUCCUGAUUUUGUGGUGCAAUUUCCUCAUUCAUCACUUUGCCUAAGACAUCAAACCGCGACUCAUGAACAUUUAGCCCCUGUUGAUCCUGAACCGAGACCUUAGGAGAAACCCUUUCUGAAACUCUACGGGGGCGAGGUUUACGGGUUACCACCAUCCACGAUCCAAACUUAGACGCAUUUCGGUUAGAACCCUCCUCCACUACAAUAUCCCGGUUUGCAGCAACAGGACAAGAAGUUGGCAGUUCAGCUUCCACAUGCGUGGUACCACCGUCAGGGCAAGCAUCUUGAUAAUGGCCAAACUUGCCACAGUAAAAACAAAUCAAGGGCAGAUUUUCAUACUCCACCUUUUGGAUUCUUCCCUCAAAAUUAAAUUGAGAAACCAGCGGCUUGUCAAGGUCUAGUUGAACCGCAAUGCGAGCAAAUUUUCCCCUUUGGGCUGCGGCAGUGAGAUAGUCUAUCUUAAUGACCGGGCCAACAAUUUGCCCUAACCGCCGUAUAAUAGUUUUAUGAUAAAAGUGAAUAUUCAUGCCAGACAAACGAAUCCAAGCCACAAUACGAUCAACUCUAUUCGUGAUAGCAUCAAACUCCGGCGUCCAUUGCUGAACAAAAAGAUAAUGCCCCAUGAUGGUCCACGGCCCCUCAGUAAGAGCAUAUUCCACAUCUCCCUCGUUCUGAAAACGGAUCAGGUAAUAGUCAUUAGCUAAGUCAAUGAUGGAGAAACCCAUUGUAGAACUCCAGAGUCUCUUCAAACGCUCGCUGAUAACUCUAUAUCCCAGGUUUCGUCCAAGAGUUUUAACGACAACUGAGUUUGCCCAAGGUUUUGCUAGUCGUUCGUGGACCCUCUGUGAGAAAGCAAUAUAGGGCAUAGAUUCGUCCUCCUUACAACAAACAUCCUCCUCUUCCAGUUCCCACUCGUCCCUCAUGCCAAAAACCAUAUUUGCAGAGCCCCCAUUCGCCUCCAUGGCGAUAUCACGGUAGGAUAAGGGCUUAGGGUUAUCUCCAUCAGCCCCUUCAGCCCUAAACUUUGUCUUUUUGGUGAAUCGGUCACUCGCCAGCGGCGGUGGAGAAGCUUUCGCGGAGCUCAUUAGGGCACGGAUUCUUUGUUUUGGACUCACUCAAAAUCUGGGCGUUUCACUACUCAUUCGGCUUACUUGGCUUUUUCGAAUGAUACCCCCAUGCAUGAUGACAGGCCUUGGCGGACGGUUUGGAGUUGGAAGGGUCCCCAAAGUGUGAGGAUCUUCUUAUGGCAAGCGUUUCACAAUCGUCUGAAAACAAAGGCCGAGUUAGUUCGUCGUCACAUCCCGGUAUCAACCUCCUGCGAUCGGUGUGAGGCUGCGACUGAGGAUGCUUUGCAUGUCUUGCGGGACUGUGCUUUGGUUAAGCGUUUUUGGCUCCUGAUUCUCCCAGAAAAUAAACGACAUCAAUUCUUCAAUUGGCGGCUCCAUGAUUGGCUUCGUAUGAAUCUGGGGAUCGUCGGAGGGCUAGGGAGUGUUUCUAAUUGGGCCAUCUUCUUUGGCAUUGCUCUCUGGAGACUUUGGUUUUGGAGGAACCAAUUCAUCUUUAAUCAAGUUUCUAUGGAUCCGAAUGUUGUUUUAAUGGAUGUUUUUCUGCGCACUGCGGAAAUGCAAAAGAUUCAUACUCAUCCGCUUACCUCAGGACAUACGAGGGUGAUGAGAUGGAUCUCUUGGAAACCUCCAGAUUGGCCUUGGUGCUCUUUGAACACUGAUGGUGCCCAUAACAGGGAGGGAAUUUCUACUGCUGGGGGAUUGAUUCGCGAUCACAUGGGUCGCUGGCUUAGUGGUUUUGGGAUGAUGAUUGGUUCCUGCUCUGUUACAGUAGCGGAGCUUUGGGGUUUGUAUCAAGGGUUGCAACUAGCUUGGAAUUCUGGUAUAAGAAAGCUUAAAGUGGAAAUAGAUAGUCGUUGUGUGCUGCAGUUGGUGACCAAGCCAACAUUGGAAAUCAAUCAUUAUGCUUCUCUGAUUCGAGCUAUCAAGGAUUAUUUAAAGAUGGAUUGGCAAGUUUCUGUCUCCCAUAUUUACAGAGAAGCUAACUUCGCAGCGGAUUAUAUGGCGAGCCUAGCUUUCUCCAUCCCUCUUGGUCUUACUAUUUACCAUACUCCCCCGUUGGGAGUUAGCCCUUUUUUGUUUAAGGAUGCUUAUGGGAUUGCCCAUUCUCGCUCGGUUGUUCUUUAGCUCUGCUUAGAGCCCUUUUUUACCAAAAAAAAAAAGAAAAUUAUUGUAAAAAUUGUUGUAAGAAUAUUUAGCAGUUAGAACUAAAUAGAAAUUUAAUUCAAAAUAUAAAAGGAUUAAAAAAAAAAUUCACCUAUAUUAUUUUUAGUGUUUUUGUAAUUCGAAGUAAAGCAUAUUUCAUGCUGUUAAAUCGGGUUGACGAUCCCAUCGGAAAGAAAAAGAAAAGAAAUAUGAGGUGGAUGAUGACUUGCAUUCUAAGUCAAAGGAAUAUGCUAAGUGCUAAGAUUUGGUUGUUCACUGGACGCGCUCAAAUUGGUACUCUUUUUUUUUUAUCAAUUCAACGAUUCAACCAACGGCAGCAUGCAUUGCAUGCACAGGUUCAGAUACCUGCAACUCACUCCGGCCCCCACCCGAAAAAGCCAAACCCUCAGCCCUCUUUGAGUCUUUUACUAGUCUAUGUCCGAAUGAUUGUGUGCAGACAAAGCAAUUUAUUUGGGUGUCAUCGAGGAAACGGCCAUGAAUGUGGGUUAAGAGAAAGUGGUUAAAAAAAAAAGGGGGGGGGGGGGGGGGGGGGGAAUUGGGAGAAAAUGUCAAAUCUCCAACCCUUUUUAUUAUAUCCCACUAAUUUUUUUCACAUCAAAAUCUUAACCAAAAAAAUUAAUUUUUAUUUUGUGGAUGGAAUGUUAACAUUAAGAGAGUAUACUGGAGGGGAUGGUAACAAAGAAUAAUAACGUAAAUUCUCAUUUGUAAGUAACGAUGUAUGUUAUUUUCGCUCUCUUUGUAAGUUCUCAUUUCUCAAAAGUACUGUAGAGCAUACUGUAAUAGAAUAACAACAUAGUCUGUAAGCUAAUUUGAAUUUUUUUUUCAACUUAAAUGUUAUAAUGGUAAUUAUAAUGGAAUAAAAUGUAAAUUAUGUUGUUGUUUUUAUGGUGCAUUUAUUUUUUAUUUUUGGAUCAAGGAAUUAGAAUCUCAAAUUGAAAUUAUUGAUAGUGUUUACUUGAUAAAGUGAAGGUGAAAAUAUAAGUGAAAGUGAUAGGCUUUGUUGGACCAAAAAUAAAAUAGGCCCAAUCAAGACCUAAAUAAAUUUAAUCCCAAUAAGACCCAUCUAAUAAAUUUACUCUCGAUUAAGUCCACAAAGCGUUGAACAAAUCACCUAUAAUAAUCCUCCUAAGUAAUAAAGCUUCAAAACCCAAAGGGUUCCAAGAUCCAAGACCAAAACUUAUUCUAGAGUCCUAAGAUCUAUCAUAAGACAAAUCACCUAGGAUAAUCCUCCUAAGUAACAAGACUUCAAAGCCUAAAAGGUCUCAAAGUCCAAGACUAAAAGAUUCUAAAGUCCUAGGAUCUUAUCUUAAGACAAACCACCCAAAAUAAUCAUCCUAGAUGACGAGGCUUCAAAGCUCAAAAGAUACUGAGAUCCUAGGCUUCUAUUCUAAGACAAACUAUUUAUGAUAAAUCUCCUACAUUCUAAGGUUCUCAUCAUCACAGAGUUUUAGUAAAAAUAACUUAAGGUUAAAACACUUCUUUCUUUAAUAUAUAGACAAACUUGCAUAUUCAUGUGUUAAUUAACAUGGCCACAAACAAACAAGUGUUGCCAGACGUGAUAAGAACAAUAACACUUGUCAUUAAAAUAACUAGGACUUAAGUCAAAUCAAUUUCGCCUAUAAAUAUGUCUUUUAUUCUCAGUAAAAGGUAAGAAAAAAUGGACUCAAACGGAAAAAUGAUAACUUUCACUUUCUAAUAUUUUUCUUUCUAAAUAUACAUUUCCAAAAGUCUGGUGACUAACUUGACCAUAGGACGGUUUAUGCCGGCAAAGCCGGCUUUCUGAUUCUUUUCUUGUGUUUGUAAAGUAUCACUAAAUAAGAACAUUCUCAUUAUCUAAAGAAGUGAACUCAGACAACGAUAUAUAAAGGCCUAUUAAGAUCAACCUAAAGGGUAAACUCACUAUCGUUAAAUCCAACAAAAAGUAACCCAAGUCCUAAGGGGGUCGUCCUCAGUUGGAAUUUCUACAUAAUAAGUUGGGACAAAAUUUGCACAAACAGGCUUCACACAAAUUUAAGAUUAGGAUUUGAAAGUUUGAUUCCCAAAGGGCUUAGGAUUUAGAUUCCAAUUCCUUUGACUGAUUAUUUUAUCCCCACCUAAAUUAUUUAACUUCAAUUUUAUCCUCCGUUAAAAAUAUUAUAUAUAUAUCUUUUUCACAAUUCCCAAAAAUCUGAACCACCAAAAUCACGUUGCCGGUCAUCACGUAGCAUCCGUUGGAAUUGUGCACUGAUUGUCAAUCUCGCACUACAGCAGACGUUCGUUGAUAGUUAGCCUUACAAACACUGUAUCUCUCCAUCAAAUGUGGAUUGAUAAUGAGAUUGUUGGUGGUGAUAAAUAUCGAUGGUGAGAUUGAUAAUGAUAAAGAAUAUUGAUGAUGCUGCAUCAUCAAAUCUGAUAAAGAAGCCAUAGUAGCUAGGGGAUCUUAUUCUUUAUCAUCGGGAAGUACUGAGGAUGAUGAUGAAGAAGAAAAUAAAUUAUAAUAAUACAUAAUAAUAAUAAUGAUGAUAAUAAUUAAAAGAUAUUUUAAUGACUUGUAACAUUUUAUUUCGAUCCUAUAAUAAAAUAAAUAUAUUAAUUAAAAUACAACAACUUAUUUUUAUUUUAAUUUAUGUAAUUCAAAUAAAUAACUUAUUUUUUAUUUUCAUUUCAUCUGAGUUCGAUUCGAACUUAUUUCUAAUUGCCUUUCAUUAUCGAAUGUUAAAUGCGCCUUAAAUUUUCUACACCAAAACCAAACGCCGAUAUGUCAUUAGUCCCUAAAUAUUUCAGAACCAGACUCCGUGAUCCAGGUCCACUGCCCUUUAAUUGAUUGGGUCCCACUAAUUCGAAGGUCGCACCCCACCCUUUUAAUUACUUUGGAUUUUCAAAAAUUUUUAGGACCGGCGAAGAGAUAAUAUGAAAAUCACAAGCAUGUUGUGCAUUUGAAAAUUGAAAUUGUGACGGGAUCAGCAUCCACCUAAGAGCAUUUAAUAUAAACAUAAAAAUUAUUAAGAAUCUCCACAAUAUAAUUAUAUAAAUAAUAAAAUAAAUAUAAUUUAAAAUUAUGUCUUAUAAAAUUAUAUGAAUAAAAUUAUAUUUUUAAUUUUUAAUUUCAAGUCGGGUCGGACAUGGUAGGACCAAAACUUUGACCCGAACUUUAAUCGGCCAUAAUGUUUUAGCCUGAACCCGACUUAAAAUCUUUAAAUUUAGGUUAAAGUCUGAAAAUUUUGGAUCACAUCAAUCAAGUUAAAAAUUAGGCCCGACCUUUUUAACCAUGCAUACCAUCUGCUGCAGAUUUAUUUCGUUUUUAUGAACAAACUUCGAAUGUUAUUGGUAAAUUUGUUAAUACGAAUCAAUAAAAAAUAGCCUAAAGAUUUGAGGAUUGGGCAUUUAAAUUCCGAAUAGUACAAAAACCAUUAAAUAUCCAAUUAGAAUAUGAGAUGCCGUACAAGUAAAAUCUGGACUCUGGCAUCGUCAAGGUAACAGGUUUCCUUUGUCCACCAAUCAAAAACACAAAUUAAAGUUUACCAGAGAAUUAGACAGACACCACCUCUGAUGCCAUUUAUAUUAAAGGUUACAAGCAACUUACCAUUUUUGUAACUUCAUUCCACUAUUGCAAGGAAUGGAGAAAAAUCCCCAUGGUAUACCCCGUAGGGGACCUAAUCCCUUGCGUUUUCAUAUUCUAAAUUAUAUUCAGUUAAAAUAUUAAAUAUUAAAUACAUUCUUAAUAUUAAUAUUCUUAGAUGAAAUUCUUUUGCUGACUUAAGAAUAAAAUAUUAAAUAAUGUUAUUUUUCUUUUAUUGUGUAACGUGGACCAAAAAAAAAAGGAAAAGAAUUUAAUAAAACCUUCAUUCCGCCAACAUGCAUGUUAAUUGUUUCCAAAUUCCAACCUCCGUACUCUCUUGAGGAGUUUCCCAUUCAUCAAUUAUUAUUUUUUUAUAAUCCAUACCAUCCUGAUAUAAUUAAACACCAUUAAUAAUGUACCAGCCUUUAAAUAGUAAUUAAUUUAUUUAUCUAAUUCACCAAAUGUCAUUUCCUGUACAUAUCUCCAUUGGUAUCAAGAAGAGGCAGAACCCAAAGAAACGUUUCUUGCAUCUUCAUAUUUGUGCGAAUUCAUCCUUUCAUUGAGAAUAACCAUUUCCAGGCAGCAGUUGGCAAUCAAUUCAUGCGCACGUCGAUGCUAUUCAUAGAUAUUAAAGACAAUGAUGAACCAAAGGUGAUAAAUCAUAAAUGCAUAAUUACCAAACCUCCAUCCUUCUCUCAUUAUGAUUUGAUUUUAAAUGAAUUAUUGCUUGGUAACAUUAUUUCCAACCAUUGCAAGACCCUUUUUUUUUUUUUUCUUUUGGGAGAAAUUUCAAUUGAAAGUGAAACCUUUAGACAUUUACCUAACGAAGUUAGUUAAUCGGGAGGGUUGGAAAAAAAAAAAGUUGACGCAAGUCAAUGCACAAUAAUUAAUUAAAUCCGGAGUGACUAAACAGAGCCACGACUUUUUCAAAAAUAUCUGCAUUCAUCACUUUCUCCAGCAGCUAGUCAGCUACACACGAAUCAAUUUCUCUCCUCGUUUGUUGUCAUCCAAAAUUGUUCACCAAUACCAUGGCUGAUGCAAUCGUUUCCACUAUCUUGGCGCAGCUGAUUUCCUUCGCUGCUGAAGAGAUAAAACAACAGGUGAUCGAAGUUACACCCCUCAUAUUACAAAUACUUCCAAUGACUUUAAUUGGUUUUUUUAUUAUCAAAAACAUUAUAAUUAUAAUUUUUUUAAAUUUGAAUUGAAUUUAAUUAAAAGGUGAUGUAGUAACCACUCAUUUUUAUUUUAUUUCAUUUAUAUUCUCGAUAACUAACCAUAUUUUGGUAACUUAAUAUAACUCUCGUACAUAAGAAAUGAUCAAAACCCACAAUUUUAACUCUGUAUAAAUAUUCAACGUUGAGUCAUUAAUUCUCAACUCAGCACUGAAUCCCAUAGCUAUUACUUAGACUCUAUGAAAAAUUUCAUAGUUUUCUUACAUUCUUUGAGUUGGGUAAGUGAUUUCCUAUAAUUUCUUUUCAAGUUAAAUUUUAAUUUGGUUUCUGAUAUAGUCUCUUUGCCGAAUUGUCUCUUUUAUGAUUCUUGGAUUUUGGACUUCAACUUUUUAGGAUUUGAUAGUCAUAUUUUAUGCCAUGCUCAGAUUGAUUUUCAUGAUUUUUAGUAGCUGUUGAGUGACUUACAAUUUGACGAAAGUUUGAAAGGAAAAAUGUUUCAGGAUUAUGUUUUAAUUGACCUUUUAGUGGAAAUAGGAUGCUUAUAACUUAAUGUGGAUGGUUCGUAAAAUCAUGAAAUUUGGAUAGGAUUCACUAGAAAUAUGUACAAGACUCUCCAUAAAAUUUCAUAAUUUUUCAUUCGGUAUGGGGUGGCACAGGUGAAACUUGUGUUUGGUGUUGAAAAAGAAGUGAAAAGCCUUACCAGCCACCUUCAAGUCAUUCAAGUUGUGCUCGAUGAUGCAGAGGAAAAGCAAGUGAAGGACAAAGCUGUUAGUCUUUGGCUGGGUAGGCUCAAGUACGCAUCCUACGACAUUGAAGAUGUGUUGGAUGAGUGGAUCACAGCAAGACGCAAAUUGCAAAUUGAGGAUGGCAUUGAUGAAAAUGCUCUUGUUGCUCCUCAUAAGAAAAAGAAGGUAUGUCUCUGCUUUCCCGCCUCUUGUUUUGGAUUCAAACAAGAAGAAUUUGGUUUCAAACAAGUCUUUCUCCGUCAUGACAUUGCCAACAAGAUCAAAGAAAUGAAUGAAGAGCUACAUGAUAUUGCCACCCAAAAAGACAUGUUUAAUCUUGUUAAGAGUGGCAAUAAAAGUAGUGAAAGACCAAGGCGUGUACAGAGUACCUCCUUGAUUGAUGAGGAAGAGAUUUGUGGUAGAGUUGGUGAGAAGAAUGAACUCAUAAGCAAGCUGUUGCGUGAGAGUAGCGAGCAACAAAAAGGCCUCCAUAUCAUCUCAAUUGUUGGUAUGGGAGGCAUAGGGAAAACUACUCUUGCACAACUAGCUUGUAAUCAUGACGAGGUGAAGAGAAAGUUCGACAAAAUUCUGUGGGUGUGUGUAUCAGAAACUUUUGAGGAGUUUAGGAUAGCCAAAGCGAUCGUUGAAGUUUUGGAUGGUCGUGAAUCUCAUUUAGCUGAAUUCCAUUCUCUUCUUCAACAUAUUUGUGAAUCAAUUGCAGGGAAGAGCUUUCUUCUUGUCUUAGAUGAUGUGUGGGAUGGAAAUUACUUGAAAUGGGAACCAUUCUACCGUUGUCUAAAGAAUGGUCUCCAUGGAAGUAAAAUUUUAGUUACCACACGUAAAGGGUCAGUCGCAUCCAUGAUGGGAUCCAUAGAUAUUAUCUCCGUGAAGGAGUUAGCUGAAGAGGAAUGUUGGUUGUUGUUUAACAAGAUAGCAUUUUUUGAUCGGUCCAUCGAGGAACGUGAAAAAUUAGAACAAAUUGGGCAAAGAAUUGCAGGCAAGUGCAAAGGUUUACCUCUUGCAGCAAAGACAAUAGGGAGUCUCAUGCGUUCUAAACAAACUGAAGAAGAGUGGAAAAGAAUUUUAAAUAGUGAUUUAUGGAAAGUAGAAGAGAUUGAGAAAGAUGUUUUGUCCUCUUUAUUGUUGAGUUAUAAUGAUUUGCCAUCUAGAGUAAAAAGAUGUUUUUCAUAUUGUGCUGUCUUUCCAAAAGACUACGAUAUAAAAAAAGACAAACUAAUCACAUUAUGGAUGGCUCAAGGUUAUCUUAGUGCAGAACAAGAUGAAGAGAUGGAGACAGUAGGUGAAAAGUAUUUUGGCAUCUUAGCUUCUCGCUCGUUUUUUCAAGAGUUUAAGAAAAGUUAUGAUAAUCGGAUUAUAGCGUGUAAGAUGCAUGAUAUGGUACAUGAUUUUGCCCGAUUUGUAAGUCAAAAUGAAUGUUUUUCGAUGGCAAUUAAUGAUAGUGAAGAACCAAAUGCUACAAACUCUCUUGAUGAGAAGGCCCGUCAUUUAAUGUUAAUCUUUAGUAUAGGGGCUUCAUUUCCUGUUUCCACUAGUAGAGUUAAAAGAAUGCGUAGCCUCUUAAUUAACUAUAGUGGAUCUGAUCAUUCAUCAUUAAAUGGUGAGAUCCUAGAAGAAUUAUUUGGGGAAUUGACAAGUUUAAGGGCAUUAGAUUUUGGCGAACCGUACGACACAAAUUUUUCUUUGACUCUGGAGAUUCCAAGAAAUAUAGAAAAGCUGGUACAUUUGAGAUACCUUAAUUUGUCUUAUCAGGGAAUAAAGAAACUACCGGAGACAUUGUGCGAGUUGUAUAAUCUAGAAAAGUUAGAUAUUAGUUGGUGUUUUAAUCUUAAAGAAUUACCUGAAGGGAUUGGGAAGUUAAUAAACAUGAAGCAUUUACGAAAUAGAGGUACUAAUUCUUUAAGGCACAUGCCAGUAGGGAUUGGGAGAUUAACGGGUCUUAGGACCUUGGGUGAGUUCCACGUGAGUGCAGGAGGAGGUGUUGAUGGUAGGAAAGCGUGUAGGCUUGAAUCUCUUAAAAACUUGGAACACCUUCAAGUAUGUGGUAUACGUAGACUGGGUGAUGUAUCAGAUGUGGGCGAGGCUAAGCGAUUAGAACUUGACAAAAGGAAAUACCUCUUCAGUUUGACCCUUGAGUUUGAUAAGAAGGAAAGAGGAGGAGAAAUGAGGAAGAACGAGGACGAUCAACUUCUUCUUGAAGCCCUGCGGCCACCUCUCAAUUUAAAGGAAUUAGAGAUACAGUACUACCGAGGCAACACUGUUUUCCCCAGCUGGAUGACGUCAUUAACCAACUUAAAGAGUUUAGAUCUCUCUUCCUGCGAAAAUUGCGAGCAGCUGCCUCCUUUGGGAAAAUUGCCAUCCCUUGAAGCACUCAGCCUAUUGAUUAUGCGGAGUGUGAAAAGAGUGGGUGAUGAAUUUUUGGGGAUAGAAAGUGAUCAUCAUGGCUCAUCUUCAUCUUCAUCGGUUAUUAUUGCCUUCCCCAAAUUGAAAUCACUUAGUAUUGAGGGAUUGAUGGAAUUGGAGGAGUGGGAUUAUGGGAUUACAAGAACGGGAAACACCGUCAUCAACAUCAUGCCACGUCUUUCUUCCUUGACAAUUGGGAGUUGUCCCGAAUUAAAGGCACUGCCUGACCACAUUCAUCAAACGACAACAUUGAAGGAAUUGCAUAUUUGGGAUUGCAGGCUUCUGGAAGAACGUUAUUGCAAGGGGGAAGGAGAAGACUGGCCUAAGAUAUCACACAUUCCCAACCUCCAUAUUGGGCUUUGACAAGUAAUUUCUUCUCUUACUCUGAUUUGCUUUGUUCUUGUUUUUAAUCUAAUUAAGAAGCGUAAAUAGCAUUUUGAAUCAAACUCUAUAUCAGAAAUCUGCAAUACUUACUUUCUAAUAUUCUGAUUUUCAUAUCCUAUGAAUAUACGAUUUUUAAUUUGUGAGAUGGGUAACGUUAUUGUAAAAGAUUAUUAAUGCAAUAUGAGUAAUUCUUUUACAGGACAAGUGACCUACAUUUAGUUUGGCUUUGGAGUUGAAUAAUAACGUUUUGAGGUCCCGACAUCCAAAAAACGAAGCUUAAUUUGCCACAGAUUGAACGUAUUGCCAUUAUUGACAAUUUUCUGCACAAGCGUGACUGAACUUAGGUUGAUGUCAAAAGAGGUAAAUUAUUGGCAUGCCUGACUAUUUUGACCAUUACAUGAUUCAUAAGUUUACAUUAAUUUUGAUUUUGAGUUGAGUGAUUAGUUUUCUAGGUUUGCUUACUUUAACUGGGUGACCAAUUUCUUGUAACUAAAUGUAUGAUGUGAUGCAGGAAGCAGGGUAGGAUAUGAAAGAGAAGCUUAUUAGAGGAAGGAUUGCCAGUAACAGAAUCCAAAGAAAAAGAAACCAUUUCGAGGCAGCAGUUGGCAGUUGGCAGUGAAUGGAGCCCCUUGAAAAAAUUCCCAAGCCGUUGCACUGCAAUUACGAUCAUCCUCGGCCUCAGGUAAUUUCUUCUCCUGCAUUUUUGUUAUUUGCUAUCAAGUGACUAUUUUAAGUAUGAUUGCAUUAAGCUGCUGCUGGGAAAUUUGAGGUUUUGAUGACUGCCCAUGCUAUUGUCAGAAGCUGCGGUUCUUUUCAUCAGCCUGAACCUGGACCUGCCGCUAUGGAUAACUCAGGUUUUUUUUUUUUUUAAUCAACUGCCAUCUUUUCCACUGUUUAGAAACUCUUAAGAUUAAACUUUAGUAAAGUUGUUUUAGUUAUCCAUGUAAUCGGGCUGAGGAUACUUAGCUGCCUAUUUAGGCAAAUGUCAGAAUGUUCGCUGGGAACUGGUGUGGACUGGCAAAGGAUGAUGAGAUAGUUUUUUGAGUGAGUAAAUUUUGGGAGCUUGAGUGUAUUGGGAUUUGCAAUUACAAUCAUCGUCUGCCUCAGGUGAUUUCUUCUCCUGCUCUGUCAUUGUUUGUUCUCUAAUUCAAAAGCAUAAAAUAUUUCAAUCAAUUUUAUGCCAGGAAUAUGCAAAAGUUUCUAAUAUUUUAUUUCCAUCUGUUACAAGAUCAAACUGAAGUAGAACUCAAACAAAAGUAUGCUACUUCUUGCGGAAAUCUUGCCUUUGUUCAGAUUAUGAAACCAUUUCCAUGCAGCAAAUUCAUCCAAAAGUUUGAAUAAGUUUCAUGGUUGGACACUGUUGGCUUCUUUUUCUUCUGGGGUGCAUUUAGGUGCUAUCAAGUGACAGCUGUAAGUAUGAUUGCACUAAGCUGCCGCUGGGAAAUUUGAGGUUUUGAUGGCUGCCCAUGUUAUUUUCAAGAAACUAUUGAUGUAAGAAGCUGUGGUUCUUUUCAUCAGCUUGAACCUGAAACUGUCGCUAUGGAUAACUCAGGUUUUUGUUAUCAACUAUAUCAUCUUUUUCACUAUUUUGAAACUCUUAAGAUUAAACUUUAGUAAAGUUGUUUCAGCUAUUCAAAUGAAAAACUCAUUGAUUUGAGACUUCCUUCAUUAUUGUUUCUAAUUACAAUGCUAACGAUCCAGAUAAAAUAAUAUUUAAUCGGCGAAGGUGUCCCUUGGAAGUACAUCCUUCUUUUUCUUUUAUUAUAUAAAUUCUUGCAAUGAGCUUAGUGAAGCUGUUGUGCUAAUCAUGCCACUGCAUAAUUUGGCCCCUAAUGUGGGUACUCUGUUACAUUGUUCUGCAAAUUCUCCGGAAGUUAAAAUCAAUAAAUUUUCUAUUAGCUCUAGUGCUUUGACCUAAAUGCUAUUCUAUAUUUUGAUUACAAUGUUUUAACCUUUAAAUUAACUACCCCUAGAUGUUGGAUUUUCUAGAACUUCAAAAUACAUAAACCGUCAGACAUUUAAGCAUCCAAAGAUACAUUAUAUAUUUCUGUGUCUCUAUUUGUAGAUGACAUUUAAGCAUCCAUAAACCGUCAGACAGAGGAAGGGCGUUCAGUGCAAAGAUUCUGUUGACCUAGGGUUGACUGCAUAAUGUCACUUGUUCGCAAUCUAUUAUUUAUUUCAUAUUUUGAAGAAUUUAAUGGGUAAUCCUAAUUGUUUGUUUUGGCAGGUAUGUGUUGUUAUCUCCUUCUAUCUAACAGUCGUACCUAAAUAGCAUAGUUCCAAAGAGGUAAAUUAUUGUCAUGCCUAGAUAAUUUGGCCAUUUCCUAAUUCAUAAGUCUACAUUAAUUUUGAUUUUGAGUUGACUGAUUUCUUUUCAAGGUCUGCUUCCUUAACGGAGUGACCAAUGUUUUUCAACUAAAUUUAUCAUAUGAUGCAGGAAACAGGGCAGGAUAUGAAAUGAGAAGCUCAUUGGUGGAAGUAUUGCCAGUAGCAGAACCCAAUGAAAAUGAAACUAUUUCAAGGCAGCAGUUGGCAGUUGCAAGUGAAUGGAGGCCCUUGACAAAAUUCUCAAGCGAUUGCAAUGCAAUUACGAUCAUCCUCAGCCUCAGGUAAUGUCUUUUAUUGGUACCCAACAAAAAUGCAAGGUCUGUGAGAAGACAGUUUGUCCAGUUGAGCAGUUAUCUACUGAUGGGGUUGUUUAUCACAAGUCUUGCUUCAAGUGCUCUCACUGCAAAGGCACACUCAAGCUAAGCAAUUACUCAUCCCUGGAAGGUGUUCUUUACUGUAAGCCUCACUUUGAGCAGCUUUUGAAGGAGUCGAGUAACUGCAACAAGAAUUUCCAAUUACCUGCAAAGUCAGCUGAGAAGUUAACUCCUGAGCUGAGAAGGUCGCCUAGCAAAGUUGCCAGCAUGUUCUCUGGGCCCAAUAAAAAUGUGCUUCUUGCAGUAAAACAGUGUGUCCGUGGGAGAAGGUAGCAGCGGAAAAUCAAGCCUCUCACAAGACAUGUUUCAAGUGCUCACAUGGUGGUUAUUCCAUUAGCCCGUCAAAUUACGCAGCCCUAGCAGGCAUCUUGUAUUGCAAACAUAAUUUCUCCCAAUUGUUCAAGGAAAAAGGCAGCUACAACCACCUUAUAUCAAAUCUGCUCCCAUGAAGCGUGCUGCAGUCUCUGUUCAAGAAGCUUGAACAUGUUAUGUUAUCUUCCAUAAAUCUUAUUUGGCGUGGGUUUUCUCUGGCUUGAGGGUGUGCUUUCUAUUUUGAUCCCUCUUGUUGUUUUUGCGGGGAACUACCAAACCUUCGGUUCCCUCUGCUUCUUUGGAUCAUCUUUGUUUGGACAAAUUUCAUGUAAUUAGAGAUACCGAUUUAUGGGAGGCAUAAUCCCAUGGUCGUAAAUUGACCAUUUUCUGGCAAGUUCUUUUUAAAAAGAUAUGAGCAGUUGUUUAAAAAAAAAAAAAUAGCUUGCCUUCAUCAUUGUAUGUUACCAAACUGCUAUGUAUAGCUGUUAACUAUGAGCAUCCGAAAAUAUGGUGCAUCGUGAUUCAUGUAGUGCAAUAUGGCUACCAACGCAUCCUAAAUGGAAUAUUACUCAGUUAGUCAGCAAAAUAAGACAACAUAACUGAUAUUAAAAAAAUAAAAACUACAUUAAUAAGUGGGCAAGAUCAUGCCAGUUUAACUUUUCGCGAGUCGCUGCUGGAGAUAAUCAAAUCGGGGCAGAGAAAAGGAGAAUGGAAUCAGAGGCUAAGAUUAAUAAGUGGGCUUCUGCUUGCUUUGCCCCUCUUUCUUAAACGAUUGGUAGACUGCUGCUUCCACCGAUUAACCGGGUCUUCAACCACUGCUUUUACUGCCUGCCAUCUUGUUGUUUGUCGAAGGGAUGAAUUCGAGUCGAAAAGAGAAAGCGCGCUGAAAAAGAUAAAUCACUAGUGGUUAACUGCUGACUCAGCCAAGUGUUGGCUUCACUUGAUUCACCGAUUGAGGUUAUUUUGUCUUCUAUCUAAUGCAGCGAAGAAGCUUUGCUGCUUAACAUGCUGCAAUGCAACUUUAUCCUUUGAAGUUCACACUUCAGGGCUGCGCACUUUAUGUAAUCCUAUGAGUAAAAAGAAUUUGUUUUCAAAUGUGAAAAAAGAAAAUGUAAGGUAGUAACUAAUAUAUUAUAGCAUCAAAGCAAGAUUUGAUAUGAAUUUAGUACAACAAAGAACAUCAAAUCUGUGAUUCCUUGUCUAAUGUCACCAUCGAGCAACAAAUUUAAAAGCCUACCUAUCAAAUACACGAGGCAAUAAACGGAGAAAAAGUUGAAUUACAAGAACAAGUUUACAAUUCUUGUCAAUGGUUAAUGAUUCGUGAACUGAGAUAGCAUUCAAGAAUCCAAUUUCAAUACAACAACGUAAAAGAUAAACAGAUGAUGAAUUUUAUGAGAUAAAGAAGGAGAUCGUGUUUUAUCGUAUCUCUAUUUUCUUUCUUUUUAAAUUUAAAAUAAGCUUUUCAACCGGUUUAUUAACCGGUUAUAAUAUUUUUUAAAAUAAUUAAAUAUUUUCAUUAUUAAAAAUAAUGUGUACCGUUGAUUACAUCUAACGGUACAUAUUUCUUACACUACUAAUACGGUAAAAAAAAAAAAAAGGGCAUCAUAAAGGGACCCUUAAAACAUUUUCAUUUGAAAUUAUUUGGUGUAGUCAAAAAGUUAAGAAAGAAAUAGUUGUCCCUUUGGUCAUUUCACAAAAAUGAAAGCCCCAUAUAACAUGGACUUGAAUGGAAACCCAAUUGUUUGUGUUUGAUUUCAAGCUUUAUCGGACCUUUGGACCUGGAUACUUUACUGCGGCCUCUAAGCGCUAUAAAUUUGUUUUUUGGGAUAAAAGGCGCUUCAAUGAAAAAGCACUUUAAAACUUUGGAUUUUGCCAAAACUUCAAAGCGGUUGGUCCAGUUACGGUGUUAUGCUAACGGGUUUAAAGGUUCCGAUCCAAUGAGUUAGGGUGGAAUAUGAAUAUAUAAAUUCCAUAGCAUGUAAGGACUAGGAUUUGUUUGUUCAUAUUAAGAAAAAAGAUCUAAAAAUUUGAUGAUCAGAAGAAAAUAGACUCUUCUCUGUCUGAAUAAGAAGAAAGCAUAAUGCGCCUCCAAUAGAGAGAAAAGGGACUUAAUUUCACUUGCGUCAAAUGUUCCUCAUUCUUUGAUGGAAGAAAAACUCUUAAUAGUCUAUUGUUUUUUUUUUUUUCAUUUUUAUUUAAGUUUCACAAUAUUUUAGUAGUUGAUCAAAUUAUUUAGAAUUAGACAUUUAAUCUAGGGACAAUGUGAACUUUUUAAAAAUCUAUCAGGUGAUUUCAUAAUUUUAUAAUUCAGUUGGGGUAAUUUCUCAAACUAUAAACAAAUUAUCGUGUUUUGUAAGUUGAGGUCCAAUGGCGUUUUGGCACAUCAUAUGAUAGACCACUAUAUUGAGUUGCUUUACAAAAGAUUAAUAUUUUUAAAAUUAUUAGGUAAGUUUAGGCUCAGUGGCACUUUAACUCAUGAUAUGAUAGUCCGGGUUUUCGAGGACCACUAUAUUGUAUUGAUUUAAAAAAAAAAUUAAUAUUUUUUAAUAUUAAUAUUCUAAAUUAUAUUCAGUUAAAAUAUUAAAUAUUAAAUACAUUCUUAAUAUUAAUAUUCUUAGAUGAAAUUCUUUUGCUGACUUAAGAAUAAAAUAUUAAAUAAUUUUAUUUUUCUUUUAUUGUGUAACGUGGACCCAAAAAAAAAAGGAAAUGAAUUUAAUAAAACCUUCAUUCCGCCAACAUGCAUGUUAAUUGUUUCCAAAUUCCAACCUCCGUACUCUCUUGAGGAGUUUCCCAUUCAUCAAUUAUUAUUUUUUAUAAUCCAUACCAUCCUGAUAUAAUUAAACACCAUUAAUAAUGUACCAGCCUUUAAAUAGUAAUUAAUUUAGUUCUGAGAAGGAAAAAAAAAACAAAAAAACUACUUUGACCAGAAAAAUUCCCCGUUCUAUUGCCUAUAUAUGAACUGAGCUGUGCAAUUGAUCAAUUUCAAAAACUUCCUCAGCUGACCAAUUUUGAGCAAUUACUACAUAACAUAAAACCAAAUGCUGGAUGAAUUGGCAUCUCUGAAAACCCCAGCUCACACGUACCGACAGAAAGAGACUCUAGAUGUAUUCAAACAUUAAAUAACUGCAUAUGCUCUUCAAAAGAUGGAAGGAACCAUGGAUUAAAAAGAAGCAACCAUCUAAACAAGAACUUAUAUUAAAAAGCAAAGGAAGUAACACAUUAAAUUGAGAAGUGUGAUCAUCACUAUGAAGCUUCUAUAAGUAAUUUAAGAAUAGUAAUAAAAAACUAUUCUAAUAUAAGUAAUAAAUAUGGGAGACAUCUUUGGCUAAUAUGUAAUAAUAAUCUCGAGCAGCAGACGGACUCUUAUUUGCUCCAAUUUGAAUGGUGGUGUUAAGCAAUUUAAAUGUGAAGCCACUCGAGGCUCUGAUUGUGACAGCGGAAGCUAUACAGGCACGGCAUCAGAACAAGAAGAAGGAGCCGAACAACAUAUUUCAGUUCUCAAGAGAAGAAUAGAUUCUCAAACAAACUUCAAUUUUGAGAAGAAGAAGAAGGAUUCAUUAUCAUGGCAAGCUCAAAAAUGCAUUGGUAGAUUUUUCUACGAAAUGGGUAUUGAUUUCAGUGUUGCUAAUUCUCCAAGCUUUCAAGACAUGAUAAAUGCUAGCCGUGGUAAGGAAAAGUGUGAGAUCCCCAGUUGUCAGGAUUUGAAGGGGUGGAUCCUUCAUGAAGAAGUGAUGGAAAUGCAAGAAUAUGUGAAGAGGAUAAGACAUUCGUGGGAAAGUACUGGGUGCAGCAUUUUGUUGGAUGGAUGGACUGAUGAAAAUGGUCGAAACUUGGUCAGUUUUAUUGUGGAUUGUCCUCAGGGACCUAUUUAUCUGCGAUCAUCAGAUAUUUCAGCCUUCGUUAGUAAUGUUGAUGCCCUGCAGUUAUUAUUGGAUGGAGUCAUUGAGGAGGUUGGAGUGAAUAAUGUUGUUCAAAUUGUUGCAUGUUCUACAUCAGGUUGGAUGGGGGAUGUGGGCAAGCAGUUUAUGGAAAGGCGAAGGACAGUGUUUUGGACUGUAAGUGUGUUUGAUUGCAUUGCUCUGAUGCUUGAGAAGAUUGGUACGAUUGAUUUUGCUAGGGAGAUAUUAGAAAAGGCCAAGACCAUUACAAAGUUCAUUCAUGGCCACACAACGGUCUUGAAACUCUUUGGAGAUUUUACUGGCAAGCGGAACCUUAUCAAGCCCUCUAAGUUGAGAUCAGCAAUGCCUUUCUUGACUUUAGAAAAUAUUGUGGCGGAAAAGAAAAACCUUAAGGCCAUGUUUGCCUCAUUUGAGUGGAAUAGAACUAAAUGGGCUUCAAGAACAGAGGGGAAGAGGAUAGUUAAUUUAGUGGAGGAUCGUUCUUUUUGGAGCACAGCCAGGAUGGUCCUAAAGGCAACUAUACCCCUUGUGCGUGUUCUGUGUUUGAUCAAUGGGGCUUAUAAACCACAAGUGGGUUACAUCUAUGAAACCAUGGAUCAAGCAAAGGAGACAAUUAAAGAGGAAUUUAAGAACAAGAAAACCCAAUAUUGGCCAAUUUGGGAAAUUAUUGAUGACAAAACGCUAUUUCCGCAUAUUAUUAUUAUCAGAUUGUGUCUAAUGUCAGAUAUUGCCGACCACCUACAAUGCCACACAGAGAACCGCUACAAAUUCCUGUAACUUCCUUCCUGUACUAAAAUUAAAGGAGUACCCCAUCCUCUGCAGUAAAUACAUAGUCCUACUUACGGUUCCUUGUUACUUCCUUUGCUUUUUCAUCUGCAGUAAAUAAGAUAAAGGUGUCUCCCACAGUUGAAGACGGACCCUUGUUGCCAAAGAAUAGUAAUAAAAAAUAAACCACUUUCAUCUUGUACUGAAGUCUAUACUUAAGCUUCUAUAAGUAAUUUAAAAAAGCAUUUACCAUUUUAAACAUCAUAAUGAUACAAUUAUCUUAGUUUUAUCAGUAUAUAAGAAUUACUUAUAGAAUAGUAAUAUAUGUUUAUAUUUAAAUUAGUACAAUUUUAUAUUGAUAAUAAUAAUAAUUUUCAAUUGAAAGUGAAACCUUUAGACAUUUACCUAAUGAAGUUAGUUAAUCGGGAGGGUUGGAAAAAAAAAAAGUUGACGCAAGUCAAUACACAAUAAUUAAUUAAAUCCGGAGUGACUAAAACAGAGCCACUACUUUUUCAAAAAUAUCUGCAUUCAUCACUUUCUCCAGCAGCUAGUCAGCUACACACGAAUCAAUUUCUCUCCUCGUUUGUUGUCAUCCAAAAUUGUUCACCAAUACCAUGGCUGAUGCAAUCGUUUCCACUAUCUUGGAGCAGCUGAUUUCCUUCGCUGCUGAAGAGAUAAAACAACAGGUGAUCGAAGUUACACCCCUCAUAUUACAAAUACUUCCAAUGAUUUUAAUUGGUUUUGUUUUUAUCAAAAACAUUAUAUAUUUUUGCUUUUUUUUAUUUAUCUGAUAAUUUUAUAUUUUGAAAUUUGAAUUGAAUUUAAUUAAAAGGUGAUGUAGUGACCACUUAUUUUUAUUUUAUUUCAUUUAUAUUCUCAAUAACUACUCAUAUUUUGGUAACUUACUAUAACUUCCAUAUCUAAGAAAUGAUCCAAACCCACAAUUUUAAUGAUAAGAUUGGUUGAAUUAAAUAUCACUUGGCCCACAUGAUUUGUUUUAAUUAUUUUAUAUUUUCAUUCAACCAAUGAAUUAGUGCCACGUCAGUUUGUACAAAAUAAGUUUGUACAAUAGUUUGUGGUUGUAUCAUUACUCUUUAGUAAAGAGUAAUGAUAUAGCCACAAACUCUUGUACAAACUUAUUUUGUACAAACUUAUGUGGCAUGAUAAGAUUGGUUGAAUUAAAUAUCACUUGGCCCACAUGAUUUGUUUUAAUUAUUUUAUAUUUUCAUUCAACCAAUGAAUUAGUGCCACGUCAGUUUGUACAAAAUAAGUUUGUACAAUAGUUUGUGGCUGUAUCAUUACUCUUUAGUAAAACCUCAACUCAUCACUGAAUCCCAUAGCUAUUACUUAGACUCUAUGAAAAAUUUCAUAGUUUUCUUACAUUCUUUCAGUUUGGUAAGUGAUUUCAUAUAAUUUCUUUUCAAGUUAAAUUUUAAUUUGGUUUCUGAUAUAGUCUCUUUGCCGAAUUGUAUCUUUUAUGAUUCUUGGAUUUUGGGCUCCAACUUUUUAGGAUUUGAUAGUCACAUUUUAUGCCAUGCUCAGAUUGAUUUUCAUGAUUUUUAGUACCCGUUAAGUGACGUACAAUUUGACAAAAGUUUGAAAGGAAAUAUGUUUCAGAAUUCUGUUUUAAUUGACCUUUUAGUGGAAAUAGGAUGCUUAUAACUUAAUGUGGAUGGUUCGUAAAAUCAUGAAAUUUGGAUAGGAUUCACUAGCAAUAUGUACAAGACUCUCCAUAAAGUUUCAUAAUUUUUCAUUCGGUCUGGGGUGGUACAGGUGAAACUUGUGGUUGGUGUUGAAAAAGAAGUGAAAAGCCUUACCAGCCAUCUUCAAGCCAUUCAAGUUGUGCUCGAUGAUGCAGAGGAAAAGCAAGUGAAGGAAAAAGCUGUUAGUCUUUGGCUGGGUAGGCUCAAGUAUGCAUCCUACAACAUUGAAGAUGUGUUGGAUGAGUGGAUAACAACAAGACGCAAAUUGCAAAUUGAGGGUGGCGUUGAUGAAAAUGCUCUUGUUGUUCCUCAUAAGAAAAAGAAGGUAUGUCUCUGCUUUCCCAGCUCUUGUUUUGGAUUCAAACAAGAAGAAUUUGGUUUCAAACAAGUCUUUCUCCGCCAUGACAUUGCCGACAAGAUCAAAGAAAUCAAUGAAGAGCUCCAUGAUAUUGCCGCUCAAAAAGACAUGUUUGAUCUUGUUAAGAGUGGCAAUAAAAGUAGUGAAAGACCAAGGCGUGUACAGAGUACCUCCUUGAUUGAUGAGGAAGAGAUUUGUGGCAGAGUUGGUGAGAGGAAUGAACUCUUAAGCAAGCUGUUGUGUGAGGGUAGCGAGCAACAAAAAGGCCUUCAUAUCAUCUCAAUCGUUGGUAUGGGAGGCAUAGGGAAAACAACUCUUGCACAACUAGCUUGUAAUCAUGACGAGGUGAAGAGAAAGUUCGACAAAAUUCUGUGGGUGUGUGUAUCAGAAACUUUUGAGGAGUUUAGGGUUGCCAAAGCGAUCGUUGAAGUUUUGGAUGGUCGUGAAUCUCAUUUAGCUGAAUUCCAUUCUCUUCUUCAACAUAUUUAUGAAUCCAUUGCAGGGAAGAGCUUUCUUCUUGUCUUAGAUGACGUGUGGGAUGGAAAUUACUUGAAAUGGGAACCAUUCUACCGUUGUCUAAAGAAUGGUCUCCAUGGAAGUAAAAUUUUAGUUACCACACGUAAAGGGUCAGUUGCAUCCAUGAUGGGAUCCAUAGAUAUUAUCUCCGUUAAGGAGUUAGCUGAAGAGGAAUGUUGGUUGUUGUUUAACAAGAUAGCAUUUUUUGAUCGGUCCAUCGAGGAACGUGAAAAAUUAGAACAAAUUGGGCAAAGAAUUGGAGGCAAGUGCAAAGGUUUACCUCUUGCAGCAAAGACAAUAGGGAGUCUCAUGUGUUCUAAACAAACUGAAGAAGAGUGGAAAAGAAUUUUAAAUAGUGAUUUAUGGAAAGUAGAAGAGAUUGAGAAAGAUGUUUUGUCCUCUUUAUUGUUGAGUUAUAAUGAUUUGCCAUCUAGAGUAAAAAGAUGUUUUUCAUAUUGUGAUGUCUUUCCAAAAGACUACAAUAUAGAAAAAGACAAACUAAUCACGUUAUGGAUGGCUCAAGGUUAUCUUAGUGCAGAAGAAGAUGAAGAGAUGGAGACAGUAGGUGAAGAGUAGUUUGGCAUCUUAGCUUCUCGCUCAUUUUUUCAAGAGUUUAAGAAAAGUUAUGAUAAUCGGAUUAUAGAGUGUAAGAUGCAUGAUAUGGUACAUGAUUUUGCCCGAUUUGUAAGUCAAAAUGAAUGUUUUUCGAUGGCAAUUAAUGGUAGUGAAGAACCAAACGCCACAAACUCUCUUGAUGAGAAGGUCCGUCAUUUAAUGUUAAUCUUUAGUAUAGAGGCUUCAUUACCUGUUUCCACUUGUAGAGUUAAAAGAAUUCGUAGCCUCUUAAUUAACGAUAGUAGAUCUGAUCAUUCAUUAUUAAAUGGUGAGAUCUUAGAAGAAUUAUUUAGGGAAUUGACAAGUUUAAGGGCAUUAGAUUUUUGCAAAUCGUAUAACGCAAGUUGGUCUUCGACUCUGGAGAUUCCGAGAAACAUAGAAAAGCUGGUACAUUUAAGAUACCUUAAUUUGUCUUAUCAGGGAAUAAAGAAACUACCGGAGACAUUAUGCGAGUUGUAUAAUCUAGAAAAGUUAGAUAUUAGUUAUUGUUAUAAGCUAGAAGAAUUACCUGAAGGGAUUGGGAAGUUAAUAAACAUGAAGCAUUUACGAAAUAGAGGUACUAGUUCUUUAAGGUACAUGCCAGUAGGGAUUGGGAGAUUAACGGGUCUUAGGACCUUGGGUGAGUUCCACGUGAGUGCAGGAGGAGGUGUUGAUGGUAGGAAAGCAUGUAGGCUUGAAUCUCUUAAAAACUUGGAACACCUUCAAGUAUGUGGUAUAUGUAGACUGGGUGAUGUAUCAGAUGUGGGCGAGGCUAAGCGAUUAGAACUUGACAAAAAGAAAUACCUCUUCAGUUUGACCCUUGAGUUUGAUAAGACGUAAAGAGGAGGAGAAAGGAGGAAGAACGAGGACGAUCAACUUCUUCUUGAAGCCUUGCGACCACCCCUGGAUUUAAAGGAAUUAGAGAUACGGUACUACCGAGGCAACACUGUUUUCUUCCAUGUUGGAAUUGGAGGAGUGGGAUUAUGGGAUUACAAGAACGGGAAACACCGUCAUCAACAUCAUGCCACGUCUUUCUUCCUUGGAAAUUGUUGCCUGCCCCAACUUAAAGGCGCUGCCCGACCACAUUCAUCAAACGACAACAUUGAAGGAAUUGCGCAUUGUGCAUUGUGGGCUUCUGGAAGAACGUUACCGCACGGGGGAAGGAGAAGAGUGGCCUAAGAUAUCACACAUUCCCAGCAUAGAUAUUGAUUAAGAAGGAGAAGAGUGACCUAAGAUAUCUCACAUUCCCAACCUUGAGAUUUGGCCUUGACAAGUAAUUCCUUCUCUCACUCUGAUUUGCUUUGUUGUUCUUUUUAAUCUAAUCAAGAAGCAUAAAUAGCAUUUUGAAUUAAACUCUAUAUCAGAAAUCUGCAAUACAUAUUUACUAAUAUUCUGAUUUUCAUAUCUUAUGAAUGUACGAUUCUAAUUUGCGAUAUUUAACGUUGCUGUAAAAUAUUAUUAAUGCAAUAUGAGAAAUUCUUUUGCAGGACAAGUGACCUACGUUUAGUUUGGCUUUGGAGUUGAGUAAUAACCUUUCGAGGUCGCCACUAUAAAAACGCGAAGCUCCAUUUGCCACAGAUUACAUGUAUUGCCAUCAUUGACAAUUUUCUGGAUAAGUGAUGAAGGGUGAGAAUGGUGCUAGAAUAUUGAAUAAAGCUGUCGUGACUGAACUUACGUUGAUGUCAAAAGGGGUAAAUUAUUGGCAUGCCUAGCUAAUUUGACCAAUACCUGAUUCAUAAGCCUACAUCAAUUUUGAUUUUGAGUUGAGUGAUUAAUUUUGAAGGUUUGCUUACUUAACUGGUAACCAAUUUCUUUUAACUAAAUGUAUCAUAUGAUGCAGGAAGCAGGGCAGGAUAUGAAAUGAGAAGCUUAUUAGUGGAAGGAUUAUCAGAAACAGAACCCAAAGAAAAUGAAAACAUUUCAAGGCAGCAGUUGGCAGUUGGCCGUGAAUGGAGCCCCUUGAAAAAAUUCCCAACCCAUUGCACUGCAAUUACGAUCGUGAGUAUGAUUGCACUGCAAUUUCGAAGCUUCUUCUCCUGCAUUUUUGUUAUUUGCUAUCAUCCUCUGCUUCAGGUGAUUUCUUCUCCUGCUCUGUCGUUGUUUGUAUCUCAAUCAAAUUCUAUAACUGGAAUAUGCAAAAGUUUCGAAUUUUUAUUUCUAUCUGCUUGCAUUGAUAACAUCGCGGCAUAUGCACUAGUUAAAGAUCAAACAGAAACAGAGCUCAGGAAAAAGUUUCUUCUGCCAUCAUAUUUGAAAAUUCAUGUAAAAUGUAGACAGUAAUCAGCAAAAAGGUGAUUCGCAAUUUGAUUUUUUUUAUGAAAUUAAUUGUUAGGUUGGAGUUGCCAAUUAACAAUUUUAACCCCCUUUGACUUUGAAGGAAUUAGAGAUAUGGUCAUACAGAGGCAACACUGUUUCUGCAAGUAGUCCUCUCUUUUCUUUUUAUUAUAUUUUAUUUAGUUAUUAUUUAUUAUUUAUUUUUUGGUUUACUCUGCUUCUUCUUUUUACGUUUCUCAAAUUUUGAAUUUCAUUGCUUUUGAACAUACGACAGUCUGUUAUGUGGCGACCCUGGUUCUUAAUUAAGGUUGUGAAAUAUUAUUGUAAAAGAUGAUUUAUUCAAUUUGAGUAAUUCGUUUGCUUUGAUAAUGAUAGUAAUUUUUUAUUUUGACAAUUUGCAAGGUGAGAAUGGUGCUGAUUGGUGAUUCAGGAUAUGGUUCAAACACCAUUGAAUAAAGCUAUGGACAUGGUGGCUCAACUUAGCUAGAUUGCUAUCAAAAUUGGUAAGUUGGCUUGUCAAUGUACCGAUGCUUUUGUUUUCUCUCAACCCUAAUUACCUUAACUUCAUUUAGUUUGGCUUUGGAGUUGAGUAAUAACUUAUUGUUCAAAUGUUAUUUCCUUAUUGUUCUAAUUCAUCAAAUGUUAUUUCCUUGUUGUUCCAUUGAUAUAUUGGUUGCAUAUCAAGCAGAAACAGAAUCCAAAGAAAAUGAAACCAUUUCCAGGCAGCAGUUGGCAGUGAAUUCAUGCAAAUGUUGAUGCCAUUCAUAGAUGUUGAAGACAAUGUUGAGCCAAAGGCGAUAAAUCAUUAAUGCAUAAUUCCCAAAACCUCUAUCCUUCUCUCAUUGUAAUUUGAUUUGAAAUGAAUAAUUGCUAGGUAAUUGAAGCCAAUGUUGUUAAAGACCGUGUUGAGCUACCCAAGCUAAGAAGUUAGUUGCCAAAAAAUGCAGGGGAUCAAAAGAAGCAUUGCAUUUGAAAAGGCAUGAGAUUCUGGUGGCUACAUGUCAACUCAUAUAUGUUUGAAUAAGUUUGAUGGUUCAAGAUUGUUAGCUUCUGUUUAAAUUUGUGCUACUGCAGUGCUACAAUGCUGCUACUGGGAAAUUUGAAUCCCAUAUUAGACUUUCCUCACAUCAGAAGCUGUGGAUCUUCGGACAUCAGGUUUUUUCACAGUUCUGAAACACUCAGGAUUAAACUCUAUUAAAGUGUUGUAGUUAUCUUGUUGUCAGAAUUCCCAUAUUAUUAUCUUUUUCAUGUAAAAUUAUCUUGUUGUCUUCGCCCAUGAAUCUAAGCUAAAAUUUGAACCAAUUGUUUGCUAUUAUAAAUUUCGUUGUUAAAUGUUAAUUGUGAUGUUGGUGUUGAGUUUCUUUUAAAGUCAGAGAAGCCUGACGAUUGAGUUCCAUGGGAUUCUGAGAAGCAGUAAUAUUUUGAACAAGUGAAGGUUCUUCGUUUUUAAUUACGUUCUGCACUUUUACAGUAUGUGCAGAUGUCUAAGAGGCAGGAUUUUAAUUUCUGUAAUGCUAAAUUUCGCAAAACAAUAAAUAAAUAAAUGCAUGACAGUGACUUCAAGAAUUUAGAUUAUUGAAUUUGGUCAUUUUAAAAUUGUUGGAAUAUUGAACUUAAGUAAUUUUGAUAAACCAGAGCUCAGAAAUGUAGAAUAUAAAUAUUGGAGAUUUGGACUUCAAUCAUUAGAUUUGAAGCUAAAGAGGUAAGCCAUUAAUUACAUCAAAGGAUUUGGAAAAUGGAGGGAUUGGAAAAAGGAAACUUUUUCAUAAACUACAAGCAUUGGGCAGUUUCAUUUGUCCGAUUCAAGAGGAACGUCACAGAAAGGGGUAAAGAAAAGAGUAGCCUAAGAUAUUUAAGACAAUGUUGAGCCAAAGGAAACAUAAAUCCCAACCAUUGCAUGCGAACAUGAUCACAAUAAGGUCAAGAACCUACCAAACCAUUUUUUUGAGAAUUUUCAAUUGAAAGUGAAACCUUUGGACAUUUACCUAGUAAAGUUAGUUAAACGAGAGAAAUAAAGGGGAAAAGAAAAGUUGACUCAAGUCAAUACAGAAUAAUUAGUUCAAUCUGGAGUAACUAAAACAGAGCCACUAUAUUUUCAAAAAUAUCUGCAUUCAUCACCUUCUCCUACAGCUAGUGAGCUAAACACGAAUCAUUUCCUUUUAGCAUUUUUGCAGCAUCAACUUCUCUCCUCGUUUGUCAUCCAAAAUUAUUCACCAAUACCAUGGCUGAUGCAAUCGUUUCCCUUCUCUUGGAGCAGCUGAUUAUCUUUGCUGCUGAAGAGUCGAAACAACAGGGGAAGCUGGUGAGUGUUGGAUGAGUGGAUCACAGCAUGCGCCAAAUCGCAAAUUGAUCAAUGCUCUUGUUGCUCCUUAUCUGAAGAAGAAGGUGCAAAUUGAGAGCUGCAUUGCACUGUCAUAACAUUUAUUGUAAUUUCAUUUGGAGAUUUUAUGGAUAAUGAUUUGGUAGACUUUAUAUGCCGUCUUCUUUCUUUUUGCAGUGAUAUGUUUGUAUUCAAUGUGCUUGUGCUUAUUCUGUGGUUUUUAAAGUAGGUGUUUUUAUGAUAAACUAGGUCUUGUGUAUUGUAUGUACUAUCUAGAGAAGAAUAUUGACUGGUUGCAGUCGAAAUUGGAACCACUUUUGAAAGGUAAGAAGAGGCCAUUUUCCUUCAUUCUAAUGCCAAUAAUGCUGUCAUGAGACUCAUAAAAAAUGUUAAAACAUUAAUGUUUUUGGUAUUUUGCAGAUCAUUAUCUUCUGUUUGAUUUUCCUGGCCAAGUUGAAUUAUUUUUUCUUCAUUCCAAUGCCAAGAAUGUUAUCAUGAGACUCAUAAAGAAGUUAAAUCUCAGGGUAUUGUUACAUCUUGCAUCUAUGAAGGGACUCAAAGAGUUGACAUGAAUUCAUCUUUGUUAUUUUGAUGCCAGAAUUGUGCAAUUCUCAGUUGGUUCCUUUCACAUGCAGUUGACUGCAGUGCAUCUAGUUGAUGCGCAUCUUUGCAGUGACACUGGAAAGUAUGUUAGUGCUUUGCUUCUCUCGUUGUCUACGAUGCUACAUCUGGAACUUCCCCACGUCAAUGUCUUGUCUAAGAUCGACUUGAUUGAGAAUUAUGGAAAGCUAGGUGUGGUUUUAAGUGUCUCCCUCCUACUUGUUUGUUUAGUUUGAAAUAUCAGAUAUUAUCACGAGCUCCUAUCUGCUACGUUUCCUCACCAAUCAAUUACUUUGGGUAUGUUGCAGCUUUUAAUCUCGAGUACUAUACGGAUGUGCAAGAUUUGUCAUAUUUACAGCAUGCUCUGGGUCAGGACCCUCGUUCUGCUAAGUACAGGUUUGAAUUCUAGCUGAAUCAAUGAUGCAAAUUAUGUCCAUUGCUAUUUUUGACUGUCGUUUCUAUCAUUUUCAAUUGUUACCUCCCCUUGCCAUCUACUGCCACACUGCAAUGCCUACACAAAUGUUAUGAAAUUUGUCAAUGGCAAUGCCAUCCUGUUUGUCCAGAGACAGCUCUUAGAUGCAAGUGAACAAUUUUUGGCUUUGGCCGUUGUACAGCCUUAGAUUUCAACUUGCCAUAUCUUGUCUCGGAAGUCAAAAGAAAGCGUAUAUGUUAGCCAAAUUUUAUUUGAAUUUAUUGAGUAACAAUGAAUGGUUCGGAAAAACAGUUCCUCUUUUGUUUUGAUCAGACUCAAUGAAUAAGUGUUUAAAAUGUGCCUGUCCUAGAAAUAUAGAUGUGUGGUUUCGCAAAAUUUUCUUGAUCUUAAGAAAGAGUUAUCUUGAAAAGAAGAUAACAUGGAGAAUUCAGCAACUAUACAGUCAUAUUGCGUCUGUCAACUUGGGUCAGAUGGUGUCGUUUGGAUGGAGAUGUUAGGUCCCAGAUGGUAUGCUUGUUAUCAAAUUCCAGUCUAAUUCAUUCAUGCUUUGAUGACAUAUGCGGUGCAGCUUCUUAUCUAAGACCUGCAUAUGUUCAGUCAUCAUUCAGUUCUGUAUUUGGCUGUCAUUCUUUCAAUGAAUUCAAACCACUUUCUGAAUACUUGCAAAUUCAUCCAGUGUUGUCAUUGAGAUUCCAAUAUGUAAAGGAGCAAUAGUUGCCCUUGAUAGUAUGCUUAUUGAUUGCCUCUUGCCUCACUCAGCCUAAGGAGUCUGGUUGUAUGGUGUUCUUGUAAUUUCAUUUGGAGAUAAGUAAUAUCUGUUGUUCAAAUGUAUUUUAUAUACAAGCAGUUAAUAAUUCUGCUUGCAGAAAGCUUACAAAGGAGCUGUGUGAUGUAAUAGAAGACUACAGUCUGGUCAAUUUUUCAACCUUAGAUAUUCAGGUCAUCAGUUUCUCUUGAAUUCUUUCUUGAGUUUCUUUGAAUUAUUUGUGAAUAAGAUCUUAGUUGGCUGCUCCUCUUCAGGAUAAGGAAAGUUUGGCAAAACUCGUGAAGCUGAUAGAUAAAAGCAAUGGGUACAUCUUUGCUGGCAUGGAUGCCAGGGCAGUUGAAUUCAGCAAGAUUGCCGUUCGCGAUGUGGAUUGGGAUUAUUACAGGUAUCCUUCUUUUCACCUAUUUUCAAUCUUGUGAUUCUCAUAUUCAUAAAACUUUCAUGGUUCAUUGUAUGCAUCUGCAUCUUCUAAUUUGUACGUUUGAGAGACUAAUUUUGCUGUUAGGUAGGCGUCAAAUUUGAUUCAUGCGUUUUUCAUAAAUUUACCAAAAUCAUGGAAACUUCUUUUUCCCAGAUAUUGUAUCCACACUUUUCCCAUGUAAUUCAGUCAGACAAGUUCUGCUUAACAAAGAUAUCUACAGUAGCUGAAGUGCAGGAAAAGUACAUUAAGGAUGAUGACGAUGUUAACUAAAAUGGGACACGAAGAUAUGUGGUGUGCAAACCGUAAGCAUGCCUCUUACUUUUGUGCAUGUUUACUUGCUUGUGAUUCAUGUUUGUUAAUCUAUUAUGCUCUUUUGUUGGGUUUAUAAAGUUUUCAAUCAAUCAAACAUUUGACUGAUUCAGACAGGACAAGCGGGGAAGAGGUGGUUUUAAUCAAACCACUACUAAUUAUGAUGUAUCUCGGACCUUUGUACAAUAUCAAGCGAUUUUUUUAGUUGAAUCAGCUGGUGUACACAAAUGUCGUUUAUUGAUUUUUCUCUAGUAUAGUUCGUAAUUUUGGUAACACAUCUACUCUAGUAUCGUUUGUAAUUACAAGAAACAAAGUAAUGAAAUUUAUCACUGCAUUCAUAGUUAUGCUUAAGCUCAAAGAUCACUGUGAAUAUCAUUUUGGGGCCUCUAUUUGUUCUAUAACAUGAUGUUGACACGUGUCAAAUUUUGAAGCUUGUGAUUAAAAUACUAUUCACAUAUAUAUUUUAAGUACCACUAAUAAUUAAAUAUAUUAAUAAAUAUGGGCAAUGGGGAUAAAAUAAAAUGGUUUUAUUUUUUGAAUUACUCAACUGCUUCAAACUUCUAAGAAGUAGAUUUACGAUGAGUGGAAUCUUAAAUUGAGUACGAGUUAGGGAUAACUUAUAAAAUUGGGAUACAAGCUUCAAAGAAAGUGUAUUACUAUUCAUAUGUAGAUUUCGAAUUAAGAAGAUAUGCCAGCUAAUUGUAUAAGAAUGUAAAAAUUGAUCACAGGCAUAAUCGCAAAUGAUGAAAUGAGCUACCUUGAUCAAAAGGUCAAGAACCUACCUUACUUCUCUUAGGGAUAAGUUGCAUCAACCGUUGUGAUAUUGAUAUUUAUCUUGAGCCAGUAAAAGUGAAAGCUUCCCAAUUGAAGGAAAGUGAAGAGAAGAUUCUAUGCUCUAAUUAUUAUUAUUAUUAUUAUUUGUUAGAAUGAAGUGCGAAGUGAGCACAUCAUGCAAGCUCAGCAGAUGUGAUAAGGUGACUUGUAACUCAGCUGGCACAAGAGACAAAGUGUAGUGGAGAAAAGUUUCCCAAUUGAUGGAAAGUGAAGGGAAGAUUCUAUGCUCUAAUUAUUAUUAUUUGACAAUGAAUUGGCAAAUAAAAACAAAAUAGCAGGCCUGUAAAGUAAUGAAGUGGAGACAAUGACCAUGUGAUUGAUUGGUAAAUAAAAACAAAAGAGCAAGCCUGUAAAGUAAUAUAAAUUAUAGUGUAUAUUCAAGUUAAAGUAAUGGAAACAGUGUGCAUCCACAAAAAAUUCUUUUAUCUCUCGUUGUCUUAUUCUUUUCUUUAUUUACGUUUUCCAGAAGUAAAGCCAUACAUGUGAUGAAGCAUAGAUAAGAAAGCUAUCGCCCGAAAUUCAUUUUGCACAAACACUUCAAUAUCCUUUUGAUCACUUUUGCAAACAUCAAUUUGUCUCCUAUUGUAUUCACCAUGGCUGAUGCAAUCGUUUCCACUAUCUUGGAGCAGCUGAUUUCCUUCGCUGCUGAAGAGAUAAAACAACAGGUGAUCGAAGUUACACCCCUCCUAUUACAAAUACUUCCAAUGAUUUUAAUUGGUUUUGUUUUUAUCAAAAACAUUAUAUAUUUUUGCUUUAUUUUAUUUAUCUGAUAGUUUUAUAUUUUGAAAUUUGAAUUGAAAUCAUGAAAUUUGGAUAGGAUUCACUAGAAAUAUGUACAAGACUCUCCAUAAAGUUUCAUAAUUUUCAUUCGGUAUGGGGUGGUGCAGGUGAAACUUGUGGUUGGUGUUGAAGAAGAAGUGAAAAGCCUUACCAGCCACCUUGAAGCCAUUCAAGUUGUGCUCGAUGAUGCAGAGGAAAAGCAAGUGAAGGAAAAAGCUGUUAGUCUUUGGCUGGGUAGGCUCAAGUAUGCAUCCUACGACAUUGAAGAUGUGUUGGAUGAGUGGAUCACAGCAAGACGCAAAUUGCAAAUUGAGGAUGGCGUUGAUGAAAAUGCUCUUGUUGUUCCUCAUAAGAAAAAGAAGGUAUGUCUCUGCUUUCCCGGCUCUUGUUUUGGAUUCAAACAAGAAGAAUUUGGUUUCAAACAAGUCUUUUUCCGUCAUGACAUUGCCAACAAGAUCAAAGAAAUGAAUGAAGAGCUACAUGAUAUUGCCACUCAGAAAGACAUGUUUAAUCUUGUUAAGAGUGGCAAUAAAAGUAGUGAAAGACCAAGGCGUGUACAGAGUACCUCCUUGAUUGAUGAGGAAGAGAUUUGUGGUAGAGUUGGUGAGAAGAAUGAACUCUUAAGCAAGCUGUUGUGUGAGAGUAGCGAGCAACAAAAAGGCCUCCAUAUCAUCUCAAUUGUUGGUAUGGGAGGCAUAGGGAAAACUACUCUUGCACAACUAGCUUGUAAUCAUGACGAGGUGAAGAGAAAGUUUGACAAAAUUCUGUGGGUGUGUGUAUCAGAAACUUUUGAGGAGUUUAGGGUAGCCAAAGCGAUCGUUGAAGCUUUGGAUGGUCGUGAAUCUCAUUUAGGUGAAUUCCAAUCUCUUCUUAAACAUAUUUAUGAAUCAAUUGCAGGGAAGAGCUUUCUUCUUGUCUUAGAUGACGUGUGGGAUGGAAAUUACUUGAAAUGGGAACCAUUCUACCGUUGUCUAAAGAAUGGUCUCCAUGGAAGUAAAAUUUUAGUUACUACACGUAAAGGGUCAGCCGCAUCCAUGAUGGGAUCCACAGAUAUUAUCUCCGUUAAGGAGUUAGCUGAAGAAGAAUGUUGGUUGUUGUUUAACAAGAUAGCAUUUUUUGAUCGGUCCAUCGAGGAACGUGAAAAAUUAGAACAAAUUGGGCAAAGAAUUGCAGGCAAGUGCAAAGGUUUACCUCUUGCAGCAAAGACAAUCGGGAGUCUCAUGCGUUCUAAACAAACUGAAGAAGAGUGGAAAAGAAUUUUAAAUAGUGAUUUAUGGAAAGUAGAAGAGAUUGAGAAAGAUGUUUUGUCCUCUUUAUUGUUGAGUUAUAAUGAUUUGCCAUCUAGAGUAAAAAGAUGUUUUUCAUAUUGUGCUGUCUUUCCAAAAGACUACGAUAUAAAAAAAGACAAACUAAUCACAUUAUGGAUGGCUCAAGGUUAUCUUAGUGUAGAACAAGACGAAGAGAUAGAGACAAUAGGUGAAGAGUAUUUUGGCAUCUUAGCUUCUCGCUCGUUUUUUCAAGAGUUUAAGAAAAGUUAUGAUAAUCGGAUUAUAGCGUGUAAGAUGCAUGAUAUGGUACAUGAUUUUGCCCGAUUUGUAAGUCAAAAUGAAUGUUUUUCGAUGGAAAUUAACGGUAGUGAGGAACCAAACGCCACAAACUCUCUUGAUGAGAAGGUCCGUCAUUUAAUGUUAAUCUUUAGUAAAGGGGCUUCAUUACCUGCUUCCACUCGUAGAGUUAAAAGAAUGCGUACCCUCUUAAUUAACUAUAGUAGAUCUGAAUCAUCUGAUCAUUCAUUAUUAAAUGGUGAGAUCCUAGAAGAAUUAUUUAGGGAAUUGAAAAGUUUAAGGGCAUUAGAUUUUGGCGGAUCGUACGACACACAUUUUUCUUUGACUCUGGAGAUUCCAAGAAACAUAGAAAAGCUGGUACAUUUAAGAUACCUUAAUUUGUCUCUUCAGAAAAUAGUGGAGCUACCGGAGACAUUAUGCGAGUUGUAUAAUCUAGAAAAGUUAGAUAUUAGUUAUUGUUAUAAGCUAGAAGAAUUACCUGAAGGGAUUGGGAAGUUAAUAAACAUGAAGCAUUUACUAAAUAAAAAUACUAGUUCUUUAACGUACAUGCCAGUAGGGAUUGGGAGAUUAACGGGUCUUAGGACCUUGGGUGAGUUCCACGUGAGUGCAGGAGGAGGUGUUGAUGGUAGGAAAGCAUGUAGGCUUGAAUCUCUUAAAAACUUGGAACGCCUUCAAGUAUGUGGUAUACGUAGACUGGGUGAUGUAUCAGAUGUGGGCGAGGCUAAGCGAUUAGAACUUGACAAAAAGAAAUACCUCUCUUGUUUGACCCUUGAGUUUGAUAAGAAGGAAAGAGGAGGAGAAAGGAGGAAGAACGAGGACGAUCAACUUCUUCUUGAAGCUCUACAACCACCUCUGGAUUUAAAGGAAUUAGAGAUAUGGUACUACCGAGGCAACACUGCUUUCCCUAGCUGGAUGACGUCAUUAACCAACUUAAAAAGUUUAGAUCUCUCUUUGUGCGAAAAUUGCGAGCAGCUGCCUCCUUUGGGAAAAUUGCAGUCCCUUGAAAAUCUCCACAUAUGGCGCAUGGCGAGUGUGAAGAGAGUGGGUGAUGAAUUUUUGGGGAUAGAAAGUGAUCAUCAUGACUCAUCUUCUUCUUCAUCAGUUAUUAUUGCCUUCCCCAAAUUGAAAUCACUUUCAAUUAACGAAAUGGAGGAAUUAGAGGAGUGGGAUUAUGGGAUUACAAGAACGGGAAACACCGUCAUCGACAUCAUGCCACGUCUUUCAUCCUUAACAAUAAUUCUUAGCCACAAAUUAAAGGCACUGCCCGACUACAUUCAUCAAACGACAACAUUGAAGGAAUUGCACAUUUUGGGGUGUGACCUUCUGGAAGAACGUUACCGCAAGGGGGAAGGAGAAGACUGGCCUAAGAUAUCUCACAUUCCCAACUUCGAGAUUUGGCGUUGACAAGUAAUUUCUUCUCUCACUCUGAUUUGAAUCAAACUCUAUAUCAGAAAUCUGCAAUACUUACUUUCUAAUAUUCUGAUUUUCAUAUCCUAUGAAUAUACGAUUUUUAAUUUGUGAGAUGGGUAACGUUACUGUAAAAGAUUAUUAAUGCAAUAUGAGUAAUUCUUUUGCAGAACAAGUGACCUACAUUUAGUUUGGCUUUGGAGUUGAAUAAUAACCUUUCAAGGUCCCGACAACCAAAAAACGAAGCUUAAUUUGCCACAGAUGGCACGUAUUGCCAUUAUUGACAAUUUUCUGCACAAGCUUAGGUUGAUGUCAAAACAGGUAAAUUACUGGCAUGCCUGACUAUUUUGACCAUUACAUGAUUCAUAAGUUUACAUUAAUUUUGAUUUUGAGUUGAGUGAUUAAUUUUCUAGGUUUGCUUACUUUAACUGGGUGACCAAUUUCUUGUAACUAAAUGUAUGAUGUGAUGCAGGAAGCAGGGCAGGGCAUGAAGAGAGAAGCUUAUUAGAGGAAGGAUUGCCAGUAACAGAAUCCAAAGAAAAAAGAAACCAUUUCGAGGCAGCAGUUGGCAGUUGGCAGUGAAUGGAGCCCCUUGAAAAAUUCCCCAAGCCGUUGCACUGCAAUUACGAUCAUCCUCGGCCUCAGGUAAUUUCUUCUCCUGCAUUUUUGUUAUUUGCUAUCAAGUGACUAUUUUAAGUAUGAUUGCAUUAAGCUGCUGCUGGGAAAUUUGAGGUUUUGAUGACUGCCCAUGCUAUUGUCAGAAGCUGCGGUUCUUUUCAUCAGCCUGAACCUGGACCUGCCGCUAUGGAUAACUCAGGUUUUUUUUUUUUAAUCAACAGCCAUCUUUUCCACUGUUUAGAAACUCUUAAGAUUAAACUUUAGUAAAGUUGUUUUAGUUAUCCAUGUAAUCAGGCUGAGGAUACUUAGCUGCCUAUUUAGGCAAAUGUUAGAAUUUAGUUUGUUUGCUGGGAACUGGUGUGGACUGGCAAAGGAUGAUGAGAUAGUUUUUUGAGUGAGUAAAUUUUGGGAGCUUGAGUGUAUUGGGAUUUGCAAUUACAAUCAUCGUCUGCCUCAGGUGAUUUCUUCUCCUGCUCUGUCAUUGUUUGUUCUCUAAUUCAAAAGCAUAAAAUAUUUCAAUCAAUUUUUAUGCCAGGAAUAUGCAAAAGUUUCUAAUAUUUUAUUUCCAUCUGUUACAAGAUCAAACUGAAGCAGAACUCAAACAAAAGUAUGCUACUUCUUGCGGAAAUCUUGCCUUUGUUCAGAUUAUGAAACCAUUUCCAGGCAGCAAAUUCAUCCAAAAGUUUGAAUAAGUUUCAUGGUUGGACACUGUUGCCUUCUUUUUCUUCUGGGGUGCAUUUAGGUGCUAUCAAGUGACAGCUGUAAGUAUGAUUGCACUAAGCUGCUGCUGGGAAAUUUGAGGUUUUGAUGGCUGCCCAUGUUAUUUUCAAGAAACUAUUGAUGUAAGAAGCUGUGGUUCUUUUCAUCAGCUUGAACCUGAAACUGUCGCUAUGGAUAACUCAGGUUUUUGUUAUCAACUAUAUCAUCUUUUUCACUAUUUUGAAACUCUUAAGAUUAAACUUUAGUAAAGUUGUUUCAGCUAUUCAAAUGAAAAACUCAUUGAUUUGAGACUGACUUCAUUAUUGUUUCUAAUUACAAUGCUAACGAUCCAGAUAAAAUAAUAUUUAAUCGGCGAAGGUGUCCCUUGGAAGUACAUCCUUCUUUUUCUUUUAUUAUAUAAAUUCUUGCAAUGAGCUUAGUGAAGCUGUUGUGCUAAUCAUGCCACUGCAUAAUUUGGCCCCUAAUGUGGGUACUCUGUUACAUUGUUCUGCAAAUUCUCCAGAAGUUAAAAUCAAUAAAUUUUCUAUUAGCUCUAGUGCUUUGACCUAAAUGCCAUUCUAUAUUUUGAUUACAAUGUUUUAACCUUUAAAUUAACUACCCCUAGAUGUUGGAUUUUCUAGAACUUCAAAAUGAUUAAUGGAGAAAGAUCCCAUUAUCGUUAUUGCUAUAAGAAAUUGAUUUAUGCAUCCAAAGAUACAUUAUAUAUUUCUGUGUCUCUAUUUGUAGAUGACAUUUAAGCAUCCAUAAACCGUCAGACAGAGGAAGGGGGUUCAGUGCAAAGAUUCUGUUGACCUAGGGUUGACUGCAUAAUGUCACUUGUUCGCAAUCUAUUAUUUAUUUUAUAUUUUGAAGAAUUUAAUGGGUAAUCCUAAUUGUUUGUUUUGGCAGGUAUGUGUUGUUAUCUCCUUCUAUCUAACAGUCGUACCUAAAUAGCAUAGUUUCAUCUGCGUUACCAUGUGAUGUACAUAAUUUCACAUUUGCCUCAGAUUAAGCUUAAUUUCCCACAGAAUAGAGCUGUCGCGACUGGACUUUUUGAUGUCCAAAGAGGUAAAUUAUUGGCAUGCCUAGAUAAUUUGGCCAUUUCCUAAUUCAUAAGUCUACAUUAAUUUUGAUUUUGAGUUGACUGAUUUCUUUUCAAGGUCUGCUUCCUUAACGGAGUGACCAAUGUUUUUCAACUAAAUUUAUCAUAUGAUGCAGGAAGCAGGGCAGGAUAUGAAAUGAGAAGCUCAUUGGUGGAAGUAUUGCCAGUAGCAGAACCCAAUGAAAAUGAAACUAUUUCAAGGCAGCAGUCGGCAGUUGCAAGUGAAUGGAGGCCCUUGACAAAAUUCUCAAGCGAUUGCAAUGCAAUUACGAUCAUCCUCAGCCUCAGGUAAUGUCUUUUAUUGGUACCCAACAAAAAUGCAAGGUCUGUGAGAAGACAGUUUGUCCAGUUGAGCAGUUAUCUACUGAUGGGGUUGUUUAUCACAAGUCUUGCUUCAAGUGCUCUCACUGCAAAGGCACACUCAAGCUAAGCAAUUACUCAUCCCUGGAAGGUGUUCUUUACUGUAAGCCUCACUUUGAGCAGCUUUUGAAGGAGUCGAGUAACUUCAACAAGAAUUUCCAAUUACCUGCAAAGUCAGCUGAGAAGUUAACUCCUGAGCUGAGAAGGUCGCCUAGCAAAGUUGCCAGCAUGUUCUCUGGGCCCAAUAAAAAUGUGCUUCUUGCAGUAAAACAGUGUGUCCGUGGGAGAAGGUAGCAGCGGAAAACCAAGCCUCUCACAAGACAUGUUUCAAGUGCUCACAUGGUGGUUAUUCCAUUAGCCCGUCAAAUUACGCAGCCCUAGAAGGCAUCUUGUAUUGCAAACAUAAUUUCUCCCAAUUGUUCAAGGAAAAAGGCAGCUACAACCACCUUAUAUCAAAUCUGCUUCCAUGAAGCGUGCUGCAGUCUCUGUUCAAGAAGCUUGAACAUGUUAUGUUAUCUUCCAUAAAUCUUAUUUGGCGUGGGUUUUCUCUGGCUUGAGGGUGUGCUGCUUUCUAUUUUGAUCCCUCUUGUUUUUUUUGCGGGGAACUACCAAACCUUCGGUUCCCUCUGCUUCUUUGGAUCAUCUUUGUUGGGACAAAUUUCAUGUAAUUAGAGAUACUGAUUUAUGGGAGGCAUAAUCCCAUGGUCGUAAAUUGACCAUUUUCUGGCAAUGUUCUUUUUAAAAAGAGAUGAGCAGUUGUUUAACAAAAAAAAUAUUCGGCCUUCAUCAUUGUAUGUUACCAAACUGCUAUGUAUAGCUGCUAACUAUGAGCAUCCGAAAAUAUGGUGCAUCGUGAUUCAUGUAGUGCAAUAUGGCUACCAACGCAUCCUAAAUGGAGUAUUACUCAGUUAGUCAGCAAAAUAAGACAACAUAACAGAUAUUAAAAAAAAAACUACAUUAAUAAGUGGGCAAGAUCAUGCCAGUUUAACUUUUCGCGCGUCGCUGCUGGAGAUAAUCAAAUCGGGGCAGAGAAAAGGAGAAUGGAAUCAGAGGCUAAGAUUAAUAAGUGGGCUUCUGCUUGCUUUGCGCCUCUUUCUUAAACGAUUGGUAGACUGCUGCUUCCACCGAUUAACCGGGACUUCAACCACUGCUUUUACUGCCUGCCAUCUUGUUGUUUGUCGAAGGGAUGAAUUCAAGUCGAAAAGAGAAAGCGCGCUGAAAAAGAUAAAUCACUAGUGGUUAACUGCUGACUCAGCCAAGUGUUGGCUUCACUUGAUUCACCGAUUGAGGUUAUUUUGUCUUCUAUCUAAUGCAGCGAAGAAGCUUUGCUGCUUAACAUGCUGCAAUGCAACUUUAUCCUUUGAAGUUCACACUCCAGGGCUGCGCACUUUAUGUAAUCCUAUGAGUAAAAAGAAUUUGUUUUCAAAUGUGAAAAAAGAAAAUGUAAGGUAGUAACUAAAUAUAUUAUAGCAUCAAAGCAAGAUUUGAUAUGAAUUUAGUACAACAAAGAACAUCAAAUCUGUGAUUCCUUGUCUAAUGUCACCAUCGAGCAACAAAUUUAAAAGCCUACCUAUCAAAUACACGAGGCAAUAAACGGAGAAAAAGUUGAAUUACAAGAACAAGUUUACAAUUCUUGUCAAUGGUUAAUGAUUUGUGAACUGCAUAGCAUUCAAGAAUCCAAUUUCAAUACAACAACCUAAAAGAUAAACAGAUGAUGAAUUUUAUGAGAUAAAGAAGGAGAUCGUGUUUUAUCGUAUCUCUAUUUUCUUUCUUUUUAAAUUUAAAAUAAGCUUUUCAACCGGUUUGGUAACUGGUUAUAAUAUUUUUUAAAAUAAUUAAAUAUUUUCAUUAUUAAAAAUAAUGUGUACCGUUGAUUACAUCUAACGGUACAUAUUUCUUACACUACUAAUACCGUAAAAAAAAAAAGGCAUCAUAGAAGGACCCUUAAAACAUUUUCAUUUGAAAUUAUUUGGUGUAGUCAAAAAGUUAAGAAAGAAAUAGUUGUCCCUUUGGUCAUUUCACAAAAAUGAAAGCCCCAUAUAACAUGGACUUGAAUGGAAGCCCAAUUGUUUGUGUUUGAUUUCAAGCUUUAUCGGACCUUUGGACCUGGAUACUUUACUGCGGCCUCUAAGCCCUAUAAAUUUUUUUUUGGGAUAAAAGGUGCUUCAAUGAAAAAGCACUUUAAAACUUUGGAUUUUGCCAAAACUUCAAAGCGGUUGGUCCAGUUACGGUGUGUUAUGCUAACGGGUUUAAAGGUUCCGAUCCAAUGAGUUAGGGUGGAAUAUGAAUAUAUAAAUUCCAUAGCAUGUAAGGACUAGGAUUUGUUUGUUCAUAUCAAGAAAAAAAAUCUGAAAAUUUGAUGAUCAGAAGAUAAAAACACUUAAACACGUUUAUUACAGAGAAACAAACGACAACAUGAUACUAGUAGUAGUUAUUCUUUUCAUCCGAUAUAUUACAUGGUAAUAUCACUACUCGUUCCACUGGUUUCAUAUACACCAUCGAUCAGCAACAUGAUAAUUUUGUGUCAGUUCAUUUUGUUUGUAGGAAAGAGCAGUGUAUUUAUAAUAAAAAGAUUUUAAAAUAUAAAUUGCAUAUUUGUUUAUUACUGUUGUUUGGUCUAAUUUCUUAUGUAGAAUUGCUUGUCAUUCUUUGGACGUUAUUGGUUAUAUUUUUGUCAGACUUGGCGUAUAUAUUCACAUACAUUUUAUUUUGUCAUUUUUUAGAACAUUUUUACACGCCAUAUUAUCACUACUCUUCUCUGUCUGAAUAAGAAGAAAGCAUCAACGGAGGUGUAUUACCACUGUUUCUUACUCAGUUAUCAUCAACGGAGUACCAAGAGGCUUGAUUUUUCCUGAAAGAGGACUUAGGCAAGGGUGUCCACUCUCCCCAUACCUGUUCCUUUUAUGUGCUGAGGUCUUUUCCAGCUUGCUGUCCCAGGCAGAAAGAAAUUAGCAAAUUAAGGGCUUGAGAUUCACUAAAGAUGUUACUAUCUCCCAUCUCCUCUUUGCGAAUGAUAGUCUAAUUUUCACAAGAGCUGCAGUGGCUAAUUGCAAGCAUCUAAAAGGUCUAUUUGAUACUUAUGCGAAGGCAUCGGGGCAUAUUUUUAACUUUGAAAAGUCAUCUAUGUUUUUCAGUGGUAAAAUUUUUUAGGGGCAGAUUUCAGCGAUCAAGAGUAUCUUCAAGCUUAAGGUGGUUCCUGUUGUGCAAAUUUUAAUGAACUCGCAAGCGCACGAAUCUAUUGUAGUAUAGAUCAAUGGUGACGAGUGUCGAUCCCACGAGGAGGUGGAUUUUAAUUAUAUGUAGAAUUAAUUUUGUAAAUGGGUGGUUGGAAUUGUAGUGGAAAUGAUUUGGAAUAUGCUAAAACUUAAAUUAAAAUGGCGAGAAUAAAUUAUGAAAUUGGAAUUGCAAUGGCGAGAAUAAAUUGAAGUGAAAUCUAUUGAAAUAACGUACUUGGGUAUCCGGAUCCGUAUCAACAUGCAUCAUGGGCUAAAUAAUCCGUAUUAAUGCCAAUUAAAUCAUGAGGGGGGAAUCCACACCUCAUGAACCACGCUCUAAUCAAUAUGGUGCUAAGGGCUUAUCGUGCCAAAUAAUAAUAACCUUAUACUAGAGAGCCGGUGUAACCAAGGCGGUAUCUAGACAAGAUUACUAUUAUUUGUCGACGAAAAGUCAAAACAUCCACAAAAACUAGAGGGGAAGAGAAAAUAAAUUUACCAAAUUAAGCCCAUGAAAAUAAUCCUGUGUGAUGCAUGCACCGUACGCGAAAUUUUUCGUCCACUGAUAUGCUGCCACGUCACCAUCAACAGUACAUAAGAAUUUUAGUCCAACAGGAUCGUGACACCUCAUCAGUCAAUGCCACAUCAUCGGUCAAUGCCACGUCAUCGAUCCGUCUAUGUGAACAGUGUCGUGAACAGUAACGUAGACAGUACCGUAUACGUGAAUAGUACCGUACAUGUGAAUAGUGCCAUUUUUCCUUUUAUGCUCCUCCUAAGGUUUUCGACCGUCCUGAGUUCAAAAGUGAUGUCCGUUUUGCUGUCUGAUCUCUCCUUUAUUGUGAAAUGACUAUAAUGCCCCUAAAAUACAUAAAAUACUUAAUUAAAAUAACACACACGUAAUUACAUCACAAAAAGGUUAAAUACAUAAAAGUAAGGGUUGUUAGUAAGACUUGAAAUGUAAAAUGAUGGUUUUCUCCUUUAUAAAUAUGCAUUUUCUAAUACUCAACACACCCCCCAACCAGCUUAUUGCUAGUCCCUAGUAAAUAAAGCGAAAACAAAAUUCAAAUUCAAAAUAUUUUUUUAGAAACACUCGUGUUUAUUCAAUCAGAUUAAUGAUAGCAAUCAAAUAAAAGUAUAAGCAUUAUCUCCAGUCUAAAGCAAUAUCACACCCAUAUCAACCAUCCACAUGAAUCGGCCCAGUAGACUUUGUUAUAGCUACUUUCAAGAAUGACAUGUUAAACCCCAAAAUCUCACUGGAAGUAGUGACACUCUCACAAAGAAAUUAAAACCCAAUAAACAUAGUCACUCCAAUGAAUAGUAAUUGAGAGAGAAAAUAAUAAAGAAAUGAUAUCACAUGCUCUCACCAAGAUGAAAUAAAUAUGCCCUCAGCUUAGAAAUAAUACGAUCUCAAGUCAAAUAAAAUGUUAGUCAACCCACUUUAUUUAUCUUCUUUUUUUUUUUAUUAUUAUGCAUCACUACAUCUUUUUAGCCCAUAUAACUAGCUUCUACUUCAAACUAUAGUUCCCUAAAAUCAAGAAGGACUUUUAUUAGGACGUAACGUAGGCUAGGGAUAUGGCUAACAAAGAAAGGAAAUAAGGAAAACAAAGUGUAUGUUUGAGAAAAAUGCAGAAAUAUAUAUAUAUAUAUAUAUAUAUUUUUUUUUUUUUUUGAAGUUGCAAGGUGGAUUUCACCUAUUAUUGUUAUUUUAUUCUUUUGAAACAACAACUUUUGUUUUUUUGUUUUUUUUUUAUUUUUUGUUUUUUUUUUUGCUUUUAUUUGGCAUAACUUCACUGAACAACAUAAUUAUUUACAUUUUCUCAAACAUAAAUAGGUGAUGGAACUUAUAAGACAUCGAGUAAUACUCCAAAUCGGAGUGAGUCAAGAUGAUAAGUUGACAAAGAAAAGGUUUUAUUUAUUUAUUUUUUUUUAAAGGCUCAAAAGGGGUAACUAUGGAUAUUUAAUAAAAGGGAUGGCUAGAAAGGCUCAAACGGAUCAAAGAUGGCCUUUCCAUCGUCUUUUAGGGCUCUAAAUAAUUAUCCAUAUCUACUAGUUAGAUGGGCCUCCCAAUGUAGCAACACACAUUUUUUUUUUUUUUUUUUAAUUUUACCAUUUUUUUUAAAGGGUUAACUCAAAAGAAAUCUAGAGAUCGUGUAUAAAAUAAUAAACUGCUAAGCUGUAUAGAAAAUGGGCAAAAGGGUUACUCUCCAAGAAAAUGAUAGGCUCAACAACUCACUUGACACUUAUUUAUGACAUGUUCAUUCCUUCAAGCAACUCAUAUUUGUCUCCGACAUCAACAUGUAAAGUAGCAAACAUAGCGUAACAUCACUUAAGACCAAAGAUAAUACAAAUACUAAAAUUUGAAAUUAAUCAUGUCAUCCAAUGUUAAAACAAAUAACACAAAUUUUUUUUUUUUUAAACAACAUUCUACCCCCCAACCUAUUCUAAACAUGAAAAGAAAAUAUGCAUGCAGAAAUGUGAAAAUGAUGUAGAAAAAUUAAUUAGAAAAAGAUUUUUUUUUUUUAAAACUAAGAAGAUGCGUUUCUAGAGGCACUACACUCCAUAUUCAGCCAUCUUCGACUCAAAAGUUGGAAAAUGUAUAUUUAUAGAGGAGAAAAUAAAAAGAAGAAGAAAAAUGAAGUAGAAAAAUUAAUUAGAAAAAGAAUUUUUUUUUUCGAACAAUGAAGAUGCGUUUCUAGAGUAACUACACUCCAUAUUCAGCCAUCUUCAACACAAAAAGUUAGCAACAGUUAGUUUCUACAACAAAAAAUUAGUAAAAACUUAACCAAGAUUCCACAAUUGUCGACUAUUCCCUCCCCCCAACCAGAACGAAACAUUGUCCUCAAUGUUUGAAAGGAAAGAAGUAGAGUUUAGAAGACAUCACCUGGGUGGUGCAACACAGAAGAAUAUAUUUACAGGCGGAGAGUUAAAUCUAAUUUGUACUUCUUACUGCGGCUACUGUUACCAUCAUUAGUUGGUCGCUCCAACACAAAGGUCCAGGGGUCUGGCUCCGGUUUAUAAGCUUGUAACAUAUCAAGUAGCUCAUUAGCAGUGUGAGCACAAAUAAAGAGUUUUUUCACAUUAGAAUGCGAUAAAGUCAUCAUAAAAGUUAUUGACAUUUAACAAACCAAUAGGUUUCUGGUGGAUGUGCAGAUGGGCCCAAGAUGCUAGUGUCAUAAAUGCUUCUAGUGUUGCAAGAUCUCCUGGAAGGAAAAUAAAAGCAUCAGCAUGAUUAAGCAUUUCAGUUAUUCUUUCUUGCAUACCUGAGACGACUAACUCUUCUCCAGUUGAUGAGUCAGACGAACUGCCCAAUGGUUUUAGGACUCUUGGGAUGAUGCCUAACACUUGACUUCCUCUGAUAAAAGCUGCUUCUGAGACCAUUUUUGAUAACCCUCGGUUACCUCCUCCAUACACCAAGUGUAAUUUUCUCGCUGCUAUGCUUCGACCAAGAUCUAUGGCUGCCUCCACAAACUCUUUAUGUUUGCCACAGGUAAAUCCAGAAAGCACACAAAUGUUCUUGAAUUGUCUAAUGGGAGUAGCUGCCAUUGUGAUACUUCUCAAAAACAAUUUGUGAGUGCUUGACAAAAGAUAAAUCACAUUUAAGAAUCUUGGUGACAGUGGAUCACAACUGUGAAUGAGGUAACAUGUCAGUGUCAAAUAACGCGUAAAGCACGUGGCUCGCGAGUCAAAAAGGAAACAAUAAAAAAAAGAAAAAGCAAACAGUAACAAAAUUAUUAAAGACAAAAAUAAAACAACAGUGAAAUGAAAUAAAAUAACAGUAAAGUAAAAGGAUAUUUACACGUAGUUGCGACUGUGGCUCACAUCUUCCUCUGGUUUUACGUCCAGAAACGGCUUGAACGCCCUCUAUGGGUCGAGGAUAGGCUUCCUAUCCAGUUUUCUUAUAAACUGGCAAACAGGGUCGUUUAUAGUCAGAUUCCCGAGACUAUAUCGUGCAUGCUCUUUCUGGAAUAAUGGCCAUAACUGGAGAACCGCUCCUUGCACAUAUCCACUAGGAUGCGUUUCAAGAGACAAAAGGAUAUCAUCCAAUGACUCCUUAUUCAAGCCAUCCCUAAUGAAUUGAAUCUUAUAUUCCCUGUUAUCAGACACCAUUCCUAAAGAACAUGGGUUUCUAUCGCAACUCAUUCUGGCACACUUAUGACAAGCAACAGAAAUUCUUCGAGCUCGUCGUUUUCUUCCAUAAUUUCCUUUACCACAACCAGGCAUGAAUGCAAUAAAUUUUGGAGGAAACUCACCUGCCGAUCGUACUUUAGCCUCGAUUAACCAACGGAUGUCAGCAGGUAUGUUAUUCCUCAUGAGUAAUCGCAUGCGUUCGGAUCGAGCUUUAUAGAUCGUAAGGAGGGCAUUCUGAGGAAGUGAAGGGAAUCGCUUGUGAAGCUUCGCUAGAAUCUCGUUUCUGUUCAUACUUUCACCUCAGAAUGUCAGUUAUUAUGGGAAACUGAAGUAACCGACUUGAUUGUCACGGAGUACCGUUAUCCGCCACUUCACCGGGGUAACAAACUAAAGCACAUAAACAGAAAAACAAAUCAAAACACACAAAGAAAAUUAAAAUCGUCCUCUUAUUGAAUUUACCUCAAGCUCCAACUGGAUGUCGUAAACACUUCUCUCAAUGUCUCUGAGUUGGCGUUCUAAACCCUCAACAUAGGCUACUAACUCUGGUGGUUGUAGAGCCCAAAUGCGUUGUGUUUUACAAAAUUGAAUCUGCCUUUUGAGAUGAGUUUUGAUACGUUGAAGUGGUUUAAGAAUGUUCAGGAGGAACGGUCUAAGUAUGAGACUCAUGAUUAAAAAUGAUAAGAGAAAACUUAAUGGUAAAAUAAACACACUUAUGCAAAAACAAUUUCAAUUAGCAAAAGAAUAAUAAUAAAAAGAAAGAAAGAAAAAUCAAAUCAACGAAAAGAAAAAAAAUCAAUUCAAAUUUGGUGGGUCACUCAAAUUUAUUUCGGUGUCUUCUCUAUGUGGUUGGUACUCAAGAUAUGGCUUUAAUCUUUGACCAUUAACUUUAAACGUGACACCGUUCUUUGGGUCCUUAAUUUCAAUUGCCCCAUGUGGAAAAACAGUAUGAACAAUAAAGGGACCAGACCAUCGAGAGCGUAACUUACCUGGGAAUAGGUGCAAGCGAGAAUUGAAUAAAAGCACUUUCUGACCUGGAGUGAAAGAUUUUCUCAUAAUGUGCUUGUCAUGAAAGACUUUCAUUCGUUGCUUGUAAAUUUUGGCAUUUUCGUAUGCAUCAUUGCGAAUUUCUUCAAGUUCUGCCAGCUGUAAUAUUCUUUCUGAGCUGGCUUGUUGCAUGUCAAAAUUGAAUUUCUUGAUGGCCCAAUACGCACGAUGCUCGAGUUCCACAGGUAGGUGGCAAGCUUUUCCAUACACUAGCCUGUAGGGUGACAUCCCAAUCGGGGUCUUGAAAGCCGUUCUAUAUGCCCAUAAUGCAUCAUCAAGUCUUAAUGACCAAUCUUUCCUGUCUGGCCUCACCGUUUUUUCUAAUAUGUGCUUUAUUUCUCGAUUGGAUAUCUCAACUUGGCCACUGGUUUGCGGAUGAUACGGGGUCGCCACUUUGUGUGUGAUUGAAUACUUUGUCAAAAGAGCCUUGAAUGCUUUGUUACAAAAGUGGGCACCACCAUCACUGAUUAUCGCUCGAGGGAAUCCAAAGCGUGAAACAAUGUUGCUUUUCAAAAAUCCUAUCACCACUUUGUGAUCAUUGGUUCUGCAUGGAAUUGCUUCCACCCAUUUCGAUACGUAGUCAACACCAACCAAUAUGUAUUGAUGGCCAAAAGAAGGGGGAAAGGGUCCCAUGAAGUCGAUACCCCAUACGUCAAAAAUCUCAACCACUAAAAUUGGAUUUAGUGGCAUCAUGUUCCUUCGUGUAAUGCUCCUCAUUCGUUGACACCUAUCACAUGAAGAACAAAAAGUGUAAGCAUCUCGAAAUAUAGUUGGCCAAUAAAAACCACAUUGUAAAACUUUAGUCACGGUUUUCUUAGCACUGAAGUGGCCUCCACAAGCUUGUUCAUGGCAGAAUGAAAGGAUAUUCUGAAUUUCACUUUCUGGGACACAUCGUCUAACAAUUUGGUCUGCACAAUACUUGAACAAAUACGGGUCAUUGUUGAGUGUUAGAAAAUGCAUAUUUAUAAAGGAGAAAACUGUCAUUUUAUGUUUCAAGUCUUACUAACAACCCUUACUUUUAUGUAUUUAACCUUCUUGUAAUGUAAUUACGUGUGUGUUAUUUUAAUUAAGUAUUUUAUGUAUUUUAGGGGCAUUAUAGUCAUUUCACAAUAAAGGAGAGAUCAGACGGCAAAACGGACAUCACUUUUGAACUCAGGACGGUCGAAAACCUUAGGAGGAGCAUAAAAGGAAAAAUGGCACUAUUCACAUAUACGGUAGUAUUCACGUAUACGGUACUGUCUACGUUACUGUUCACGACACUGUUCACAUAGACGGAUCGAUGACGUGGCAUUGACCGAUGAUGUGGCAUUGACUGAUGAGGUGUCACGAUCCUGUUGGACUAAAAUUCUAAUGUACUGUUGAUGGUGACGUGGCAGCAUAUCAGUGGACGAAAAAUCUCGCGUACGGUGCAUGCAUCACACAUGAUUAUUUUCAACCAAACCGCGUUACUGUUCAUCCGGGUCAAACCGUGUUACUGUUCAUCCGCGUGGUCAAACCGUGGACUGUUGACUGAUGACGUGGCGCAAUCCUGAGCGUCCAAACUGUUUUUAAUCCGAUGGCCAUGAUUUACUCCAUGUAUCUAUAAAAAGGGGGCCUCCCCCCCAUAAUUUGAUAUCUCUGAAUCCAUUUUUGGGAUCCAUUUUCUGUAAUUCCUUCUCCAUCUUGUAUUUUCUUUGUAUUUUAAUAAAUUCCCUUUUUGCCCCUAGUUCAAUUAUGAGUAGCUAAUUUCUUUUCAAGCUUGGGUUGAAGGUGAAGUCUCAACAUGUGUCAUGGGCUUUAUUUGGUAAAUUUAUUUUCUUUUCCCCUCUAGUUUUUGUGGAUGAUUUGACUUAUCGUCGAUAAAUAAUAAUGAUCUUGUCUAGAUACCGCCUUGGUUACACCGGCUCUCUAGUAUAAGGUUAUUAUUAUUUGGCACGAUAAGCCCUUAGCACCAUAUUGAUUAGAGCGUGGUUCAUGAGGUGUGGAUUCCCCCCUCAUGAUUUAAUUGGCAUUAAUAUGGAUUAUUUAGCCCAUGAUGCAUGUUGAUACGGAUCCAGAUACCCAAGUACGUCAUUUCAAUAGAUUUCGCUUCAACUUAUUCUCGCCAUUGCAAUUCCAAUUUUAGAAUUUAUUAUCGCAAUUUCAAUUCCAAUUUUAGGAUAAUUUAAAUCACUUCCACCACAAUUCCAACCACCCAUUUUGCAAAAUUAAUUCUAUACACAAUUAAAAUCCACCUCCUCGUGGGAUCGACACUCGUCACCAUUGAUCUACACUACAAUAGAUUCGUGCGCUUGCGAGUUCAUUAAAAUUUGCACAACAGUCAUCCCAAAAGAAAUUCUUUAUUUCUACAAAGAAUUUAGCCUUGUCUUGCUUGGUCCAAUGCUCUGGAAAUUUACCUGUAACAAGAUAAUUAACUAUAUCAGCAUACCAAGGUAAUACUUCCACAUUCAUCAAUUGUUCAUCUGGAAAUGACUCAUUCAAUAUUAAUGGCUCUGUAAUUGUGUCAAAAUGGAGACGAGAGAGGUGGUCCGCCACAACAUUCUCUGUGCCUUUCUUAUCUUUGAAUUCCAAGUCAAACUCCUGCAAAAGUAACACCCAACGAAUUAGUCUAGCUUUUGCAUCUUUCUUUGUGAGAAGAUAUUUAAGAGCAGCAUAAUCUGUGAAUACAAUUAUUUUACAACCAAUGAGAUAAGAUCGAAAUUUUUCUAAUGCAAACACUACUGCUAGCAUUUCUUUUUCAGUAGUUGAAUAAUUCAACUGUGCAUCAUUGAAUGUCAUACUAGCAUAGUAAAUAACAUGGGGAAUUCGAUCAACUCUUUGUCCUAAUACUGCUCCUACGGCAUAAUCAGAUGCAUCACACAUUAGCUCAAAUGGUAAGCUCCAGUUUGGGGCCUGAAUGAUGGGUGAUGAUGUCAACAACUGUUUUAAUUUUUCAAAUGCAACAAGACAUGAAUCAUUAAAGACAAAAGGUACAUCCUUAGCAAGUAGAUUGCAUAAGGGUCUAGAAACUUUGCUAAAAUCUUUAAUGAAACAUCUAUAAAAACCAGCAUGCCUAAGGAAAGAUCUUACUUCUCUGAUUGUUUUGGGUGGAGGAAGAUUAGAAAUGAGAUCCACCUUGGCUUUGUCAACCUCAAUACCUUUGCUCGAAAUGAUGUGACCGAGAACAAUACCUUGUUUUACCAUAAAAUGGCACUUCUCCCAAUUUAAGACUAAGCUCUUCGCGGUACAUCUCUGCAGAACUAGCGUUAGAUGAUGUAAACAUUGAUCAAACGAGUCACCAAAGAUAGAAAAAUCAUCCAUAAAGACUUCAAGGAAUCGUUCAACCAUAUCAGAAAAAAUGCUCAACAUGCAUCGUUGAAAUGUAGCAGGUGCAUUACAUAAUCCAAAUGGCAUUCUCCUAUAUGCAAAAGUGCCAAAAGGGCAAGUAAAAGUAGUUUUCUCUUGAUCUUUUGGUGCUAUGGGAAUCUGAUUAUAUCCUGAGUAGCCAUCUAGAAAGCAAUAAAAUUCAUGGCCUGCUAAUCUAUCAAGCAUUUGAUCAAUAAAUGGUAAAGGAAAAUGGUCUUUACGUGUGACAGAAUUCAACUUUCUAUAAUCAAUGCAUACACGCCAUCCUGUAGUUACUCUAGUUGGUAUCAAUUCAUUAUCAGCAUUGGUAACUACUGUGACUCCUGACUUUUUGGGGACAACUUGUACAGGACUGACCCAUGAACUAUCAGAAAUUGGGUAAAUGAUACCUGCGUCUAAUAGCUUAAGGACUUCUGUUCUAACAACUUCUUUCAUAUUAGGAUUUAACCGACGUUGCAUUUCCCUAGUAGAUUUAGCAUUUUCAUCAAGGUGAAUGUAAUGCAUGCAGUCUACUGGAUUUAUACCUUUUAUGUUCGCUAUGGUCCAUCUUAAUGCUCCUUUGUGCUAUUUAAAACAUCCAACAACUUACCUUUUUGUUCGUCAUUUAGGGAUGAUGAGAUGAUUACCGGCAGAGUACUUUCUUCUCCCAAAAACGCAUAUUCCAAUGUGUUGGGUAAUGGUUUGAGCUCGAGUUUCGGUGGUGAUUCUGAUGAUGGGAUGAGUUUCUUCUCUGAUGGUGCUAGUUGUUCAACUCUUGACUUCCAUUUAUUAGUGUCCAUGGAUGGUGCUGAGUCAAGUAGGGCGUUGACCUCAUCAACUGAUCUGUCAAUAUCAAAAUCCAAACCAAAGUGAGUUAAACAUGUUUAUAAAGGAUCAUCACUAAGGUUUGAAAGAAAAGUAUUAUCAACUAUUGUUUCUAUUAAAUCCACAUCAACAAUUCCAUCAUCUGCACUGUGAGGUUGUUUGGCAAUGUUGAAGAUGUUCAGCUCCAUAGUCAUGCUGCCGAAGGACAACUGCAUAUUUCCAGUCCUGCAUUGAAUGUGAGCAUCCGCAGUUGCCAAGAAAGGUCGACCUAGAAUAAUAGGGAUGUGCUUCCUUGAAUCCUGUAUUGGUUGAGUGUCAAUUACAAUGAAAUCAACAGGAAAAUAAAACUUGUCUACCUGGAUAAGCACGUCCUCCACAAUACCACGAGGUAUUUUCGUGGACCGAUCUGCAAGCUGUAACACCACUGGAGUUGGGUGUAAUUCUCCCAGUCCAAGUUUCACGAAUACAGAGUAAGACAAAAGAUUUACACUAGCUCCUAAAUCCAACAAAGCAUUCUCAAUUGUGUGGUUCCCUAUACUACAUGAGAUAGUGGGGGAGCCUGGGUCUUUGCAUUUUAAAGGAAUUUUAUGUUGGAGUAUAGAACUAACAUUUACUGUUAAAAAUGCCUUCUUUUGAACAUGCAUAUUUCUCUUUUUAGUACAAAGGUCUUUAAGAAACUUGGCAUAAGAUGGAACUUGCUUUAUAGCAUCAAGUAAAGGGAUGUUAACACUUACCUGUUUGAAGAUUUCGAGAAUCUCACCUGUGGAUUUUCCCUUCUUUCCUUUCGCUAACCUCUGAGGAAAUGGAGCUUUGGGAACGUAUUCUCGUGGGUUGGUUUCUUCUUUUUCCUCCGGUGGUGAGUCCUCAACAUUCACAGGUACAAUUUGAUUUUCUUUUGUCACCGGCAUCUCCACUUUGUUGUCGACUUCCUUUCCUUUUCGCAAGGUCAUGACUGCUUUGACCUCUCCAUGCUGUUGUGGUGAACUGGUACUUGCUUCAUGUACUCCUUUAGGAUUAGGCACUGGUUGACUUGGAAAUUUACUUUUCUCAACAGUAAUUGCCAAGGUCUGAACUGAAGAAGCAAGUUGUCCCACCAUCUUCUCGAGGCUUGAAACUGAUUGGGCUUGUGAGUUGAAGCCCGCUCUCAACUCAUUUCGUAGUCCAUCAAUAGUGCGGUUCUGUUGCUCAAUCGUAGAGUGAGUAACAUUCUUGAGAUUUUGGAAUGAAUCCUCCCAUGGUCUGGGUUGAGAGUAGUUCUUGUUCUGAUUGUAUGGUCUGAAUGGUGGCUGAGAGGCUUGAGGAUUUUGAGGAAUUUGUUGCAUUGGUGGAGCUGGAGCUGCUGGUCCAUUCUGUUGGAAUCCUUGAGACCAUGAAAAAUUGGGGUGGUCUCUCCAUCCAGGGUUAUAUGUGUUGGAGUAUGGGUUGUAAUUAGAUGGCUUUCUCAUUACACCUAUGGCAUUGGCUUGAUCUGGAUAUGAGUCAGGGUCACGUGAUUCUGUUGAUUUAGCAGUCGAUAACGAUGUUAUUUGUCGAGCAAGACCUUCAACCAUCUCCUUGACUUCUUUGAUUCCCGAAGUUGACUCGCCAAUGUGAACCUCAUUCACUCCUUUAAUCCUUCUAGUAUUCCUGAGUGAUCGACUCCGUUGUUGGGAAUUGUCCGCUUGUCGCUGGAAAAACUCCCAAAUUUCUGAUGCACUUUUUGACAUUAGCUCUCCUCCACUUGUUGCCAUUAGCCAUUCUUGCACAUUCGGCAAUAAUCCCUUCAAAAAGUAUUGGUAUUGGUGCCAUUUCUCGUACCCAUGAUGUGGACACUUCAAGAGUAGUCCAUUGAAUCGCUCCCAAGUUUCGAAAAACUGCUCGUCCUCUCUUUGUGUAAACUCUGAGAUUUCCCUGCGAAUAGAAUUGGUUUUAUGCACUGGGAAAUAUUUAUUUAGAAAUUUUGUAACCAUUUGUUCCCAUGAUGCAAUGCUAUUAGCAGGCAAAGUAUUUAACCAUGAACGAGCUCUAUCCUUUAAAGAAAAUGGGAAUAAUCUAAGUUUAACAUCAUCGUCUGAAAAAUUUUCAUAUUUAAAAGUUUGACAAAUGGCAUGAAAAUCAUUCAGAUGAUUAUAUGGGUCCUCAUUUUCUAGGCCAUAGAAUGUGGGGAGACAAUUUAGCACACUAGGUUUUAAUUCAAAACUCCUAGCAGCUACAUUUGGGUAUCUUAUGCAUGAUGUGCUCAAAUUAGCUAAGGGACUAAAAUAAUCCUUAAAUGGCCUCUCCUGUGGUGCUUGUAAAUCCAUUUUAUUUUUAAAUUGUUUGUGUGUGCGAAGUGUUUUUUCUAAUUCAAGGUCUAUAGGUUCAAGAUUUGGUAAUAAUGACCUACGACCAUGCAUGCAAAACAAAUAAAAUAAAAAUAAAGAUGGGAAUAAAACGAAUAAAAAUAAAGAAAAAUGAGAAAUUACGAUACUAACCUUAUUGCGCUGUUACAACUUUUCUAUAAAAACACACUAAAACAAAUACGUGAAAUAAAUUAACUAAAAAUAAAUUAAUUAAAAAAAAUUACAAAGAAAAAUAACUUAAAAAUUAAAUUGCAGAAUUGUAAAGAAUAGAGAAAGAAAAGAAAUUAUUACCUCUAAUUGCAGAUUCACUUUUUUUUUUCUCUUUUUUUUUAUAAAAAAAUACAAGAAAACAAAUAAAAGAAAUUAUUCACAAAAAUUAAUUCUAUGAAUUAAAAUUACUUACCUCCCCGGCAACGGCGCCAAAAACUUGUUGUGCAAAUUUUAAUGAACUCGCAAGCGCACGAAUCUAUUGUAGUAUAGAUCAAUGGUGACGAGUGUCGAUCCCACGAGGAGGUGGAUUUUAAUUAUAUGUAGAAUUAAUUUUGUAAAUGGGUGGUUGGAAUUGUGGUGGAAAUGAUUUGGAAUAUGCUAAAACUUAAAUUAAAAUGGCGAGAAUAAAUUCUGAAAUUGGAAUUGCAAUGGCGAGAAUAAAUUGAAGUGAAAUCUAUUGAAAUAACGUACUUGGGUAUCCGGAUCCGUAUCAACAUGCAUCAUGGGCUAAAUAAUCCGUAUUAAUGCCAAUUAAAUCAUGAGGGGAGAAUCCACAUCUCAUGAACCACGCUCUAAUCAAUAUGGUGCUAAGGGCUUAUCGUGCCAAAUAAUAAUAACCUUAUACUAGAGAGCCGGUGUAACCAAGACGGUAUCUAGACAAGAUUACUAUUAUUUGUUGACGAGAAGUCAAAACAUCCACAAAAACUAGAGGGGAAGAGAAAAUAAAUUUACCAAAUUAAGCCCAUGACACAUGUUGAGACUUCACCUUCAACCCAAGCUUGAAAGAAAAUUAGCCACUCAUAAUUGAACUAGGGGCAAAAUGGGAAUUUAUUAAAAUACAAAGAAAAUACAAGAUGGAGAAGGAAUUACAGAAAAUGGAUCUCAAAAAUGGAUUCAGAGCUAUCAAAUUAGGGGGGGGAGGCCCCCUUUUUAUAGAUACAUGGAGUAAAUCAUGGCCAUCGGAUUAAAAACAGUUUGGACGCUCAGGAUUGCCCCACGUCAUCAGUCAACAGUCCACGGUUUGACCACGCGGAUGAACAGUAACACAGUUUGACCCGGAUAAACAGUAACACGGUUUGGUUGAAAAUAAUCCUGUGUGAUGCAUGCACCGUACGCGAGAUUUUUCGUCCACUGAUAUGCUGCCACGUCACCAUCAACAGUACAUAAGAAUUUUAGUCCAACAGGAUCGUGACACCUCAUCAGUCAAUGCCACAUCAUCGGUCAAUGCCACGUCAUCGAUCCGUCUAUGUGAACAGUGUCGUGAACAGUAACGUAGACAGUACCGUAUACGUGAAUAGUACCGUACAUGUGAAUAGUGCCAUUUUUCCUUUUAUGCUCCUCCUAAGGUUUUCGACCGUCCUGAGUUCAAAAGUGAUGUCCGUUUUGCUGUCUGAUCUCUCCUUUAUUGUGAAAUGACUAUAAUGCCCCUAAAAUACAUAAAAUACUUAAUUAAAAUAACACACACGUAAUUACAUCACAAAAAGGUUAAAUACAUAAAAGUAAGGGUUGUUAGUAAGACUUGAAAUGUAAAAUGAUGGUUUUCUCCUUUAUAAAUAUGCAUUUUCUAAUACUCAACAGUUCCCAAAUAUGAAAGAUGCUUAGGCCUCCCAUCCAUGAUAGGCCGGAAGAAGAUGAGUUUUUUCAAGGAUGUCAAAUUAAAGGUUUUAAGAAAAAUUUCCAACUGGCACCAUAAAAUGUUCUCUAGUGGUGGAAAGGAAGUUCUUUUUAAAGCAGUCGCUCAAGCCAUCCCAGCAUAUGCCAUGAGCGUUUUCAAGCUCCUGAAGGGGCUAUGUGAAGACAUCCAAAGAGUUAUAGCCAAAUUUUGGUGGGGUUCGAAUCAAGAUAAGCAAGCAAUACACUGGUCGAGAUGGGAAAAAUUAAGUUGUGCAAAGAGUAGAUGGGGGCUGGGAUUCAGAGAUUUUACCAGCUUCAAUCAAGCAAUGGUGGCUAAACAAGGUUGGAGGCUGCUUCAGUUCCCGGAUUCCCUGGUAUCCAAGUUACUGCAGGCCAAAUACUACAGGAACUCCUCAUUCUUGAAUGCAAAGGAAGGUUCUAAUCCUUCUUUUAUCUGGAAAAGCAUCCUUUGGGGUAGGCUAGUUAUAAAAAAAAGGGCAAGAUGGCGAAUUGGGAAUGAGAGCAAUAUUCGGGUGUACAAAGACAAUUGGCUGCCAAGAUUGGAUACUUUCAAACCGAUAUCCCCUCCAACAUUGCCCAUGGAAACAACAGUGGCCAAGUUGAUAACUGAGGACAGCCACUGGAAUGAAGCUAAGCUAAAGCACCACUUUUUCGAGGAGGACACAGAAGCAAUACUCAAAAUUUCCCUCCCCCCAAGCCAUAAAGAGGAUUCCUUACUAUGGCAUUUUGACAAAAGAGAGGCAUACACUGUAAAAAGUGGCUACCAGGUGGCUCUCAAGCUUAAAUUCCCAAAUCAGGCCAGCAGCUCAGCCAGCCCCCCCCCCAAGAUGGAAUAAUCUGUGGUCUCUUAACUGGCCUGAAAAAAUCAAAAUCUUCAUGUGGAGAGCAUCCAAAAACCUUUUUCCAACAGCUGAAAACUUGUGGAAAAGAAAAUGUCUCCAAGAUCCAAUUUGCAAAAGAUGCUGCAGAAGUGUAGAAACCACUUACCAUGCUCUGCUAGAGUGUAAAGCAACGAAGAAGAUCUGGAAUCAUGCUCCUCUCCAGCUGAUAAGAAGCUACGCAGAACUAAUCGUGUAGCCAAACCCAACAGCAAGUACAUGGAAUAUGCAUGGGCACGUCAUUAGCCAUGCAACGUUUGAGAUGAUGAUCUGGAGCUGACUUCUUCAAAUUAACCGUUGCUUAUUUGGAGGAGAUCUUUCAUGCAAGUAUUUGUUUUGGUAUAUUUUGGAAUAAUAGUCAGGUUGUUGAGAUGUUGUUAACGACUUGAUUUAGUUAGCUUUGUUCAAGCCUUGUUUCACGGCUAAGGAAAUUAGUUUUGUAUUAGACUAUAAAUAAGCUCUUUUAUUCAAUAAGAAGAUCAUCAGAUUUUUAUUCCAAAAACAUUAUUUGUGGUAGUUCUCGCCCAAAGAAGAACAAGCAAUUUACUUUGUCAAUUCUGCUAGUUUUGACUGGGACCUCUAUUAGUGGUAUCAGAGCUAGGUUAGGAUGGCAACCAACAAAGAGCGUAUCGAGCGAAUAGAAACAGAGGUCGGAGAUAUACAAGACAAGAUGCAACAGUUGGAGUUGGGGAUCAAUGACAAAUUGGCACACAUUGAGGCAACAUUAAGCAAGCUUGCGGACUCAAUCAAUACUUCAAGAGGGUUGCCAAGUAUCAACAACAAUACUGCAUCUUCACGACUGGGCCGAGAAGUCAGUACAGGAGGGCCUCAACAUUUCCAAUCCAAGGUAGCAAAACUAGAAUUCCCUCACUAUUCGGGCGACGACCCCACCGAAUGGUUCAAUCGUGCAAGUUAGUUCUUCGAAUAACAGGAAUCAACAGACGAUCAGAAAGUGGUUCUAGCGUCAUUCCACUUGGAGGGGGAAGCAAAUCAGUGGUGGCAGUGGCUUCGAAGGUCUUAUCAAGAUGAAGGCAAAGUCGUGACUUGGGAGGUGUUUAUGGAGGAGUUAUGGGCAAGGUUUGGACCGACAGACUGUGAAGAUUUCAACGAGGCUCUCUCACGGGUUAAACAAACCGGUACUCUCCGUGACUACCAGAAGGAAUUUGAACGACUCGGAAACCGUGUUCAAGGCUGGACACAGAAGGCACUUGUUGGAACAUUCAUGGGAGGGCUUAAACCAGAGAUAUCUGAAGAAAUUCGGCUGUUUCGACCGAGGACUCUUAAGGAAGCAAUAAGCUUGGCAAGAAUGAGAGAUGAGCAACUGACCCGACAACGGAGACUGUUGAGAUCACCAAUCCUCACUCGUUCACCAACGGCUCAAGUCACCAACCAACGUGCUUCACCAACAGUACCCUUUAAGAGACUUUCUUGGGAGGAGAUGCAAAAACGCAGGUCACAAGGAUUAUGUUUUAACUGUAAUGAAAAAUUCUCUGCAGGUCAUAAGUGCAUAAAGGCGCAAUUGUUAAUCUUAGAAGCAGAUGAUAACGAAGAGUCCACGGAAACAACGCAACAUGAGUAUGAGACGGAAGAGCACGACAAACCUAAAAUAACAUUCUAUGCUUUGGCGGGUUAGGCUGCUCCUCAGACAAUGCGAGUGAAAGCUAAGAUUGGGCCACACGAGAUUAUUGUACUAGUGGACAGCGGCUCAACGCACAAUUUUAUCAACUCGCGUUUGGCUAAUAUGCUUCAGCUCCCAGUUCAACCGACAUCAGCAUUUCCAGUAAAAGUGGCCAAUGGAGAGAAAGUUAUUUGCCAGGGGAAACAUGACAAGGUACAUGUUUUAAUUCAGGACAUCCCUUUUGAACUUACUCUCUACUCAUUGCCGAUUACAGGACUCGACGUGGUGCUUGGUGUCCAAUGGCUUGAAAGCUUAGGGUCGGUGGUUUGUAAUUGGAAACAAUUAACAAUGGACUUCGAUUGGGAUAAUGCUAAGCGAAGGUUGCAAGGGCUGGAUCCACAAACAAUUCAAGCUACAACAUUAUCUGAAGUUGCCAAAGAUAUGAAACAAGGGCACAACGUGUUUGCUAUAUGUCUCUAUUUAAACAAUGAGGAAUCAUAUACAGUAGCACCGGCCAGCAUGAGGAGUUUGCUAGAGGAAUAUUCCGAGCUGUUCGUGGAACCCAAACAACUCCCACCAACACGGGAAAUCGACCACCAAAUCACUCUUAAAGAAGGAACAGAACCAAUUAAUGUGAGACCCUACCGGUACGCUUAUUUCCAAAAAGCGGAGAUUGAGAGACAAGUGAACGAAAUGCUGUCUUCCGGGCUCAUUCGACCAAGCACCAGCCCCUUCUCAUCACCGGUACUCCUAGUAAAAAAAAAGAUGGCAGUUGGAGGUUUUGUACUGACUACAGAGCACUCAACAAGGCCACAGUAAAAGACAGAUUUCCAAUACCAACAGUAGAAGACAUGUUAGAUGAAUUGCACGGUGCAACAUUCUUCACCAAACUAGACCUCAGAGCCGGCUACCAUCAGGUACGGCUAAACUCAUCAGAUAUACAUAAGACGGCUUUUCGCACACACAAUGGCCAUUAUGAAUAUCUGGUCAUGCCAUUCGGCUUAUGCAAUGCUCCCUCUACUUUUCAAGCAAUUAUGAAUGCUAUUUUUCGGCCCCAUCUUCGGAAAUUUAUAUUGGUAUUUUUUAACGACAUCUUGAUUUAUAGUCCCACGUGGGAAUGUCAUUUGAAACACGUUAGACAGACCUUGGAAAUUCUUAAACAACAUCAAUUUUUUGUCAAGGCUAGCAAGUGCAAUUUUGGCCAGCAAGAACUUGAAUAUUUGGGACACAUCGUCACUUGCCAUGGUGUGAAGGUGGAUGAACAGAAAAUUGCAGCAAUGGUGUCAUGGCCAAAGCCACGGAAUAUUACAGAGCUAAGGGGAUUUUUAGGCCUAACAGGGUAUUAUCGCAAGUUCGUUCGUGGGUAUGGCCUGUUAGCCCGGGCCCUAACCAAUCUUCUUAAGAAAGGACAAUUCGGGUGGAAUACUGAAGCUGCAACAGCAUUUGAGCAAUUGAAACUUGCCAUGACUCAAACUCCAGUACUUUCUAUGCCUAAUUUUAACGAUGUUUUUGUUAUUGAAACUGAUGCGUCCGGUGAUGGCAUAGGAGCAGUACUGCAGCAAAACGGAAAACCAAUAGCUUACAUGAGUCGAGCGUUGGGUAUAACAAAAAAGACUUGGUCGACAUAUGCGAAAGAGAUGUUGGCAGUGGUAGAGGCGGUCAGAUUUUGGAGGCCUUAUUUACUGGGACAACGAUUUGUGAUACAAACAGAUCAAAAAAGCUUAAAAUAUCUCUUGGAGCAGAAGAUAGCAACUCCUGAUCAACAGCAAUGGAUGGUCAAACUCAUGGGUUACGAUUACGAAAUCCGAUACCGCCCCGGCAAGGAAAACGCUGCUGCCGAUGCACUCUCUAGAAGAACUGACAGCCCAACUCUUAAUCAUCUUUUUGUACCGCAGGUGUCACUAUGGGGAGAAAUUAAAAAGGCUAUGCAUGAAGAUGAUUAUCUAAAGAAGAUUGCACAGCAAGUUGAGACUCAACCCGACGGCCCUUACACGGCAAAAAACGGCCUCAUAUUCUUCAAAGGCAGGGUAAUAGUUCCGCGAAAGAUGCGUGACUUAUUAUUAUUUGAGGCCCACAAUACGAAAAUAGGAGGGCAUUCCGGAGUCCUUCGCACUUACAAACGCUUAGCGCAGCAAUUUUAUUGGCCCUCAAUGUUUCAAUCUGUUCAUGAUUAUGUAAGUAAGUGUGUUGUUUGCCAGAAGACGAAGAGUGAAACGCUACAACCAGCAGGGCUUCUUCAACCGUUGCCUGUUCCUUGCCAAGUGUGGGAGGAUAUUUCUUUAGAUUUUAUUGAAGGGCUGCCUAAUUCACAAGGAAGAGAUACAAUAUUUGUGAUAGUCGACAGGCUCAGUAAAUAUGCAUUCUUCCUUUCCUUAUCUCACCCAUUUACCGCUAAAUCUGUUGCUGAAAGAUUUGUUGACGGAGUGGUAAAACUACACGGCAUGCCCAAGAGUAUUGUAAGUGAUCGGGAUCCAAUAUUUAUUAGCAAAUUUUGGAGUGAAUUUUUUACACUGUCAGGCACACAAUUAACGAUGAGUUCAGCCUAUCAUCCGCAAACGGACGGCCAAACAGAGGUUGUUAACAGAUGUCUGGAGCAAUAUUUACGCUGCUUUGUCCACCAGUGGCCACGCAAGUGGAACAUGUAUCUGUCGUGGGCUGAGUUUUGGUACAAUACCACUUUUCAUGUAUCCACCGGAAUGACCCCUUUUCAAGCUCUCUAUGGCCGGCCUCCACCUUCUGUCCCCAUGGAUUCGAUCGGGUCUUCACCGGUUCACGAAGUCGAUCACGCCUUACAGACCAGAGAUGAGUUAUUGCGGCAACUAAAAUCUAACCUUGCUGCAGCGGCUAAUCGAAUGAAACAAACGGCCGACAAGAAAAGGAGGGAUGUCGAAUUCAAAGAAGGAGACAUGGUGUACUUGCGCUUGCAUCCGUACCGGCAAUCUUCAGUUUUUAAACGUGCACAUCAAAAAUUAUGCAACAGGUAUUUUGGACCAUAUCAAAUAAUUCAAAAAGUGGGGCCUGUCGCUUUUAAGCUCCAGUUGCCAGAAGGUGCCAAGGUCCAUUCUACAUUUCAUGUUUCAGUACUAAAAAAAGCAGUGGGAGAUUCGACAGAGAGCAGCACGGAGUUACCUCCUAUAGAUGAUGAAGGUGUGCUGGUUUUGGAGCCUAAAUCAGUUCUGGACACUCGGUGGCUUAAAAGAGGUGGUACUGUUAUUGAGCAAAGUCUGAUUCACUGGAACAAUCAACCAAUGGAAGAGGCCACUUGGGAAGAUACUGUCGUCAUUAAGCAGCGGUUUCCUUCGCUGACCCUUGAGGACAAGGGUCCUCUUUCAUGGGGGAGUGAUGAUAAGAAGCUACGCAGAACUAAUCGUGUAGCCAAACCCAACAGCAAGUACAUGGAAUAUGCAUGGGCACGUCAUUAGCCAUGCAACGUUUGAGAUGAUGAUCUGGAGCUGACUUCUUCAAAUUAACCGUUGCUUAUUUGGAGGAGAUCUUUCAUGCAAGUAUUUGUUUUGGUAUAUUUUGGAAUAAUAGUCAGGUUGUUGAGAUGUUGUUAACGACUUGAUUUAGUUAGCUUUGUUCAAGCCUUGUUUCACGGCUAAGGAAAUUAGUUUUGUAUUAGACUAUAAAUAAGCUCUUUUAUUCAAUAAGAAGAUCAUCAGAUUUUUAUUCCAAAAACAUUAUUUGUGGUAGUUCUCGCCCAAAGAAGAACAAGCAAUUUACUUUGUCAAUUCUGCUAGUUUUGACUGGGACCUCUAUUACCAGCCCAAUUUUCAGAAUUCUCCAAACCAGAGCAUCCUCAGCAUCAUCCAAAAUAUGCCCUCCAAUAUGCGGAAGUCUAAUUUCGAUCUCUUGAUCUCUCUAUGUUGGGUGGCUUGGUAUGCUCGAAACAAGUUUAUUUUCGAAGGUAAGAAGAUAGACCCAAGGCUCUCUGUAGCUAAAGCUGAAGCAGUGAUUGAUGCUUUCCAAAGAGCUAGGAAGCCUGGAGCCACUCAUAUCCAUAACAGCAGCAAAGUACCUCAGCAUAAGUGGAAUCCCCCUCCGAAGAAUGUUGUCAAGGUUAACGUGGAUGCAGCCAUCAACAGCAAGAGUCAAAUGGCAGGCUUAGGAGCUGUAAUUAGAGACUCAAAGAACAAAUUUGUAGCUGCAGGCAUCAUGCAAACUGGUUUGAAGGAGCAUGUCAACUAUGCAGAAGCUGAAGCCAUUGUAUAGGGUUUAAAGCUAGCUAGAAGGGCAGCUCUUUCCACUUUGAUCAUAGAGUCAGAUUGCCUAGAAGUGGUUGAGUUAGUAAACAACAUAAAGAGCAACAAAACAGGACAAUGGUGGAUAAUUGAAGAGAUCCAGAACUAAAAAAGUGAGUUUUGUAAUGUAAUUAUCAAUCAUAUCCCUAGAACCUAUAAUGUUUGUGCUCAUUCCCUAACAAAACUUACUGUGGGAGCAAAUACGCCUGCUGUCUGGUUAGACCAUAUUCCAACAGAGGUGAUGAAUGUUCUGAUUUAGUGUUGUUUUUAAUGGAAAGGAUUACUUUCUUCAAAAAAAAAAAAAGAAUAAGAAGAAAGCAUAAUGCGACCCUCCAACAGCUUAAUCUAUGGAAUUAUCGUGUUUUGUAAGUUAGGGUCCAAUGGCGUUUUGGCACAUCAUAUGAUAGACCACUAUAUUGCGUUGCUUUACAAAAGAUUAAUAUUUUUAAAAUUAUUAGGUAAGUUUAGGCUCAGUGGCACUUUAACUCAUGAUAUGAUAGUCCAGGUUUUCGAGGACCACUAUAUUGUAUUGAUUUAAAAAAAAAUUAAUAUUUUUUAAUAUUAAUAUUCUAAAUUAUAUUCAGUUAAAAUAUUAAAUAUUAAAUACAUUCUUAAUAUUAAUAUUCUUAGACGAAAUUCUUUUGCUGGCUUAAGAAUAAAAUAUUAAAUAAUUUUAUUUUUCUUUUAUUGUGUAACGUGGACCCAAAAAAAAAAAGGAAAUGAAUUUAAUAAAACCUUCAUUCCGCCACCAUCCAUGUUAAUUGUUUCCAAAUUCCAACCUCCGUACUCUCUUGAGGAGUUUCCCAUUCAUCAAUUAUUAUUUUUUAUAAUCCAUACCAUCCUGAUAUAAUUAAACACCAUUAAUAAUGUACCAGCCUUUAAAUAGUAAUUAAUUUAUUUAUCUAAUUCACCAAAUGUUUUUUCCGGUACAUAUCUCCAUUGGUAUCAAGAAGAAGCAGAACCCAAACAAAUGUUUCUUGCAUCUUCAUAUUUGUGCAAAUUCAUCCUUUCAUUGAGAAUAACCAUUUCCAGGCAGCAGUUGGCAAUCAAUUCAUGCGCACGUCGAUGCUAUUCAUAGAUAUUAAAGACAAUGAUGAACCAAAGGUGAUAAAUCAUAAAUGCAUAAUUACCAAACCUCCAUCCUUCUCUCAUUAUGAUUUGAUUUUAAAUGAAUUAUUGCUUGGUAACAUUAUUUCCAACCAUUGCAAGCCCUUUUUUUUUUUUGGGAGAAAUUUCAAUUGAAAGUGAAACCUUUAGACAUUUACCUAAUGAAGUUAGUUAAUCGGGAGGGUGGAAAAAAAAAAGGUUGACGCAAGUCAAUACACAAUAAUUAAUUAAAUCCGGAGUGACUAAAACAGAGCCACGACUUUUUCAAAAAUAUCUGCAUUCAUCACUUUCUCCUCGUUUGUUGUCAUCCAAAAUUAUUCACCAAUACCAUGGCUGAUGCAAUCGUUUCCACUAUCUUGGAGCAGCUGAUUUCCUUCGCUGCUGAAGAGAUAAAACAACAGGUGAUCGAAGUUACACCCCUCAUAUUACAAAUACUUCCAAUGAUUUUAAUUGGUUUUGUUUUUAUCAAAAACAUUAUAUAUUUUUGCUUUAUUUUAUUUAUCUGGUAAUUUUAGAUUUUGAAAUUUGAAUUGAAUUUAAUUAAAAGGUCAUGUAGUAACCACUUAUUUUUAUUUUAUUUCAUUUAUAUUCUCAAUAACUAACCAUAUUUUGGUAACUUAAUAUAACUCUCGUACAUAAGAAAUGAUCAAAACCCACAAUUUUAACUCUGUAUAAAUAUUCAACGUUGAGUCAUUAAUUCUCAACUCAGCACUGAAUCCCAAAGCUAUUACUUAGACUCUAUGAAAAAAUUCAUAGUUUUCUUACAUUCUUUGAGUUUGGUAAGUGAUUUCGUAUAAUUUCUUUUCAAGUUAAAUUUUAAUUUGGUUUAUGAUAUAGUCUCUGUGCCGAAUUGUAUCUUUUAUGAUUCUUGGAUUUUGGGCUCCAACUUUUUAGGAUUUGAUAGUCAUAUUUUAUGCCAUGCUCAGAUUGAUUUUCAUGAUUUUUAGUAGCCGUUAAGUGACUUACAAUUUGACGAAAGUUUGAAAGGAAAAAUGUUUCAGGAUUAUGUUUUAAUUGACCUUUUAGUAGAAAUAGGAUGCUUAUAACUUAAUGUGGAUGGUUCGUAAAAUCAUGAAAUUUGGAUAGGAUUCACUAGAAAUAUGUACAAGACUCUCCAUAAAGUUUCAUAAUUUUUCAUUCGGUAUGGGGUGGCACAGGUGAAACUUGUGUUUGGUGUUGAAAAAGAAGUGAAAAGCCUUACCAGCCACCUUCAAGCCAUUCAAGUUGUGCUCGAUGAUGCAGAGGAAAAGCAAGUGAAGGACAAAGCUGUUAGUCUUUGGCUGGGUAGGCUCAAGUACGCAUCCUACGACAUUGAAGAUGUGUUGGAUGAGUGGAUCACAGCAAGACGCAAAUUGCAAAUUGAGGGUGGCGUUGAUGAAAAUGCUCUUGUUGUUCCUCAUAAGAAAAAGAAGGUAUGUCUCUGCUUUCCCAGCUCUUGUUUUGGAUUCAAACAAGAAGAAUUUGGUUUCAAACAAGUCUUUCUCCGUCAUGACAUUGCCGACAAGAUCAAAGAAAUCAAUGAAGAGCUACAUGAUAUUGCCGCUCAAAAAGACAUGUUUGAUCUUGUUAAGAGUGGCAAUAAAAGUAGUGAAAGACCAAGGCGUGUACAGAGUACCUCCUUGAUUGAUGAGGAAGAGAUUUGUGGUAGAGUUGGUGAGAGGAAUGAACUCAUAAGCAAGCUGUUGCGUGAGAGUAGCGAGCAACAAAAAGGCCUCCAUAUCAUCUCAAUUGUUGGUAUGGGAGGCAUAGGGAAAACUACUCUUGCACAACUAGCUUGUAAUCAUGACGAGGUGAAGAGAAAGUUCGACAAAAUUCUGUGGGUGUGUGUAUCAGAAACUUUUGAGGAGUUUAGGGUAGCCAAAGCGAUCGUUGAAGUUUUGGAUGGUCGUGAAUCUCAUUUAGCUGAAUUCCAUUCUCUUCUUCAACAUAUUUAUGAAUCAAUUGCAGGGAAGAGCUUUCUUCUUGUCUUAGAUGAUGUGUGGGAUGGAAAUUACUUGAAAUGGGAACCAUUCUACCGUUGUCUAAAGAAUGGUCUCCAUGGAAGUAAAAUUUUAGUUACCACACGCAAAGGGUCAGUCGCAUCCAUGAUGGGAUCCACAGAUAUUAUCUCUGUCAAGGAGUUAGCUGAAGAGGAAUGUUGGUUGUUGUUUAAAAAGAUAGCAUUUUUUGAUCGGUCCAUCGAGGAACGUGAAAAAUUAGAACAAAUUGGGCAAAGAAUUGCAGGCAAGUGCAAAGGUUUACCUCUUGCAGCAAAGACAAUAGGGAGUCUCAUGCGUUCUAAACAAACUGAAGAAGAGUGGAAAAGAAUUUUAAAUAGUGAUUUAUGGAAAGUAGAAGAGAUUGAGAAAGAUGUUUUGUCCUCUUUAUUGUUGAGUUAUAAUGAUUUGCCAUCUAGAGUAAAAAGAUGUUUUUCAUAUUGUGCUGUCUUUCCAAAAGACUACGAUAUAAAAAAAGACGAACUAAUCACAUUAUGGAUGGCUCAAGGUUAUCUUAGUGCAGAACAAGAUGAAGAGAUGGAGACAAUAGGUGAAGAGUAUUUUGGCAUCUUAGCUUCUCGCUCGUUUUUUCAAGAGUUUAAGAAAAGUUAUGAUAAUCGGAUUAUAGCGUGUAAGAUGCAUGAUAUGGUACAUGAUUUUGCCCGAUUUGUAAGUCAAAAUGAAUGUUUUUCGAUGGCAAUUAAUGGUAGUGAAGAACCAAACGCCACAAACUCUCUUGAUGAAAAGGUCUGUCAUUUAAUGUUAAUCUUUAGUAAAGGGGCUUCAUUACCUGUUUCCACUCGUAGAGUUAAAAGAAUGCGUACCCUCUUAAUUAGCGCUAGUGGAUCUGAUCAUUCAUCAUUAAAUGCUGAGAUCGUAGAAGAAUUAUUUAGGGAAUCGACAAGUUUAAGGGCAUUAGAUGUUAGCCAGGUGUCUUUGCCUACAGAGAUUUUAAGAAAUAUAAAAAAGCUGGUACAUUUAAGAUACCUUAAUUUGCGUUUUCCGAAAAUAGUGAAACUACCGGAGACAUUGUGCGAGUUAUAUAAUCUAGAAAAGUUAGAUAUUAGUUAUUGUUUUAAUCUUAAAGAAUUACCUGAAGGGAUUGGGAAGUUAAUAAACAUGAAGCAUUUACUAAAUAGAGGUACUAAUUCUUUAAGGUACAUGCCAGUAGGGAUUGGGAGAUUAACGGGUCUUAGGACCUUGGGUGAGUUCCGCGUGAGUGCAGGAGGAGAUGUUGAUGGUAGGAAAGCAUGUAGGCUUGAAUCUCUUAAAAACUUGGAACACCUUCAAGUAUGUGGUAUACGUAGACUGGGUGAUGUAUCAGAUGUGGGCGAGGCUAAGCGAUUAGAACUUGACAAAAAGAAAUACCUCUCUUGUUUGAGACUUCGGUUUGAUAAGAAGAAAGAAGGAGGAGAAAGGAGGAAGAACGAAGACGAUCAACUACUUCUUGAAGCCCUGCGACCAUCUCUGGAUUUAAAGGAAUUAGAGAUACAGUUCAACCGAGGCAACACUGUUUUCCCCAGCUGGAUGACGUCAUUAACCAACUUAAAGAGUUUAGGUCUCUCUUUGUGCGAAAAUUGCGAGCAGUUGCCUCCUUUGGGAAAAUUGCCAUCCCUCGAACAGCUCUUCAUAUCGUACAUGUCGAGUGUGAAAAGAGUGGGUGAUGAAUUUCUGGGGGUAGAAAGUGAUCGUCAUGACUCAUCGUCAUCUUCAUUAGUUAUUAUUGCCUUCCCCAAAUUGAAAUCACUUAGAAUUGAGGGAUUGAUGGAAUUGGAGGAGUGGGAUUAUGGGAUUACAAGAACGGGAAACACCGUCAUCAACAUCAUGCCCCAUCUUUCUUCCUUGGUAAUUGAUAGUUGCUACGAAUUAAAGGCACUGCCCGAUCACAUUCAUCAAACGACGACAUUGAAGCGAUUGUGGAUUUUGAAUUGUGGGCCUCUGGGAGAACGUUACCGCACGGGGGAAGGAGAAGACUGGCCUAAUAUAUCACACAUUCCCAACAUACAUAUUCGUUAAGAAGGAUUUGCGCAUUUGAGAUUUGGCGUUGACAAGUAAUUUCUUCUCUUACUCUGAUUUGCUUUUGUUGUUGUUUUUAAUCUAGUUAAGAAGUGUAAAUAGCAUUUUGAAUCAAACUCUAUAUCAGAAAUCUGCAAUACAUACUUUCUAAUAUUCUGAUUUUCAUAUCCUAUGAAUAUACGAUUUUUAAUUUGUGAGAUGGGUAACGUUACUGUAAAAGAUUAUUAAUGCAAUAUGAGUAAUUCUUUUGCAGGACAAGUGACCUACAUUUAGUUUGGCUUUGGAGUUGAAUAAUAACCUUUCGAGGUCCCGACAAACAAAAAACGAAGCUUAAUUUGCCACAGAUUGCACGUAUUGCCAUUAUUGACAAUUUUCUGCACAAGUGAUCGAGGGUGAGGUCCUGUCCUGAAUAAAGCUCUCGUGACUGAACUUAGGUUGAUGUCAAAAGAGGUAAAUUAUCGGCAUGCCUGACUAUUUUGACCAUUACAUGAUUCAUAAAUUGAGUGAUUACUUUUCAAGGUUUGCUUACUUAACCGGGUGACCAAUUUCUUGUAACUAAAUGUAUGAUAUGAAAUGAGAAGCUUAUUAGUGGAAGGAUUGCCUGUAACAGAACCCAAAGAAAAUGAAACCAUUUCAAGGCAGCAGCCGGCAGUUGGGAGUGAAUGGAGGGCCUUCACAAAAUUCUCAAGCAGUUGCAAUGCAAUUACGAUCAUCCUCAGCCUCAGGUAAUUUCUUCUCCUGCUUUGUUUUUAUUUGUUACCUAAUUAAGAAGCAUUAUUUGUUUUUAUUUGUUACCUAAUUGAAGGACAAGUGCUGAAGAGUGGGAAUGGUGCUAUAUUGGGGAAUAAUGCAGGAGGAGGUAAAUUAUUGGGAGUUUCUUCAACCUUGUUUUCUUUGAACCAGCGCCUGAUCCACAAGACUCCGUUAAUUUGGCUUUUGAUCGGCUGAUUGAUAAAUUUUCAAUUUCUUUUGUGAUAAAUGUAUAUGUGAAGCAGGCAGCAGGACAUGACUGUGGAAAAGAGAAGAUCUUAGUGAAAGCUGAGACUCAGAUAUUUCUACAAAGUAUGUGUUUUGGCUGAUUUAUCUAAUUCAUGAAAUUUUAUUUCCAUCUGUUACAAGAUCAAACUGAAGCAGAACUCAAAGAAAAGUAUUCUACUUCUUACGGCAAUCUUGCCUUCGUUCAGAUUAUGGAACCAUUUCCAUGCAGCAAAUUCAUCCAAAAGUUUGAAUAAGUUUCAUGGUUGGACACUGUUGGCUUCUUUUUCUUUUGGGGUGCAUUUAGGUGCUAUCAAGUGACAGCCGUAAGUAUGAUUGCACUAAGCUGCUGCUGGGAAAUUCGAGGUUUUGAUGGCUGCCCACGUUAUUGUCAAGAAACUCCUCAUGUAAGAAGUUGUAGUUCUUUUCAUCAGCUUGAACCUAAAACUGUCGCUAUUGAUAACUCAGGUUUUUGUUAUCAACUAUAUCAUCUUUUUCACUGUUUUGAAACUCUUUAAGAUUAAACUUCAGUAAAGUUCUUUCAGUUAUCCACAUAAUCAGGCUGAGGAUACUUUAGUAAAGUUGCUUCAGCUAUUCAAAUGAAAAAUCUCAUUGAUUUGAGACUUCCUUCAUUAUUGUUUUUGAUUAAAAUGCUAAGGGUCCAGAUAAAAUAAUAUUUAAUUGGUGGAAGGUGUCCCUUGGAAGUACAUCAUGAUUAGCUGUUGUGCUAAUCAUGCCAAUGCAUAAUUCGGCCCCUAAUGUGGGUACUCUGUUACAUUGUUCUGCAAAUUCUCCAAAAAAGUUAAAUCAAUAAAUUUUGUAUUAGCUAGAUUAGCUCUAGGUUGUGAGGAGUCUGUCAUAUGGGAGAACCCAUUUCCAGAAAAUAUCUGGUAUUUGUUCCAGUCUUCUAAUGAAUGAAAGUUAUGAUUCCUUUUCAAAAAAAAAAAAGAAUUUUGUAUUAGUUCUAGUGCGUUGACCUAAAUGCUAUUCUAUAUUUUAGUGCCUUAAUUCUAGAACCUUGGCUCCUGCCAGAGCAUGCGGAGAUAAUGGUAGGGAGAGUGUUUGUGUAUUUUAACCAUGAUAAAGCUAAUGUUCCCAAUGAUUUCUGCUGGUGAGACUUGUGAAGAGGGUGAAUGAGGCAACUGCUAAUAUUCCUGGGUGGGAUACAGUAACUAGAGGCUGAGAUCAGGUGGUGGAAUUUUUUGUUUGAUCGAUGAUACCAGAAUUGUCCACAAAAAGUUUGUUGAUACAAAUUACAGGUGAUAGAAAGAGGUAUAGGUGGAGAAGAGAAAUCUGCGAGUCAAAUUAGGGAUAAUUGAUUUGCUGAUGCAAGUUACAUUGAAUAAUAAUAAUAACAAUUGCAUGAAGAUCCCUUAUUAAUCUUGUGUUCUCCUAUCUUUUACAUUCAGCUGGUAUACUUAAGCCUUGCUUGUGGAAUGUUUUAACCUUUAAAUUCACUACCCCUGGAUGUUGGAUUUUCUAGAACUUCAAAAUGAUUAAUGGAGAAAGAUCCCAUUAUCGAUAUCGCUAUAAGAAAUUUUAUUUAUACUUCCAAAGAUACAUUAUAUAUUUAUGUGUAUCUCUUUAUACAUGACAUUUAAGCAUCCAUAAACUGUCAGACAGAGGAAGGGGGUUGAGUGUAAAGAUUCUGUUGACCUAGGGGUUGCCUGCUUAAUGUCACUUGUUAGUGAUCUAUUAUUUAUUUCAUAUUUUGAAGAAUUUAAAGGGCAAUCCUGCUUGUUUGUGUUGUUAUCUCCUUCUAACUUACGGUCGUACCUAAAGAGCAUAGUUUCAUAUGUGUUACCCUGAGAUGUACAGAAUUUCACAUUUGCCUCAGAUUAAGCUUAAUUUCCCACAGAAUAGAGCUGUUGUGACUGAACUUAGGUUGAUGUCAAAAGAGGUAAAUUAUUGGCAUGCCUAGAUAAUUUGACCAUUUCCUAAUUCAUAAGUCUACAUUAAUUUUGAUUUUGAGUUGACUGAUUUCUUUUCAAGGUCUGCUUACUUAACGGAGUGACCAAUGUUUUUCAACUAAAUUUAUCAUAUGAUGCAGGAAGCAGGGCAGGAUAUGAAAUGAGAAGCUCAUUGGUGGAAGUAUUGCCUGUAACAGAACCCAAAGAAAAUGAAACUAUUUCAAGGCAGCAGUUGGCAGUUGCAAGUGAAUGGAGGCCCUUGCCAAAAUUCUCAAGCGGUUGCAAUGCAAUUACGAUCAUCCUCAGCCUCAGGUAAUUUCUUCUCCUGCUUUGUUUUUAUUUGUUCUCUAAUUAGGAAGCAUAAAGUAUCUUGAAUCAUUUUCUGUAUCUGGAAUAUAUGCAAGAGUUUCUAAAAUUUUGAUAUGAGUGUAAUGAUGGUAAUUUCUGUUUUCUGUCUGUCAUCAAAUGUUAGAAAACUUUCAUUGAGACCCUUGAACCGAGUCAUUUUUGACAAGUGAAGUGCUGAAGAGUGAGGAGUAAGAAUGGUGCUAGAUUGGGGAAUAAAGCAAAAGGAGGUAAAUUAUUGGCAGCUUCUUCAGCCUUAUUUUCUUUGGACCAGUGCCUAAUUCACAAGUCUCCGUAAUUUGGCUUUUGACCAGUUGAUAGAUAAAAUUUUAAUUUCAUUGGUGCUAAUGUACCCGUGAAGCAGGCAGAGAAGGACUGUGGAAAAGAGAAGGUUUUUAGUGAAAGCUUAAACUCAGGUAAUUCUAAAAAUUAUAUGUUUUGGCUGAUUUAUCUAAUCAGGAAAUUUUAUUUCCAUCUGUUACAAUAAAACAGAAACAGAACACAAAGAAAAAUAGUCUACCUCUUGUGGCAAUCUUGCCUUCAUUCAGACUAUGAAACCAUUUCCUUUCACCAAUUUCUUCCAAAAGUUUGAACACGUUUCAUGGUUGGACAUAGUUAGCUUCUUUCUCUUUUGGUGCAUUUAGGUGCUAUCAAGUGACAGCCAUAAGUAUGAUUGCAUUAUUGGGAAAUUUUAGGUUUUGAUGGCUCCCCAUGUUAUUGCCAAGAAAUUUUAAGUCCUCAUGUCAGAAGCUGCGUUUCUUUUCAUCAGCCUGAACCCGAACCUGUCACUAUGGAUAACUGAGGUUUUUGUCAUCAACUAUAUCAUCUUUUUCACUGUUUUGAAACUGUUAAGAUUAAACUUCAGUAAAGUUGUUUCAGUUAUCCAUGUAAUCAGGCUAAGGAUAUUUAGCAGCUUAUUUAGGCAACUGCCAGAAUUUAGUUUGUUCGCUCGAAACUUGUAUGGUGACAAGGAUACUGGCAAGGAUAGUGAGAUAGUUUUUUGUGUGAGUGAAUUUUGAAAGCUUGGGUGUUCUGGGAUUUGCAAUUGCAAUCAUCCUCUGCUUUAGGUGAUUUCUUCUCCUGUUCUGUCUUUAUUUUCUCUCUAAUUGAAAGCAUUUCAAUCAAAUUCUGUACCAGGAAUACGAAAAAUUUACUAAUAUUUUAUUUCCAUCUGUUUGCAUUGAUAACUUGGCCGCAUAUGUACUAGUUAAAGAACAAACAGAAGCAGAGUUCAGGAAAAAGUUUCUUCGGCCACCAUAUUUGAAAAUGAAACCAAUUCCAGGAAGCAGUUGGCAGCAAAUUCAUACAAAGUAUAGACAAUGAUGUGCAAAAAGGUGAUUCGCAAUUUCAUUUUUUUAAAAUGAAAUUAUUUGUUAAGUUGGAGCUGAUAUUGUUAGAAGGCCAUUGAGCUAACCUAUGACACUGCUUGCCUAGAUUGCAGGAGGUCAAGGCUCAAAAGAUGCACUGAAUUUUAAAAGGCAUGCAAUAAUUCUUAUGGCCAUUUGUCAAUGGUGGAAUGCUUUUAGCUUCUUUUCCUUUCGUGCAUUUUGGGGUUCUAUCAAGCGACAGCCGUAUGUAUGGAUGGAUAUAGCUGCUGCGUUGAUUUCUAAUGCGGUGGAGUAAUCGUCGUUAGAAUCUGAAUGAUAUGUCUAAGACGUUGCAUGCAUCAAGAAAAUUGCAGAUGAUUAAACCUUGCCAUCUAUGCGUUGUAUGAGGUUAUAGCAACUAUCUAUCUGGUCACCGUUUUAAAAGAAUAAGACAAAGGGAAAAAGAGAAAGAAAAGAAUGAUUCGACAAUGGCAUUAAAGUUCAACAUACCCCAAGAUCUUGUAAUAAUGCCAUUAAUCAUUUCUAGCUAGGCUAGCCUUAGAGAAAAGUGAAACUGUUGCACAGGUAGAAUCACACCCCUCAGAGAUAAUGUGUUUUUAUUCAGCUCUUCGAAUGAAUGAAGUUUAUUUUCUCGUCAAAAAAAAAACUGCUCGUUCCGCUGGUUUCAUACAAUGUCAACUAGAAACAUCAUACUUUCGUAUAAGUUCAUUAUUGUUUCUUGGAAAUAUCAGAAUAUUUCUUAGAGUUUGUAUAAAAUGAAAAGAUUUUAAAAUAUAAAUUUAAUAUUUGUUUAUUACCGUUGUUUGGUCUAAUUUCCUCGGGAGAAUUUUCAGAAUUUAUAGGACAUUAGUUUAUAAUUUGCGCAUUGACAUAUAUCUUAUUUUAUCAUUUUGAAUGAAUUGCACGGCGAGGCUUAUCAACUUUGGAUGAAUCCUCCAAUUGUCGCAGUCCAAGACUGGCUGCAGUGAGUGAAAAUUUACCCAUAUAUAUGCUGGCUAUUUUUAUUGGCGACGAAUUCGUUGUAGUUGGUCCAUCUUGCUAUUCUCGGACAAUAUUAGAGAAAAUAAUCAUAUUAUUUCGCGUGAUGUGACCUUCCAUAACUUAUCAAUUGAAUUACUGUAAAAUUAUUGUGUAAGUUUAGGCCCAAUGGCACUUUAGUUCGAUAGCCUGGAUUUAAAAGGAAAACUAUAUUGCAUUGCUUCAAAAAAAAAAAAUUAAUGUUUUUAAUAUGAAUAUUCUUAACUAUAUUCAGUUAAAAUAAUAUAUUCUUAAUAUUAAUAUUCAUAGAUGAAAUUCUUUUGUGGAUUUAAGAAUAAAAUAUCAAAUAGUUUUAUUUUUCUUUUGUUGUGUAACUUGGACCGAAAAAGAAAAUGAGCUUAACAUGACCCUCCUUCCGGCACUAUGCAUGUUUUUCUUUUAUUGAUGACAGUGCUCUUGGUGCUUCUCAUCUGCUUCUUGCUUUGGUUUCAAACAAGUCUUUCUCCGUCGAGACAUUUAUUGUAAUUUGAUUUGGAGACAUCUGUCGUUCAAAUAUAUUUCAUAUGCAAGCUGUUGAUAAUUCUGCUUGAGAAAGCCUACAAAGCAGCUGUGUGAUGUAAUAGAAGACUAUAUAUGCAAACGGUCAUCAGUUUCUCUUGAAUUCUUUCUUGAGUUUCUUUGAAUUAUUUGUGAAUGAGUUCUUAAUCGGCUGCUGCUCUUCAGGAAAAGGAAAGUGUUGCAAACUGGUGAAGCUGAUCGAUAAAAGCAAUGUACCAUCUUUGCUGGCAUGGAUCGAUGCCAGUGAGUUUUUUUAUUUGUCAACCUUUUUAAUAAUGCAUAUGUUUUUCUUCAACUUGAAGCGGCAUAUAAGACGAAAGAAGUGAUCUUUAAAGCAUUCUAUGGCAUUAUCCUUUCCUAUUAUAUAUAUCCAAUUGCUCCAAAUUAUUUGUAAAUUACUGAACACGAAUGCUGAUGAAUAAACUGAUGGCUCUAUGUAUGUAUGCACAUGCAUGGAGAAAUUUUAAGUCAGACAUUCUCAUAUAUAACUCGUGGGACCAAAUCAUUAAAUAAUCUUGAAAUCAAAGUAAUAAUUAAAUACAAAUAAAUUGCUCGAAUUGUACAUAUAUCUGAAUCAUGUAGUGAAGAAAAUACAACAACAACAACCAAUGGCUCAAAUUCCCCAUCAACUUCUAGUCUCAACACUUUUGAGUGUCAGAAGCAUUACUCUGCUACCAGUUAACAAACAUAUAAUUAGUAAUUUGCCAUUCACUUCCCUUUUAGGCCUAACACAUUUUCUAUAAAGGAGCCACAGAGUGAACUCAGCAGGAAACACUCAAUUUCAACCUACGUAGGACCAGGAAUUUCAACAAAAAAAAAAGUGUGCAAUUGCUUAUCCUAUCCUAUUGCUACUAGAAAGAAAGUGAACAAUUAAUUUCAGUGAAUAAAUUAAAAAAAAUUACUUCUGCAGAUACUCAAGCUAAGAACACAUUAACCCAUUAAAGACUCCAAAUUGCAUCAAACAAAUUGUUGUUAAACAAGUAAAACAAAGAAAGAGAGUUAAGGAAGCUGACCUAGUAGUAGGGGAGCUGAAGAAAGACUGCCAGUGAAUGUAAGAGAAAAUAAAAUGCAAGAAAUGGUGAAGUGCAGCUUUUCAUGUCAACUUGAAAUUGUUUCUUCUGUUUUUUGUAAUCUUUUGGAUUUUUCAAACAAAGAAAAUGAGGAGCAACCAGGGAGAUAAAAAGGGCGCCAAGGCAACUGUGUGUUGGGUUUAGAGCCAAAAAAAAAAAAGAAUAAGACAUCGUGUUCUUGUGGAGACCAGACCUAUUACGUAUAGGGAUGGCAAUGGGGCGGGGUGGGGGUGGGGAUGCCUACCCCAUUCCCCACCCCAUUAAAAAUUUUUGCCUCCAUUCCCCACCCCAUUCCCCAAUAAAUUUAGUGGGUUGGGGAUGGGGAAUCCCCACGUGGGGAAUGAUUCUCCCAUCCCCACCCCAUUCCCCAUUUACAUAUUUUAUAGUAGAUAUAAAAAUAUGAUUUCAGUAAAUUAAAAAUUAGAGACUUAAGAUAAAAUCAUCACAAUAUUAUAAAGUAUUUAAUUUUAAAAAAAAAUCUCUAAAAAUUUGAAACAAUAUCUUAAAAUGAUAUUAAAAGUGAAAAAUAUUUAAAGAAAGCAGCACCUUAAAAGAGAAAAGAAAAUAUAUUAAUGUUUUAAAGUUGAAAAAUAUUGUAGAAUUUUCUUUUAUUCAUAUUCUAUUUAUAUUACAUAAAAAUUAAAAAAAAUUAUUAAUUGACAUUAUAGUUGAUAAAAUAUAAAUUAUUAAAUAAGAAUUAAAAACAUAUUUAUAUAUAAUGGGGAUUGGGGUGGGAGUGGGGUGGGGAGUGCAAUACCAAACCCCACCCCGUUAACAAUUUGGGGAUUAUUUUUUCCCCACUCCCCACCCCAUUCCCCAAAAAUUAUUAAAAAAUUUCCCCAUUUGGGGUGGGGCUCCAUGGGGCCCCAAACCCGUGGAGGAUUUUGCCAUCCCUAAUUACGUAACGUCCCCUUCAAUACCACUUGUUCCGUAUCUGGUUUUUUCUUCGUCUUUUACAUAUUUAUCCUGUGAUUUUACAAUAACUAAAUAAUCCCCGCAUAGUUUGCAAUUUUAUUCAUUUGGGCCCUACAGAUUUCAGUAAUAGGAAUUAUUAAGGGACAAGAGCGCAAAACAGAAACUCUGUCCACUACUGAUGAUAUAACAACGAACCUUUGUAGUUUCUGCCUGUUAAUAUGAAUUGAUCAGGAGUGUUUCCUCACUUACAAAUUACGAAUUUACAAAAUAUGUAUGUAAGUAUGUGUGUACGUACGUGUGUAUGUAUGUACAUAUAUGCAUACACCUAUGUAACAUUUACUUAUACAUUCUUUUGAGUUUAAAUCUUAAUACACAUUUUCAUGAAAUUUUUAUUUUAUUAAGUAUACAACUACAUACAACUACAUUAAUGUAUAUAUUUUUUAUAUAAGACAUGCCGUCCUAUUAUUCAUAAGUAAACAAUGUGUUGUAAAUAGUAUUCUGUGUUUUCUCAAAGUUGACUUUUCGUCUUUUAUUUUCAGACGCAGACGCUAUGUCAUUUUGUAAUCUUCAAAACAUAUGCAGAGCAGAAUUGGUGUUAUAUGAUUUUGUGAUGCAAUAAGAUUUGCACUUCCUGUGCACUCAAUGGAAUCAUUUCUUUGUAACUAAUUGGGUGGUGGAAUGGUGGUCAAAUAUCGAACGAAGACAGAUCUAUCAAACUCCAGAAACAGGGAAACCAUGCCACGCUAGUAGACAAUAUGCUAGUAUGAACAAACUUGUUUGAAUGGCAAAAACGACAUGACCUGCUGUAGUAUUAGUUCUUUCCCGAACCAAAGGGUGAUUUGCUACGUUAGAUCAUGAAAAUUGAAAAAAAAAAUUAACCAAAAUAAAAAUUCUUACGGUAAGAAUAAAAAUUCUUAAGGAAUUAGUUAGUUAAUUGAUUGAUCGAAUUUAAUCUAAAUUGGAAAAUGAUAAGAUAAUUUUGAAUUUUUUAUUAUAAUUAUUAUUUUAAAGUGGGGUGGGUUUAUACAAUUUGAGGCUUUGAGCGGUGUAAAUAUCACUGCUGAAUUAUUAAAUAUACAGUGUAAAAUUUUGACCUUUAAAAUAUUCCUUUUUUUCAUUUAGCACUAUAAGUUUAAAAAUUUAACAUUUUACCUCAAUAAUUAAAUACUUUUAACUUUAAUCUUCAAAUAUUUACCCUACAACAUUCGGACCUAAAUUUUUAAUCCGACUCGGCCCCUGACCCAAGUGGGAAGAAGAUCAGGCUUAUAAGUUAUAACUAUCACCAACAUAACAUCUUCUGGAAAAUAAUAAGAUUACUCACCUGCAAUUAUGUGAUCAAACUAAUGGUAAGCAAAAUAGAACAGCGUUAUUUCAGUCCCCUUUCAGUUUCUUUAUCAUUUUUCUUUUCCUAUUUAUAAGCUUAAUUCGGUCCAAUAUCGGCUAAUUCACUUUGAUUUCACUUUUCUUUCUUUCGGUUCAAAAAAAUUGAACCCAUUGGCUGUCAAUUCAAUUUUGUUGAAAACCAACUUUGCCUGAAUUUGAGUAAUAAUAGAGGAAAAAAAAAGUGUACUUAGCAGAAGAGAUUUCUCAUUUUUUUCUCAUUCAAACUUCUAAAAUAAAGGGAAAAAAAAAACAAGAGUAAUUGUUAAUUAUCAAAAAUUUGUUUAUACUAUUCCACCAAGAAAAUUAUAAAAAAAAAAUUUAAAAAUUGGAGAAGAAAUAUGAGGUGAAAUACGUGGAUGGCUUAGACUAAUAAUGUGAACAAAUUCCUCUCGGAAACAUGUCAUUGUUCAUCCGGACAACACGCGGCAAUGAGAUUCAAGAAUUAAAUGAUAGGAAUCAACUGUAACCUCAUAAACAAAUGGCCUUGGAGUUGUAAACACCAAGCUCGGCAGAUUAAUUAAACAAGAAUAUCCGAAUUUUCUAUGAUAAUCUCUAGGAAACGAUCAGCUAUAAUAUACGAAAUUAAAAUAUUGCAUAUAUUUUUGAACUCAUGCAUUAAUUUCAAAAAUUAUAUCGUAUUAUAAUUUAUUCACAAAAGAAAGAAAAAUUCACUAAUCAAUUGAAUAAAUAUAAGUAUUUCAUCCAGUGUAAUACUUAUAUCAAUUGAAUAAAUAUAAGAAAAAUCACCAAAAUUCACUAAUCAAUUGGAUAAAUAUAAGUAUUUCUUCCAGUGUAAUUUUUGUUUAAUAGAAAAUCUAUUUGAGAUUUUGUGAGAAGAAACUCAACAAUAAAGUGUGAUAGACUUUGUGGGUAUUAAGAGUUUGACAAGUAUUUGAAAUCUGAAGUUUACGAGCAAACAAACUGAAAUCCGAAGUUUACUGAAGUUUACUAUCAAGAGUUUCAAAACAGUGAAAAAGAUGAUAUAGUUGAUGACAAAAACCUGAGUUAUCCAUAGCGACAAGUAACAUACUGAAGUAAGCCGUUGGGAGCUGGCCUGUUCAUGGGCUAUUUUUCUCUGAUGAUCUGCAUUUUUCUUCCUUUUAAGUGAACCUUGACUCGUAUCAAACCUGUCAAAAGAACAGUUCAUCAACUGAGCUGAGAUUUGCUUUCCUUUUUCAAAACCCACCUGAGAUAUUGUAAUUCCCAAAUUUCUCUCUCUCAGCUACACGAGCAAGCAGCCGCUUUUUCACUUCAUCGAAGAAGGUAAGCGAUAUAUCUAUUUCGUCCGAUUGAUUUCUUGUUUCCUUUUCAGUGUUCCGGUAAAUUAUUGGCAUGCCUGACUUUUUGACCAUUACACGAUUCAUAAAUUUAUAUUAAUUUUGAUUUUGAGUUGACCGUUUACUUUUACAGGUUUGCUUACUUUGACUAGGUGACCAAUUUCUUGUAACUAAAUUUAUGACGUGGGCAGGAUAUGAAAUGAGAAUCUUAUUAGUGGAAGGAUUGCCAGUAACAGAACCCAAAGAAAAUGAAACCAUUUCAAGGCAGCAGUUGGCAGUUGGCAGUGAAUGGAGGCCCCUGACAAAACUUCAGUAAACUUCAGAUUUCAGUUUGUUUGCCCGAAAAUUGCAUGGUGACAAGGAUACUGGCAAGGAUAAUGAGAUAGUUUUUGUGUGAAUGAAAUUACGAUCAUCCUCAGCCUCGGGUAAUUUCUUCUCCUGCUUAGUUGUUAUUUGUUACCUAAUUAAGAAGCAUAAAGUAUCUUGAAUCAUUUUCGUUGUCCGGAAUAUAUGCAACAGUUUUUUACGAUCAUCCUGAAUGACUACUAGAGACAGUCAAGCUAAUGACUAUAAAUUAAGCGCUUCUUGGGAGGUAACCCAAGCUUUCUAAACUUUAUUAUUGUCAAUUUUUUUUCAUAUUUUUUUCUUUUCUUUUACUUAUUUUAUUUUGUUUUAUCUAGAUUUUGCACGAGUUCGAGGGUCGAUGAACAUCAACUUUCCACAUGUCUUUCAACGGCUUAGCUACAACUUUACAUCUUCAAGUGCAAAACCGGGGGAGUUUCUCUUUUCCUUUUCUUUUUCUUUACAUUGAGGACAAUGUUUAUUUUAAGUUUGGGGGUGGGAAUAUUUGCUUUUCAUUUUUUUCCCAAAAAAAAAAGAUUUUAAUGCCUAUGAUGAGUUUAUGAUUGAAAAUGAAUAUGGUUCUUAGAAAGGGAUGAAUAUUAUCUUAGUUUAUACUUGAUUCUUGUGUUAGUUUCGUCUUGAUUGAGAUUCUUUAAAGCGAUUCUUUUAGAAUUUUGACUUGAGAUUUGAGAUUGAUACAGCCUAAGUUGAGAAUUUUAGAUUGAGUAAAUGAUUGUUUGCCUCGAUUCUACAUUACUUAAGUUUACCCAGGCACCAUAGUCAGAAAUAGCUACCUACAACCCUUAAGAGUGAAGCUAUCCUCGAGUAAUUUGGGCCUAUGUAUCACCAGUAUGUAGAGGAUAAUCUACCAUGAGAAGAAGGUUACCUUAAGGGGUAGAGUGAAAGCUCCUGACUAUGGACAAAGAAAUGAAAAAAAAAAAGAAAAAAAAAAGAGCACGAGCUUCAAGAAAAAUCAAAAGAAAAUGCUAAUUUAUGCCUGAGAAAAAAAAAAAAAGAUCAAGAUGAUGAGGUUAGUUUGACCUACCCUGUUUAUUAUUCGAGACAAGGGCUGUUGAUGUUGAAGAUCUUGAGAAUGAGUUUUGAUUGAAUUGAUUCACACACAACACAUGAAUCCAAUAUGAGAUGAGGCUGACCAUUGAAUUAAAGUUAGAACUUUGCUAGUAUUUUUAAUUUUCUUUGAGCUAUAUACUUUAUGCAAUCUUUGAGGCAUUUUUUAUGAUGUUUGUGGGUAUCAUCGCUGGAAACCCUCACGAGACUAUAACUCGUCCACUAGGGCCGCCUAGGGGUUUAAAGGCUUGUUGCAUACGCUAAAUGCAAUCGCGAUCACCUGCGAAAGUGGUUUAGUUAGAAUUUUCUUUUCGUAGUUUUUAUUUUAGUUUUUGCUCGAGGACUAGCAAAAUGUUAAGUUUGGGGGUAUUUGAUGUGCUCAUAAUUUAUCUAUUAUUUUAAUGCUUCCAUAACUUAAUUUUAUGUUAAAUUAUAUUUUAUUAUAUUAAUUUUUAUCUUAAUUUUUAUAUUUUGUCAUUGUAGGAAUAUUGAGAAUAUUCAUGAGAAAAGAAGCUUAAAGAGGAAACAAGUUGGAGUAUAAUGGAAAUAAUGUGGAAGCAAGAGGGAAAGAAAUAAAAAGCCAAAUCAAAGAAAAUUUAAUUUAAGCAUCAUGCAUGCAGUCACGUGAUGAAUAAAGGAAGAGAAGAAAAGGUCAAUAGGCUUUUAAUUUCAAGCUAGUUACGUAGAGCCCAUUUGACAAUUUAAAUGGCAAGCUUACAAUAUAUUAAAGGAAGCAAAUAUUUUGGCAUUGUUUGAAAAGGCUAUUCACGUGGAUGGGCUUUGGUUUCAAUUUUGAUUGGCUUAGGAAUGAAAUAGGCGGCUGGGCUUUUGUUUUUAAUUCCUUUCAUAAGAGGAUUUGACAAGCCACAACAUUAUAAAAAGGGAAAAGCCAAGCGGAAGCCAAAAAAAAAAAAAAAAUAAUAGAGCAGCAGCCGCAAGUUUUGAGCAAAACCGAGAGCAGCAUGAAUAAUUUGGAGCAGAAGGAAGACACAUUAAUUCUUGAGUUUUUCUUUCUCUCUUCUCUAUUAUCUUAUUUGAAUGUUUCCCAUUAAAUUCAUGGAUUAUCUUUAUAUUCCCAUGAACUAAUUUAUUUUACUAGAGCUACGAUGUCCUAGUGUUUUAAUCUCUUGGUGAUUUCUAUUACUGCUUGCAUCUUUAUUUGAUUUUUAGUUAUUUUAAUUUUUAAUUUAAAUUCGCUUAUUUGAUUGUUCAAAUAAAUUAGGGUUAGGAUAAUUUCGGUAACUAAUAGGAUAUUCAAUCUCAGUGGGAUGAUACUCUACUCUUCACUAUAUUACUUGUGCCGACUAGUACACUUGCUAAUUUAUGCAAUAGUUGACAGUUGGGAGUGAAUGGAGGCCCUUGACGAAACUUCAGUAAACUUCAGAUUUCAGUUUGUUUGCUCGAAACUUGCAUGGUGACAAGGAUACUGGCAAGGAUAAUGAGAUAGUUUUUGUGUGAAUGAAAUUAUGAUUAUCCUCAGCCUCAGGUAAUUUCUUCUCCUGCUUAGUUGUUAUUUGUUACCUAAUUAAGAAGCAUAAAGUAUCUUGAAUCAUUUUCGUUGUCUGGAAUAUAUGCAACAAUUUUUAAAAUUUUGAUAUGAGUGCAAUGAUUGUAAUUUCUGUUUUCUGUCUGUCAUCGAAUGUAAGACAACUUUAUUAAGAUUCUUGAACCGAGUCAUUUUUGACAAUUGAAGGACAAGUGCUGAAGAGUGGGAAUGCAAAAAGUUUUGUUGUUUUUAGCCUUGUUUUCUUUGAACCAGCGCCUGAUUCACAAGACUCCAUUAAUUUGGCUUUUGAUCAGCUGAUUGAUAAAUGUUCAAUUUCUUUGGUGAUAAAUGUAAUUGUGAAGCAGGCAGCAGGGCAUGACUGUGGAAAAGAGAAGAUUUUAGUGAAAGCCGAGACUCAGAUAAUUCUACGCGUUUUGGUUGAUUUAUAUAAUUCGUGAAAUUUUAUUUCCAUCUGUUACAAGAUCAAACUGCAAUUAGCAAUUUAACAUUCCCUUAAAACCACUAGCUACAUUUCAUCUUUGCACAAUUACACUUAAAAUUCCACUAAAAGAAACUCUUGAGUUGCUCGCAAGCUAUAUAUCAUUAUUCAUUGAAUUCUUACUGUUGAUGCGAGAUUCUGGUUACACUCUUCCGGCUACCAGGAUAUCUGCUCGAUCAACCUCACCUCGACUAGGAUCUCUCCUCGUAUGCUUUCUUCUCCAAGUACUCAUGCGUUCACAGAAACAAGUCAGAGCACGCCGGUUGUUUUCCCGGCGUAAACCCUCCGACGCUCAAGUCAGAUAUGAAGGCUUUGGGAACGCUUGCCACAGAUCUUAUGGCUUUGUAAAUAGUUUUCUCUUCUUUUCAAUUUCCUUAAUCUCUCUUCUAAUCUCGAAAUUGCUAACCCUUUUACCUUCGCUGGCUACCUUUUUAUAGGCCACUUCUGAGCCCAGGCCUUUUUCCCUUUGCGCUCGUCAUCCUCCCACUUCUCGAAAGUGGAUGCUCCAUUUCCGUAGUCGUGGGUGGUUGCGUGGCCCUCGUGCCUAGAUUCUCGGACUGGAAAGCAUGCCACGCCAACUGUCGUUGACCGGGUCUUCUCGAAUCAACCCUUAGCAGGAAUACAGCAGGAAUGGCUUCAGGCUUCUUAUAGGAGAUUGGCCUCGCGGAUGACGUGCUCGUGGACGAGCAGGGUAUUCCUGCUCCUGCUCCUGCUCCCCCGGAUGCCAGGCUCUUACGGGACCCAUCGGCUCGCAGAACUCUACCAUCAGAUAUCUGCUCAUCAUGCCUGGUCUCGUCGACGUAUUUCUCCUAAACACCGGUCCCCCAGUUUCUGGUGUUGGGUAAUGUAGUGGACCAGCAGUAGAAACUCGACAGUACUUGCUCGCGUGGGGUUGGAAAAGGCUUCCAAGAGUCAUGUCGCAUUUAAUUGCGGACGAGGUGAUGUGGCAGAGAUCUAACCCUCCAUUUGAAUUUCAAACCAACGGUUACGAGACCCUUGGGAUUUGGUGCCGUUAAAUGCUGGCAACCCAAGAUUUCGUCCCCAUUAGGAAACCCAAAUCCUUUCGAACGACAAAUUCAUCAUUCACUCCGUCUCCAUCUCUGUCUCUCCGGCAAAGAAGUUCCAGCAUAAAGGCCUCCAUCUCUGUCUUUCACCGACUGAACCAUUACUUCAGGUAUUUCUUCUAUUUCCUUAGUCUCGGAUAGUUGUAGAUAAUUUCUCUUCUCUUUUGCUUGGGUAGUAGUUGGUGGUGGUGUUGUGGUUAGAGCUUAGGGAAUGUCGAAAGGCAAAGAGAAUGUCAUUGAGGUUGACGACGAUGAGUUGGACUUCCUGCCUAGUUUGCUCACCGAUCCUGCUUUUGACCCCGGGAUCCCCUUAGAGCUCAUUAGAUCUAGUGUUGGCACUAGCGCUAGGAGGAUGUCCCCCCAAACAACCUCCACGAGUGGAAGUAGUGGUGAGGAGAGACCCUCUGGCUCGGAAGACACCCUAAGUGAGGAUCAAUGAGGUGACUCUGGGGAGGGGUCUUCACCAGGAACACCGCGACCAGAAGGGUGUAGUACAGUAGGAGGUAGAGCCUUGUCGCGGGAUUAUGCCAUUGAUUACAUGACCUGUACGACCACAUUCAACGAGCUGGAUGACCUCCGGCUCAGGUAUAGCAUUCCUGGUGAAAUUCCUCUCAAGAUCCCAGGAAAGAAGGAUACACCUAGCCGGCCUCCUCGGGGAUACGUUACCCUAUUUUUGGAGAGUUUUAGGCAUGGGCUGAGGUGUCCCUUGCAACCCUACUUUGCCCGGAUUCUUAACGGGCUAAACCUAGCUCCUGGUCAGCUGAACCCCAACGGGUGGAGAGUGCUCUCUGGUCUGUUCAUACUGUGGGACAGAUGUUGUCAAAGCGAGCCCACGGUCGACGAGGUGAAGCACCUGUACCAACUGAAAAGCAGCCCCAAAGACGUCGGCUGGUAUUACUUCCAAUCAAGUACCAAGAUCAGAAAACCCAUAACCGAUCUUCUUACUGGUGAUGGUGGGAAUUGGAAGAGGAAGUUCUUCUUCGCAGGGGGUCCCUUGUUGUUUGCACUUCACUGGUUUGUCUCUAAUCAAAUGUUUGUUUGUGUUGCAGGUUCUUGGGGUGUCCACUUCCCGCUUAAACCUGACCAGCUCAAACGAGUCGAGGCUGUACUAGCCAAUUCCUGCUCGAACCGAGAGCUGUUAACUAUAUACAACUUGCUCGAGUCUCGCUUGAUGCUUCCUGGCCAUAGGAUGGAGGACGCUGUGAUUGGGGCUCUGACCAGGAAACGUUCUCGACCUCCAACCACGAAGAGGGACCAGAGUAAGGACGCCCCUACUGCAAAGCGGGCCAACGUCGUGCAGCAGGUCUCUCCCUUGAAGACUUUACCUCCUGCUCCUGUCAAAGUCGGGGAAACUAGUGGAGCAGCCACAGAUCCUGCUUCCUCUUCUUCUCCUGUCGGCACUCGGUCUCGCUUACCUGACAGCCGAUCAGAACAAUUGGUCCCCUAUCUCAAUGAGUUAUCUAACCUCGUGAGCAAGAAUGACAUGGAGGACUUCGAUGGCUGCACCUUGGGUGAGCUGGUGGGGGCCAUGCAGUAUAGCGCUUUUCACCUCAGCUGCAUGACCACCUAUUACAAGGCCAAGGUUGGGCGCUACGACCGAAAGAUGAAGGAGGACAUUCAAUCGGCGACGACUAGAGCUGGCGUUGCCGAGAAAAAGGCAGGGGAGCUGAAUGUUGAGAACCUCAAGCUGAUGGAGCAGGAAUCUCUUGCUCAAGCAAAAGCCAUUACCCUCGAGGAGGAGCUGACCAAGGUCAAGGGGGAUCUGCAAAGGCAGAAGGCCACGUAUGAGGCUCAGCUCGAAUCCCUCCGCGACUCCCACCGGGCUCACGUCGAGAACUUGGAGAGGGAGGCCAAGAACCAGUAUGACCAGGGACUUCGGCAUUCCUAUCGUUGCAUCAUGGCCGUCCUCGGGAAGCAGCACCCUGAUCUGAAGAUGGAUGAUCUUGCAGUUGGUGUUGCUCAACAUAUGGACGAGGAAGCGGCCAAGGAAGAUGCCGAAGGGGUAGAGCCGAUCGUGAUUGAGGGGGAAAACUCUCCUCCUCGCACAAUCCCUGCUGACGUUGGCGAGGCGAGCACCGCUACUGAUGUUGGCGAGGCGCGCACCCCCCCGGACGCAACUGGUGAUACCCCCCCCCCGCACCUGAGGAGGUCCAGCCAACCAAUGCUGCUCGGCUUACUGAUCCGCCAUCUUCUUGAUAUAUUUCUUGUAUUGUAAUGAACAACGUUGAUGGAGAUUAUCUCCUCUGUUAAUUAUUAACACAUAAAUAAAGAUGUUUUUGAUUAUUUUCGUGUUGUAAUCAUGAGUUAUUUUUCGUUUAAUAAUCUGCCCGUCAUCGUCUGGUUGAGCAGGUUCUGGCCUGGCAUAUGGUUUUACCACAUGCCCUAGAAAAUUCUUCAAUGAUUGAGAUUCUGCUCGCCUUCGCGUGGUCGAGCAGAUCCUGGCACGCUUGGCUUCUGUCUCGCCAUAAACAGGCUUUGAGACUCGACGAGCCUUUGCAUGCCUUAGAAAUAUUUUUUUUUUUCGAUGCUUGGGGGUUCUGCUCGCCUUCGCGUGGUCGAGCAGACCCUGGCACGCUUGGCUUCUGUCUCGCCAUAAACAGGCUUUGAGACUUGACGAGCCUUUGCAUGCCUUAGAGAUUUUUUCGAUGCUUGGGGAUUCUGCUCGCCGUCACGUGGUCGAGCAGAUCUUGGCACGCUUGGCUUCUGUCUCGUCAUAAACAGGCUUUGAGACUUGACGAGCCUUUGCAUGCCUUGGAGAUUUUUUCGAUGCUUGGGGAUUCUGCUCGCCGUCACGUGGUCGAGCAGAUCCUGGCACGCUUGGCUUCUGUCUCGCCAUAAACAGGCUUUGAGACUUGACGAGCCUUUGCAUGCCUUAGAGAUUUUUUCGAUGCUUGGGGAUUCUGCUCGCCGUCACGUGGUCGAGCAGAUCCUGGCACGCUUGGCUUCUGUCUCGCCAUAAACAGGCUUUGAGACUUGACGAGCCUUUGCAUGCCUUGGAGAUUUUUUCGAUGCUUGGGGAUUCUGCUCGCCGUCACGUGGUCGAGCAGAUCCUGGCACGCUUGGCUUCUGUCUCGCCAUAAACAGGCUUUGAGACUUGACGAGCCUUUGCAUGCCUUAGAGAUUUUUUCGAUGCUUGGGGAUUCUGCUCGCCGUCACGUGGUCGAGCAGAUCCUGGCACGCUUGGCUUCUGUCUCGCCAUAAACAGGUUUUGAGACUUGACGAGCCUUUGCAUGCCUUGGAGAUUUUUUCGAUGCUUGGGGAUUCUGCUCGCCGUCACGUGGUCGAGCAGAUCCUGGCACGCUUGGCUUCUGUCUCGCCAUAAACAGGCUUUGAGACUUGACGAGCCUUUGCAUGCCUUGGAGAUUUUUUCGAUGCUUGGGGAUUCUGCUCGCCGUCACGUGGUCGAGCAGAUCCUGGCACGCUUGGCUUCUGUCUCGCCAUAAACAGGCUUUGAGACUUGACGAGCCUUUGCAUGCCUUAGAAAUUUUUCACAGUUUCAAGUGAAUGAAAUUCCUCGACGUUCCAUUAAUUGUAGGAUUCAACUUACAUGAAAAUGUUUGGUCGUAAAAUAAAUAACAGCAAAUACGAACAGAAAGAUCUUGAAAAUAUUAACGACUCUUACUGGAAAUAUUUCCUGAGAUGUGCUGCGUUCCAUGGGCGCUUCACCUCGUGGCCAUCCAUGCGAACCAGCUUGUAAGCUCCUGGUCCCACUAGCUGCUUGACUCUAUAUGGCCCCUCCCAAUUUGGACCGAGCACUCUUUGAGUCGAGUCUUUGGUGUUCUGAUUCACUCUCCUUAACACCCAAUCUCCGACCUUGAACUGCCGUAUGUUCACCUUCUGGUUAUAAUACCGGGCAACCCUCUGCUGGUAAAUGACUGAUCGCUCGGCUGCUUGCUCCCUCUUUUCCGUUAGCAGAUCAAGAUUCAAACAUAUCUGCUCGUCGUUCUCCUGUUCAUUGAAAUGAUAUGUCCGGUGCGUGGUCGUUCCUAUCUCAGUUGGCACGACCGCUUCAUGUCCAAAAGCCAAGGCGAACGGUGUCUCCCCAGUUGCUGUUUUGUGGGUUGUUCUGUAUGCCCAUAGCACACCUGACAGCUCAUCAACCCAUGCACCCUUUUUUGCUCCCAGCCUGGUUUUCAAAAGCCUCUUGAUGGUCUUGUUGGCUGCUUCUACUUGUCCAUUCGAUUGGGGGUGAGCAGGCGAGCAAUACUUCAGCUCUAUUCCGAGGUUCUGGCAGAAAUCCCUGAAGCUGUGAUUAUCGAAUUGUCUGCCAUUAUCCGUUACCAGGGCAUAAGGGAUCCCGUAUCGACAGACCAGGUUUCUCCACACAAAGUCUGUUGUUUUCUUCUCUGUGAUCUUGCUAAGGGCUUCUACCUCUAUCCAUUUCGUGAAGUAGUCUAUAGCAACUAUUGCAUGUGUUGCUGCUCCUCGUCCCUUUGGCAGCGGGCCGAUCAGAUCAAUUCCCCAUUGAGCAAAUGGCCAAGGGGAGGCCAUAGAGGUGAGCUUUUCUGGUGGUUGGUUGGAGAAACUUGCAAAACUCUGGCAACUUACACAGCUCCUGGUCUUCUCCUGUGCAUCCUGGUGCAUUGUCGGCCAGAAAUAUCCCUGCCUUAGAACCUUGUGGGCCAGGGACCUCCCACCAGAAUGAUUCCCGCAAAUUCCUUCAUGUACUUCUCUCAGUACGUAAUCUGCGUCGUCCUCAUCCAAACAUCGGAGGAAAGGUAGUAUAUAUCCUCGCCGAUACAGUACCCCAUCAAUCAUCGUGUAUCUUGAGGCCUGGGCUCUAACCUUCCGAGCUCGCAGCUUAUCUGGUGGUAAUACCCCGUCUCUGAGGUAUGAAAUUAUCGGGUCCAUGCACGAGCAUUUUUGUUCUAUCCGCAACACCCCCAAAUUCUGCUCGAUACUUGGGCUGGACUUCACCUCCAGAGGGACCGACUUUGGCAUUUUUGGGUCGGCUACUGCUGCCAUCCUGGCCAAAGUGUCUGCUCGACUAUUCUGCUCCCUGGGGAUCUGUAUCACCUCCACUGCUUCAAAUUUCCCCAUCAUCUGCCUGACUAUCUUCAGGUACUGCUCCAUCUUCUUCUCUCUUGGUUGGAAUCUUUCGCUGACAUGAUUCGCAACCAGCUGGGAAUAAGUUCUGAUCUUCACUCUGUCUGCUUUCACGGCCUUAGCCAAUUCCAAACCUGCUAUCAAGGCUUCAUACUCUGCCUGGUUAUUUGUGGCUCCAAAUUCCAACUUCACAACAUAAGAGAUCUCCUCCCCCUCCGGGCCUUCCAAGACAAUCCCUGCUCCAGAACCCUGCUCCCCUGAUGACCCAUCCACAUACAUCUGCCAUACUUGAGCUUCGCCACUGUCUGUGACUACAUCUGGUCCAUCUAAACAUACUUCGGGCUCUGUGAAUUCAGCUACGAAAUCGGCCAUUGCCUGAGCCUUUAUCGCUGCUCGGGGUUUGUAGUCUAUGUCGAACUCGCUCAGCUCUAUAGCCCACUUGACGAGCCGACCAGAAGCAUCUGGCUUGUGCACAGUUUGACGCAAUGACUGGUUUGUUAUUACCGAGACCGGGAAUGCUUGGAAAUAUGGCCUCAACUUCCGAGCCGCAACCACAAGGGCAAGUGCCCAUUUCUCCAACGGUGGGUAUCUGGUCUCAGCGUCGAGCAGGGCCUUGCUUGUGUAGUAUAUCGGAUACUGAACUCCUUCUUCCUCUCUCACCAGAACAGAACUGGCGGCCCGAUCCGAUACCGCCAAAUACAGAUAUAACUUGUCCCCAUCCCUCGGUGUGGACAGUAGUGGAGCUUGCUGCAAGUAUUGCUUCAAGUUCUGGAAGGCUUCCUCGCAUUCUGGUGUCCAUUCUGUUUUCUUUCCCCUCCUUAUCACUUAAAAGAAUGGCUGACACUUGUCUGUAACCUUGGAUAUGAAUCUGCUCAACGCAGCCAACCUCCCCGUGAGGCUCUGCAUCUCCUUCAGGUUACGAGGAGACCUCAUCUGCACAAUUGCCUGGAUUUUCUCCGGAUUUGCUUCAAUCCCCCUAUGGCUCACCAUGAAUCCAAGGAAUUUCCCUGACUCGACCCCAAAAGCACACUUCUCCGGGUUGAGCUUCAUCUUAUACUUCCUCAAAAGCCCGAAUGUCUCCUCGAGGUGCCUGACAUGUUCCUUCGAGAUUUUGGAUUUGGUGAUCAUGUCGUCCACGUACACCUCCAUGGUUUUCCCAAUCAACGGCUUAAAGACUUUGUUCACCAGCCUCUGAUAGGUGGCCCCAGCAUUUUUUAGACCAAAUGGUAUUACCCUGUAACAGAACAAACCCUGGUUAGUGAUGAAAGCCGUGCUCUCCUCAUCCUGCUCGUACAUGGGGAUUUGGUUGUAUCCCGAGAACGCGUCCAUGAAACUAAGCAGACCGUGUCCAGCCGUUGAAUCUACUAGUUGAUCGAUCUUUGGUAAAGGGAAGCUGUCUUUUGGGCACGCCUUAUUAAGGUCUGUGAAAUCCACACACAUCCUCCACUUGCCAUUUGCCUUCUUUACCAACACCACAUUCGAUAUCCAUUCAGGGUAAUUGACUUCCCGAAUGAACCCUGCUCUCAAGAGCUUCUCCACCUCGACAUUUAUAGCCUCAUACCUCUCCUGAUUGAAGCACCUCCUCUUCUGCCUUACUGCCCGAGCACCUUUCUUUAUUGCCAGCUUAUGACAUGCUACCUCAGGGUCAAUCCCUGGCAUAUCUUCAUGUGUCCAAGCAAACACAUCUGCAUGAGCCUGUAAGCAUUUCACUAACUCCUGCUUUUGCUCUCCCUUAAGUCUCGACCCGAUUCUGAUUGUUUUUCCCGGAUUCUCUGGUCCCAGGCUUACUGUUUCCAGAUCCUCUACAGGUUCUUGUCUGCCAUUCUUGUUUUCCACUCGGGUAUCGAGGGAUGUUAUCUGCAUUGCUUCCCUUGCUGCUGAGGAGUAGCAGCUUCUUGCGAUCCUCUGAUCUCCUCGUACCACUCCAACUACCCCAUUCACCCGGUACUUCAGAGCCAGAUAAUGGUUGGACAGCAUCGCUUUGCUCAUCCUCAGAAAUGGCCGACCUAGGAUCAUCUGGUAAGGACCUUCCUCAUCCACUACCAUAAAGUCCAGUAUCAUUGUCCUUUCUGUCGGGGAGCUCCCAAUCGUGAUAGGCAGCUCGACCAUGCCCAGAGGGACCAGCCUUCCUCCUCCAAACCCCUUCAAGGAGGUAUUGGUGUAAUCCAACUUCAGGUCUGCUAUUCUCAUCUCCUUCAGGGUUGACUUAAACAACACAUCAACUGAACUCCCUGUGUCAACCAGUAUCCUGUCAAACUUCUUGCUAGCAACAGUGGCCUUGAUGACCAAAGCAUCCUCGUGGGGGUAUAUGAUCCCUUCUUCAUCCUCAUCUGUCCACAUGAUUGGCACUUGCCUGACUCUUGCACGUUUGGCUGCUGGGGUGUUGAAGAAUACCUUUUUGCUGGUCAUGGCGUAUCUAGCAUAAUUUUUCCUCGAUCUGUUAGAAUCUCCGGCCAAUGUUGGGCCCUCAGCUAUAACCCUUACUGCAGGCUGCUCGCGCCUCAAGUUCCUGUCACUCUGCUCCCCUUCACUUGUUGAGGCUACCAUUGGGAAGGUCCCAUCUACGAACUCGUCCAGAUACCGAUUUCUCACUAAAUCUUCAACCUGGGUCUUAAGAUCUCUGCAAUCUGCUGUGGUGUGGCCAUGAGUGCCAUGGAACUUACAAUAGCGUCCCCUAUCCCUCAUGCUGGGUAGCUUGGUUAUUGGAGCAGGGAGGUAUAGCAACCCCCGAUCCUUUAUGGCCUCGUACACCUCGUCCAGGGACAUCUUCAAGGAAGUGUACCGCCCAUAGUCCUAGUUCUGGUCGAUCAGGUGUACUGCUCUUUCUCUGUUUGCUCCGUUCUGGGUUGGGGGCGGUGGCAGUACUUCUGGUCUGCUCCCUCUGCUACCGUGGGAGUGUUGAUGAGCACCAUAUGAUGAAUCAUGCCUUCUCCAAGGCUCCCUAGCUGUGGAACGAGGAGGCUGCGCCCUGCUGCGCUGAUACUGUGGUGGGCUCUGAUGAGGCUGGUAAGCAAUUACCCGACCUCCUGCUCCAUUACCCGAGGCCUGGUGGUCCCUCCUCCUGAUCGGCCCAUUCCCCGGUAAUGCUUUCUUCUCUUUCCUCCCCAACCCUUCUAACUGGUCUAUCUUAAUUCGUGCUGCCUUCUCCUCUUCAAUCUCAAUGUCUCUCUUAGCCUGCUCGUAUGCGGCCGCAUACGUCUGGAUAGCUGGGCUUCUCAAAUUGUACCACAGCCUUCCUAUCUUCACCCUUUCUUUCAAUCCCCUUAACGCCUGAGGGUGGUUGAAGGCUCCCAAGUCGAGGACAGCCCGAUGAAACCUCUUGAUGAAUUCCCGAAGGGUUUCUUGCUCCCCCUGUUUCAUGCUUUUCAGCUCCAUCAUGUCAUCUUCUGGGGCCAUUGCCCCACUAAACUGCUCUGCGAAUUCCUGGCACAUCUGCUCGAAGGUUUUAAUGCUGCCCCGAGGAAGUUUCCUGUACCACUCGCGUGCACGUCCCUCCAGGGAUAGUGGAAACACCCUGCACCUUUGGGGCUGAGAUAAUCCUUGUACCCCCGUUAUGUCAUUGAAGCGUUCUAUGUGCACCAGCGGAUCAGUUCGUCCCGAAUAUCUAAGGUCCGGGAGACGGAAAUCCCUCGGAAUAAUUGCCCUCAUGAUCUCUGCUGCGAGCAGUGAUUCUCCGUCCAGCAUUAUCCUCCAACCAGGAGCUCUGCUCCUUCCUUGCAUAUCGUCAAUUAUCUGCGCUAGUCUGCGCACUUCCUCCUCCAGCUGUACUGCACGACCAGGGUCACGUGCUGCAACUUGAUCCCUCUCUUGCUCUACAUCAUGCAAGUGUUGCCUCAACUCUGUUUCUUCUGCAUUCGCCACCCCGUCGUCCUCGUAAAAAAUCUGUCUUGCCGGGGAUUGCUCUUCUUCUCUAUGAAAUUCUCCCCGUAGAGGUAUGUUACCUCUCUCACCACUAAAUCUCCCGGUGGUUUGACUUCUCCUCGUACCAUCGGGACCUGGUGUCACUCCACCACCUCUCACCAUUUCCUCCUGGGUUACCCUUCGUUCACUCCGCAACUCAUGCAGGAUGGUUGUCAGGGUCUCCAUCUGCUUUUCCAUCCGUUCCAUCCGGUCGAACAUGGCUUUUUCCCGUGCUUCGCUGGCUAUCUCCCUCAGCGUUACAGAAUCGUUAAGCCUCAUAUCACCCCCUUGUGCACUACUUCCUCCUGCCUCCAUUGCUUUUCACUUGCUUCACUCCUCUUCUUGCUAUCAACAGAAGCUUUUUGCUCAGCUCCCCACAGACGGCGCCAAAAUGUUGAUGCGAGAUUCUGGUUACACUCUUCCGGCUACCAGGACAUCUGCUCAAUCAACCUCACCUCGACCAGGAUCUCUCCUCGUAUGCUUUCUUCUCCAAGUACUCCUGCGUUCACAGAAACAAGUCAGAGCACGCCGGUUGUUUUCCCGGCGUAAACCCUCCGACGCUCAAGUCAGAUAUGAAGGCUUUGGGAACGCUUGCCACAGAUCUUAUGGCUUUGGAAAUAGUUUUCUCUUCUUUUCAAUUUCCUUAAUCUCUAUUCUAAUCUCGAAAUUGCUAACCCUUUUACCUUCGCUGGCUACCUUUUUAUAGGCCACUUCUGAGCCCAAGCCUUUUUCCCUUUGCGCUCGUCAUCCUCCCACUUCUCGAAAGUGGAUGCUCCAUUUCUGUAGUCGUGGGUGGUUGCGUGGCCCUCGUGCCUAGAUUCUCAGACUGGAAAGCAUGCCACGCCAACUGUCGUUGACCGGGUCUUCUCGAAUCAACCCUUAGCAGGAAUACAGCAGGAAUGGCUUCAGGCUUCUUACAGGAGAUUGGCCUCGCGGAUGACGUGCUCGUGGACGAGCAGGGUAUUCCUGCUCCUGCUCCUGCUCCCCCGGAUGCCAGGCUCUUACGGGACCCAUCGGCUCGCAGAACUCUACCAUCAGAUAUCUGCUCAUCAUGCCUGGUCUCGUCGACGUAUUUCUCCCAAACACUUACCACAUAUAUGUCACCUUUCAAUCAAUUGUUGAAAAAUUCAAAUUUGGAAUUCAAAUACAUGCAUUCAAAUUUGGAACACUUUGAACGGUCCGAUUCAAAACUUCAUAUUCCAAUUAUAUUCAUAAGACAAAUGGAACACUUUGAACGGCUUGUGUCCGAGCAUUGUAGUUUGAUUUAUUUUGAUGACAUUACCUUUUGACAUUGAGAUUCUUUCAGGAUUUAAACAUUCUUUUUAAAACCAAAUUAUUAAAAAAAAAUAACUAACAUAUAUUAUUUUAUUAGUGCUUUUUAAAUCAAAUAUACAUAGGAGAACUGUAAUUCUUAGCAAUCAAUUUUCCACUAAAUACACCUGCAACAAACUAUUAAUAACAAAGUGAUAGAAAAUACCUGAUUUUUCAUACUUUCUAAUUUCUUUUGGUCCUAAAAUAUGGGCAUUUGUGUAAUAAUAAGCCCAUGUGGAUCUCUAUGCCAUGAGUUUGAUAAAUAGCUAUCAAGGAUCACUUAUUAAGCUAAAAAUAUUUGGAGGACAAAAUUGUAAAACUAAAAGGGUGGAGCAAAUAUGGCUAUCUAGGAUUAAAUAGUAAGUCAACUAUAUUUAAAGGAUAAAAUAUUAAAACUUGAAUUGUGAUAUUAAAAAUAUCUCAACUAUUAUAUUAUUAAACCAUAUGUUCUAAUAGUUUUUUUUUUAAGCUUCAAAAUGUUCAGGAUUUUAGAUUGAAACAUUUUCAAUUGAAAUAAUUUGGUGCAGUCACAAGUUAAGAAAGAAAAAGUUGUCCCAUUGGUCAUUUCACAAAAAUGAAAGCCCUGUAUAACAUGGACGUGAAUGGAAACCCAAUUGUUUGUGUUUGAUUAAUUGAUUUCAAGCUUUAUCUAACCUUUGGACCUGGAUACUUUACUGCGGCCUCUAAGCGCUAUAAAUUUUUUUGGGGAUAAACGGCGCUUCAAUGAGGGCAUCUCCAAUGCUUAACACCAUUUUGGUGUAACACCAACAUUAAAAAUAUACAUUUUUCACACUAAAUUACUAUUUCAUCUCCAACCCAUUUACACCAAAUUUUACACCAAAAAUAAUAUUUUUUUUAUUCUUUUAAUUCUCAAGAAUUAAUUCAAUUAACACAAUAAAUACUACUAUUAACAUAGAUAAUUAAGUAAUAAGUAAUUUUAUCAAUUAACAAAAAAAAUAGAAAAUUAUUAAAUUUGCAUUUAAUUAACUAAAUUAGUACAUUAUGAAAAUUAAACAUUACAUUAAUAUAGAAAAAUACAAUAAAAAUAAUAAUAAUUUUAUAUCUAAUAUUUUGAUGAUAUUGGAGGAUCUAAUAAUGAUCUUCCAGAUUAUUAAAUAAUUGUUCUAAUUUAUACUAGUAGUAGUAGCUUUUUUAAUUUGUGUUAAUUUAAUUUUGUAAUAUGUAAUAUAGUAAUUAAUGUUAUUGGCAUUUUAUUUUUAUUAUUAAUUUUUGUGUUGAAUUUUUUUAUUUAAAAUAUUAGUAUAAUAUUAAAAAAUUAAAAAUGAAAUAAAUAAUAACAAAAAUAAUAAUAAUAACUUAAAAUAUUAUAUAAAAAAGGACAUAUAUGUAAAUAAGAAAAAGUAAUAAAGAUAUUUAGGACUCUUUUUUCCUAGCACCAAAUGAAUAGUGUUACACCAUAUUUGGUGCAAUACUAUUCAUAACACCAAUUUGCUGUUCGUUUUGAUGUUACAUUGGAGAAGCAUUUUACACAAAAAAUGGUGUAAAAGGUAGUUUGGUGUUAGUUUUGGUGUCACAUUGGAGAUGGCCUGGAAAAACACUUGAAAACUUUGGAUUUUUGGUUCGUCCAGUUACGGUGUUAUGCUAAUGGGGUUAAAAGUUCCGAUCCAAUGAGUUAGGAUGGAAUAUGAAUAUAUAAAUUCCAUAGCAUGUAAGGACUAGGAUUUGUUUGUUCAUAUCAAGAAAAAAAAGAUCCGAAAAUUUGAUGAUCAGAAGAUGAAGACACGUUUAUUACAGAGAAACAAACGACAACAUGAUACUAGUAGUAGUUAUUCUUUUCAUCCGAUAUAUUACAUGGUAAUAUCACUACUCGUUCCACUGGUUUCAUAUACACCAUCGAUCAGCAACAUGAUAAUUUUGUGUCAGUUCAUUUUGUUUGUAGGAAAGAGCAGUGUAUUUCUUAGAGCUUGAAAAUAAUAAAAAGAUUUUAAAAUAUAAAUUGCAUAUUUGUUUAUUACAGUUGUUUGGUCUAAUUUCUUAUGUAGAAUUGCUUGUCAUUCUUUGGACGUUAUUGAUUAUAUUUUUGUCAGACUUGGCGUAUAUAUUCACACAUACGUUUUAUUUUGUCAUUUUGUAGAACAUUUUUACACGCCAUAUUAUCACGACUCUUCUCUGUCUGAAUAAGAAGAAAGCAUAAUGCGACCCUCCAAUAGCUUAAUCUAUGGAAUUAUCGUGUUUUGUAAGUUGAGGUCCAAUGGCGUUUUGGCACAUCAUAUGAUAGCCCACUAUAUUGCGUUGCUUUACAAAAGAUUAAUAUUUUGAAAAUUAUUAGGUAAGUUUAGGCUCAGUGGCACUUUAACUCAUGAUAUGAUUGUCCAGGUUUUCGAGGACCACUAUAUUCUAUUGAUUUAAAAAAAAUUAAUAUUUUUUAAUAUUAAUAUUCUAAAUUAUAUUCAGUUCAAAUAUUAAAUAUUAAAUACAUUCUUAAUAUUAAUAUUCUUAGAUGAAAUUCUUUUGCUGACUUAAGAAUAAAAUAUUAAAUAAUUUUAUUUUUCUUUUAUUCUGUAACGUGGACCCAAUAAAAAAAGGAAAUGAAUUUAAUAAAACCUUCAUUCAAAAUCUUCAUUCCGCCACCAUGCAUGUUAAUUGUUUCCAAAUUCCAACCUCCGUACUCUCUUGAGGAGUUUCCCAUUCAUCAAUUAUUAUUUUUUAUAAUCCAUACCAUCCUGAUAUAAUUAAACACCAUUAAUAAUGUACCAACCUUUAAAUAGUAAUUAAUUUAUUUAUCUAAUUCACCAAAUGUUUUUUCCGGUACAUAUCUCCAUUGGUAUCAAGAAGAAGCAGAACCCAAAGAAAUGUUUCUUGCAUCUUCAUAUUUGUGCGAAUUCAUCCUUUCAUUGAGAAUAACCAUUUCCAGGCAGCAGUUGGCAAUCAAUUCAUGCGCACGUCGAUGCUAUUCAUAGAUACUAAAGACAAUGAUGAACCAAAGGUGAUAAAUCAUAAAUGCAUAAUUACCAAACCUCCAUCCUUCUCUCAUUAUGAUUUGAUUUUAAAUGAAUUAUUGCUUGGUAACAUUAUUUCCAACCAUUGCAAGACCUUUUUUUUGGAGAAAUUUCAAUUGAAAGUGAAACCUUUAGACAUUUACCUAAUGAAGUUAGUUAAUCGGGAGGGUCGGAAAAAAAAAGUUGACGCAAGUCAAUACACAAUAAUCAAUUAAAUCCGGAGUGACUAAAACAGAGCCACUACUUUUUAAAAAAUAUCUGCAUUAAUCACUUUCUCCAGCAACUAGUCAGCUACACACGAAUCAAUUUCUCUCCUCGUUUGUCAUCCAAAAUUAUUCACCAAUACCAUGGCUGAUGCAAUCGUUUCCACUAUCUUGGAGCAGCUGAUUUCCUUCGCUGCUGAAGAGAUAAAACAACAGGUGAUCGAAGUUUCACCCCUCAUAUUACAAAUACUUCCAAUGAUUUUAAUUGGCUUUGUUUUUAUCAAAAACAUUAUAUAUUUUUGCUUUUUUUUUAUUUAUCUGAUAAUUUUAUAUUUUGAAAUUUGAAUUGAAUUUAAUUAAAAGGUGAUGUAGUAACCACUCAUUUUUAUUUUAUUUCAUUUCUAUUCUCGAUAACUAACCAUAUUUUGGUAACUUAAUAUGACUCUCGUACAUAAGAAAUGAUCAAAACCCACAAUUUUAACUAUGUAUAAAUAUUCAACGUUGAGCUAAGGUUUUGCAGAACAUUCAAGUUUAUCAAAUAGUCAUUAAUUUAAUGUUUUAGUAAAACCUCAACUCAUCACUGAAUCCCAUAGCUAUUACUUAGACUCUAUGAAAAAUUUCAUAGUUUUCUUACAUUCUUUCAGUUUGGUAAGUGAUUUCAUAUAAUUUCUGUUCAAUAUAAAUUUUAAUUUGGUUUCUUAUAUACUCUCUUUGCUGAAUUUGUAUCUUUUAUGAUUCUUAGAUUUUGGGCUCUAACAUUUUAGGAUUUGAUAGUCACAUUUUAUGCCAUGCUUAGAUUGAUUUUCAUGAUUUUUACUACCCAUUAAGUGACUUAGAAUUUGACAAAAGUUUGAAAGGAAAUCUGCUUCAGGAUUCUGUUUUAAUUGACCUUUUAGUGGAAAUAGGAUGCUUAUAACUUAAUGUGGAUGGUUCGUAAAAUCAUGAAAUUUGGAUAGAAUUAACUAGAAAUAUGUACAAGACUCUCCAUGAAGUCUCAUAAUUUUUCAUUCGGUCUGGGGUGGUACAGGUGAAACUUGUGGUUGGUGUUGAAAAAGAAGUGAAAAGCCUUACCAGCCAUCUUCAAGCCAUUCAAGUUGUGCUCGAUGAUGCAGAGGAAAAGCAAGUGAAGGAAAAAGCUGUUAGUCUUUGGCUGGGUAGGCUCAAGUAUGCAUCCUACGACAUUGAAGAUGUGUUGGAUGAGUGGAUCACAACAAGACGCAAAUUGCAAAUUGAGGGUGGCAUUGGUGAAAAUGCUCUUGUUGUUCCUCAUAAGAAAAAGAAGGUAUGUCUCUGCUUUCCCGGCUCUUGUUUUGGAUUCAAACAAGAAGAAUUUGGUUUCAAACAAGUCUUUCUCCGUCAUGACAUUGCCGACAAGAUCAAAGAAAUCAAUGAAGAGCUACAUGAUAUUGCCGCUCAAAAAGACAUGUUUGAUCUUGUUAAGAGUGGCAAUAAAAGUAGUGAAAGACCAAGGCGUGUACAGAGUACCUUCUUGAUUGAUGAGGAAGAGAUUUGUGGCAGAGUUGGUGAGAGGAAUGAACUCUUAAGCAAGCUGUUGUGUGAGAGUAGCGAGCAACAAAAAGGCCUUCAUAUCAUCUCAAUCGUUGGUAUGGGAGGCAUAGGGAAAACAACUCUUGCACAACUAGCUUGUAAUCAUGACGAGGUGAAGAGAAAGUUCGACAAAAUUCUGUGGGUGUGUGUAUCAGAAACUUUUGAGGAGUUUAGGGUUGCCAAAGCGAUCGUUGAAGUUUUGGAUGGUCGUGAAUCUCAUUUAGCUGAAUUCCAUUCUCUUCUUCAACAUAUUUAUGAAUCCAUUGCAGGGAAGAGCUUUCUUCUUGUCUUAGAUGACGUGUGGGAUGGAAAUUACUUGAAAUGGGAACCAUUCUACCGUUGUCUAAAGAAUGGUCUCCAUGGAAGUAAAAUUUUAGUUACCACACGUAAAGGGUCAGUCGCAUCCAUGAUGGGAUCCAUAGAUAUUAUCUCCGUUAAGGAGUUAGCUGAAGAGGAAUGUUGGUUGUUGUUUAACAAGAUAGCAUUUUUUGAUCGGUCCAUCGAGGAACGUGAAAAAUUAGAACAAAUUGGGCAAAGAAUUGCAGGCAAGUGCAAAGGUUUACCUCUUGCAGCAAAGACAAUAGGGAGUCUCAUGCGUUCUAAACAAACUGAAGAAGAGUGGAAAAGAAUUUUAAAUAGUGAUUUAUGGAAAGUAGAAGAGAUUGAGAAAGAUGUUUUGUCCUCUUUAUUGUUGAGUUAUAAUGAUUUGCCAUCUAGAGUAAAAAGAUGUUUUUCAUAUUGUGCUGUCUUUCCAAAAGACUACAAUAUAGAAAAAGACAAACUAAUCACGUUAUGGAUGGCUCAAGGUUAUCUUAGUGCAGAAGAAGAUGAAGAGAUGGAGACAGUAGGUGAAGAGUAUUUUGGCAUCUUAGCUUCUCGCUCAUUUUUUCAAGAGUUUAAGAAAAGUUAUGAUAAUCGGAUUAUAGAGUGUAAGAUGCAUGAUAUGGUACAUGAUUUUGCCCGAUUUGUAAGUCAAAAUGAAUGUUUUUCGAUGGCAAUCAAUGGUAGUGAAGAACCAAACGCCACAAACUCUCUUGAUGAGAAGGUCCGUCAUUUAAUGUUAAUCUUUAGUAUAGAGGCUUCAUUACCUGUUUCCACUUGUAGAGUUAAAAGAAUUCGUAGCCUCUUAAUUAACGAUAGUAGAUCUGAUCAUUCAUUAUUAAAUGGUGAGAUCCUAGAAGAAUUAUUUAGGGAAUUGACAAGUUUAAGGGCAUUAGAUUUUUGCAAAUCGUAUAACGCAAGUUGGUCUUCGACUCUGGAGAUUCCGAGAAACAUAGAAAAGCUGGUACAUUUAAGAUACCUUAAUUUGUCUUAUCAGGGAAUAAAGAAACUACCGGAGACAUUAUGCGAGUUGUAUAAUCUAGAAAAGUUAGAUAUUAGUUAUUGUUAUAAGCUAGAAGAAUUACCUGAAGGGAUUGGGAAGUUAAUAAACAUGAAGCAUUUACGAAAUAGAGGUACUAGUUCUUUAAGGUACAUGCCAGUAGGGAUUGGGAGAUUAACGGGUCUUAGGACCUUGGGUGAGUUCCACGUGAGUGCAGGAGGAGGUGUUGAUGGUAGGAAAGCAUGUAGGCUUGAAUCUCUUAAAAACUUGGAACACCUUCAAGUAUGUGGUAUAUGUAGACUGGGUGAUGUAUCAGAUGUGGGCGAGGCUAAGCGAUUAGAACUUGACAAAAAGAAAUACCUCUUCAGUUUGACCCUCGAGUUUGAUAAGACGGAAAGAGGAGGAGAAAGGAGGAAGAACGAGGACGAUCAACUUCUUCUUGAAGCCUUGCGACCACCCCUGGAUUUAAAGGAAUUAGAGAUACGGUACUACCGAGGCAACACUGUUUUCCCCAGCUGGAUGGCGUCAUUAACCAACUUAAAGAGUUUACAUCUCCAUAGGUGCGAAAAUUGCGAGCAGCUGCCUCCUUUGGGAAAAUUGCCGUCCCUUGAAAAUCUCUACAUAUGGCGCAUGGAGAGUGUGAAGAGAGUGGGUGAUGAAUUUUUGGGGAUAGAAAGUGAUCAUCAUGACUCAUCGUCAUCUUCAUCAGUUACUAUUGCCUUCCCCAAAUUGAAAUCACUCACAAUUUAUUCGAUGCUGGAAUUGGAGGAGUGGGAUUAUGAGAUUACAAGAACAGGAAACACCGUCAUCAACAUCAUGCCACGUCUUUCUUCCUUGACAAUUGUUGAUUGCACCACAUUAAAGGCACUGCCCGACCACAUUCAUCAAACGACAACGUUGAAGGAAUUGAGCAUUUUUAUGUGUUGGCUUCUGAACAAACGUUACCGCAAGGGGAAAGGAGAAGACUGGCCUAAAAUAUCACACAUUCCCAACCUCCGUAUUGGGCUUUGACAAGUAAUUUCUUCUCUCACUCUGAUUUGCUUUGUUGUUGUUUUUAAUCUAAUUAAGAAGCGAAAAUAGCAUUUUGAAUCAAACUCUAUAUCAGAAAUCUGCAAUACUUACUUUCUAAUAUUCUGAUUUUCAUAUCCUAUGAAUAUACGAUUUUUAAUUUGUGAGAUGGGUAACGUUACUGUAAAAGAUUAUUAAUGCAAUAUGAGUAAUUCUUUUGCAGGACAAGUGACCUACAUUUAGUUUGGCUUUGGAGUUGAAUAAUAACCUUUCGUGGUCCCGACAACCAAAAAACAAAGCUUAAUUUGCCACAGAUUGAACGUAUUGCCAUUAUUGACAAUUUUCUGCACAAGCGUGACUGAACUUAGGUUGAUGUCAAAAGAGGUAAAUUAUUGGCAUGCCUGACUAUUUUGACCAUUACAUGAUUCAUAAGUUUACAUUAAUUUUGAUUUUGAGUUGAGUGAUUAGUUUUCUAGGUUUGCUUACUUUAACUGGGUGACCAAUUUCUUGUAACUAAAUGUAUGAUGUGAUGCAGGAAGCAGGGCAGGAUAUGAAAAGAGAAGCUUAUUAGAGGAAGGAUUGCCAGUAACAGAAUCCAAAGAAAAAGAAACCAUUUCGAGGCAGCUGUUGGCAGUUGGCAGUGAAUGGAGCCCCUUGAAAAAAUUCCCAGGCCGUUGCACUGCAAUUACGAUCAUCCUCGGCCUCAGGUAAUUUCUUCUCCUGCAUUUUUGUUAUUUGCUAUCAAGUGACUAUUUUAAGUAUGAUUGCAUUAAGCUUCUGCUGGGAAAUUUGAGGUUUUGAUGACUGCCCAUGCUAUUGUCAGAAGCUGCGGUUCUUUUCAUCAGCCUGAACCUGGACCUGCCGCUAUGGAUAACUCAGGUUUUUUUUUUUUUUUUAAUCAACUGCCAUCUUUUCCACUGUUUAGAAACUCUUAAGAUUAAACUUUAGUAAAGUUGUUUUAGUUAUCCAUGUAAUCAGGCUGAGGAUACUUAGCUGCCUAUUUAGGCAAAUGUCAGAAUUUAGUUUGUUCGCUGGGAACUGGUGUGGACUGGCAAAGGAUGAUGAGAUAGUUUUUUGAGUGAGUAAAUUUUGGGAGCUUGAGUGUAUUGGGAUUUGCAAUUACAAUCAUCGUCUGCCUCAGGUGAUUUCUUCUCCUGCUCUGUCAUUGUUUGUUCUCUAAUUCAAAAGCAUAAAAUAUUUCAAUCAAUUUUUAUGCCAGGAAUAUGCAAAAGUUUCUAAUAUUUUAUUUCCAUCUGUUACAAGAUCAAACUGAAGCAGAACUCAAACAAAAGUAUGCUACUUCUUGCGGAAAUCUUGCCUUUGUUCAGAUUAUGAAACCAUUUCCAUGCAGCAAAUUCAUCCAAAAGUUUGAAUAAGUUUCAUGGUUGGACACUGUUGGCUUCUUUUUCUUCUGGGGUGCAUUUAGGUGCUAUCAAGUGACAGCUGUAAGUAUGAUUGCACUAAGCUGCCGCUGGGAAAUUUGAGGUUUUGAUGGCUGCCCAUGUUAUUUUCAAGAAACUAUUGAUGUAAGAAGCUGUGGUUCUUUUCAUCAGCUUGAACCUGAAACUGUCGCUAUGGAUAACUCAGGUUUUUGUUAUCAACUAUAUCAUCUUUUUCACUAUUUUGAAACUCUUAAGAUUAAACUUUAGUAAAGUUGUUUCAGCUAUUCAAAUGAAAAACUCAUUGAUUUGAGACUUCCUUCAUUAUUGUUUCUAAUUACAAUGCUAACGAUCCAGAUAAAAUAAUAUUUAAUCGGCGAAGGUGUCCCUUGGAAGUACAUCCUUCUUUUUCUUUUAUUAUAUAAAUUCUUGCAAUGAGCUUAGUGAAGCUGUUGUGCUAAUCAUGCCACUGCAUAAUUUGGCCCCUAAUGUGGGUACUCUGUUACAUUGUUCUGCAAAUUCUCCAGAAGUUAAAAUCAAUAAAUUUUCUAUUAGCUCUAGUGCUUUGACCUAAAUGCCAUUCUAUAUUUUGAUUACAAUGUUUUAACCUUUAAAUUAACUACCCCUAGAUGUUGGAUUUUCUAGAACUUCAAAAUGAUUAAUGGAGAAAGAUCCCAUUAUCGUUAUUGCUAUAAGAAAUUGAUUUAUGCAUCCAAAGAUACAUUAUAUAUUUCUGUGUCUCUAUUUGUAGAUGACAUUUAAGCAUCCAUAAACCGUCAGACAGAGGAAGGGGGUUCAGUGCAAAGAUUCUGUUGACCUAGGGUUGACUGCAUAAUGUCACUUGUUCGCAAUCUAUUAUUUAUUUUAUAUUUUGAAGAAUUUAAUGGGUAAUCCUAAUUGUUUGUUUUGGCAGGUAUGUGUUGUUAUCUCCUUCUAUCUAACAGUCGUACCUAAAUAGCAUAGUUUCAUCUGUGUUACCAUGUGAUGUACAUAAUUUCACAUUUGCCUCAGAUUAAGCUUAAUUUCCCACAGAAUAGAGCUGUCGCGACUGGACUUAGGUUGAUGUCCAAAGAGGUAAAUUAUUGGCAUGCCUAGAUAAUUUGGCCAUUUCCUAAUUCAUAAGUCUACAUUAAUUUUGAUUUUGAGUUGACUGAUUUCUUUUCAAGGUCUGCUUCCUUAACGGAGUGACCAAUGUUUUUCAACUAAAUUUAUCAUAUGAUGCAGGAAGCAGGGCAGGAUAUGAAAUGAGAAGCUCAUUGGUGGAAGUAUUGCCAGUAACAGAACCCAAAGAAAAUGAAACUAUUUCAAGGCAGCAGUUGGCAGUUGCAAGUGAAUGGAGGCCCUGACAAAAUUCUCAAGCGGUUGCAAUGCAAUUACGAUCAUCCUCAGCCUCAGGUAAUUUCUUCUCCUGCUCUGUUUUUAUUUGUUAUCUAAUUAAAAAGCAUAAAGUAUCUUGAAUCACUUUCUGUAUCUGGAACAUAUGCAGCAGUUUCUAAAAUCUUCAUAUGAGUGUAAUGAUGGUAAUUUCUGUUUUUUGUCUGUCAUUGAAUGUUAGACAACUUUCAGUGAGACUCUUGAACCGAGACAUUUUUGACAAAUGAAGGACAAUUGCUGAAGAGUGGGAAUGGUGCUAGAUUGGGGAAUAAAGACAAAGGAGGUAAAUUAUUUGCAGUUUAUUCAGCAUUAUUUGCUUUGGACCAGCGCCUGAUUCACAAGUCUCCAUAAUUUGGCUUUUGACCAGUUGUUAAUAAAUUUUUUAUUCCAUUGGUGCUAAAUGUACACGUGAAGCAGGCAGAGCAGGACUGUGGAAAUGAGAAGGUUUUUAGUGAAAGCUUAAACUCAGGUAAUUCUAAAAAGUACAUGUUUUUGCUGAUUUAUCUAAAUCAGGAAAUUUUAUUUCCAUCUGUUACAAGAUAAAACAGAAACAGAACACAAAGAAAAAUAUUCUACUUCUUGUGGCAAUCUUGCCUUCAUUCAGACAAUGAAACCAUUUCCUUUCACCAAUUUCUUCCAAAAGUUUGAAUAAGUUUCAUGGUUGGACAUAGUUAGCUUCUUUUUCUUUUGGUGCAUUUAGGUCCUAUCAAGUGACAGCCAUAAGUAUGAUUGCAUUAUUGGGAAAUUUUAGGUUUUGAUGGCUCCCCACGUUAUUGCCAAGAAAGUCCUCAUGUCAAAAGCUGCGGUUCUUUUCAUCAGCCUGAACCCGAACCUGUCGUUAUGGAUAACUCAGGUUUUUGUCAUCAACUAUAUCAUCUUUUUUACUGUUUUGAAACUCUUAAGAUUAAACUUCAGUAAAGUUGUUUCAGUUAUCCAUGUAAUCAGGCCAAGGAUAUUUAGCAGCUUAUUUAGGCAACUGCCAGAAUUCAGUUUGUUUGCUCGAAACUUGUAUGGUGACAAGGAUACUGGCAAGGAUAGUGAGAUAGUUUUUUGUGUGAGUGAAAUUUGAAAGCUUGGGUGUUCUGGGAUUUGCAAUUGCAAUCAUCCUCUGAGUCAGGUGAUUUCUUCUCCUGCUCUGUCUUGAUUUUCUCUCUAAUUGAAAGCAUAAAGUAUUUCAAUCAAAUUCUGUACCAGGAGUACAUAAAAGUUACUAAUAUUUUAUUUCCAUCUGUUUGCAUUGAUAACUCGGCAUAUGUUCUAGUUAAAGAACAAACAGAAACAGAGUUCAGGAAAAAGUUUCUUCGGCCACCAUAUUUGAAAAUGAAACCAUUUCCAGGAAGCAGUUGGCAGCAAAUUCAUAUGGAGUGUAGACAAUGAUGAGCAAAAAGGUGAUUCGCAAUUUCUUUUUUUUUUAAGUGAAAUUAUUUGUUAGAUUGAAGCUGAUAUUGUAAGAAGGCCAUUGAGCUAACCUAUGUCGUCACUUGCCUAGAUUGCAGGGGGUCAAGACUCAAAAGAAGCACUGAAAUUUAAAAAGCAUGGAAUAGUUCUUUUGCCAUGUGUCAAUUAAUGCAAGUUUGAAUAAGUUUAUUGGCUGAACGAUGUUAGCUUCUUUUCCUUUCGUGCACUUUGGUAUGCUAUCAAGUGACAGCCGUAUGUAUGGCUUGCAUAUAGCUGCUGCUGGGAAAAUUGACGAUUUCAUGGCUGGCCGUGUUAUUGUCUUAAAUUAGUUGUGAUAAGCUGUUGCUUGGAGAUUCUGUUGCCAAGACUUUGCUCACAUCAGAAGCUGUGGAAUCUGAACCCUUCGUUAUGUAUCAUCUUUUUCAUUGUUUUAAAACUCUCAGGAUUAAACUUGAGCGAAUUUGUUCGGUUGUCUAUAUAAUCAUGUAUUGAGUAAACUCUCAGGAUACUGAGGGUGAGAGAAAUUAGAGGGUGUAUAGGGAUUUGGAUUUGUUAGGAAGUUAUCAUUUUUAUUUUUAUUUUUAUUUUUUUCCCAGAAAAUCUUCUGGUGGUGCUAUAUUUUCAAACGACAGUCCGAUUCAAAACUUGAUAUUCCAAUUAUAUUCAUAAGCUUCUACAGUUAUCUUCAAAAAGACAAAUGGAAGGCUUUGAACGGCUUGGGUCUGAGUAUUGUAGUUUGAUUUAUUUUGAUGAAAGUACCUUUUGACAUUGAGAUUCUUUCAUGAGUUAAACAUUCUUUUUAAAACCAACUUAUUAAAAAAAAAAAGUAACUAACAUAUAUUAUUUUGUUAGUGCUUUUUAAAUCAAAUAUAAAAAAGAGAACUGUAAUUCUUAGCAACCAAUUUUUCACUGAGUACACCUACAACAAACUAUUAAAAAAUAAAGUGAUAGAAAAUGCCUGAUUUUUCGUACUUUCUAAUUACUUUUGGUCCUAAAAUAUGGCAAUUUGUGUAAUAAUAAGCCCAUGUAUAUCUUUAUGCCAUUAGUUUGAUAAAUAGCUAUCAAGGAUAACUUAUUAAGCUAAAAAUAUUUGAAGGAUAAAUUGAUUUAUGCAUCCAAAGAUACAUUAUAUAUUUCUGUGUCUCUAUUUAUAGAUGACAUUUAAGCAUCCAUAAACCGUCAGACAGAGGAAGGGGGUUCAGUGCAAAGAUUCUGUUGACCUAGGGUUGACUGCAUAAUGUCACUUGUUCGCAAUCUAUUAUUUAUUUUAUAUUUUGAAGAAUUUAAUGGGUAAUCCUAAUUGUUUGUUUUGGCAGGUAUGUGUUGUUAUCUCCUUCUAUCUAACAGUCGUACCUAAAUAGCAUAGUUUCAUCUGUGUUACCAUGUGAUGUACAUAAUUUCACAUUUGCCUCAGAUUAAGCUUAAUUUCCCACAGAAUAGAGCUGUCGUGACUGGACUUAGGUUGAUGUCCAAAGAGGUAAAUUAUUGGCAUGCCUAGAUAAUUUGGCCAUUUCCUAAUUCAUAAGUCUACAUUAAUUUUGAUUUUGAGUUGACUGAUUUCUUUUCAAGGUCUGCUUCCUUAACGGAGUGACCAAUGUUUUUCAACUAAAUUUAUCAUAUGAUGCAGGAAGCAGGGCAGGAUAUGAAAUGAGAUCUCAUUGGUGGAAGUAUUGCCAGUAGCAGAACCCAAUGAAAAUGAAACUAUUUCAAGGCAGCAGUUGGCAGUUGCAAGUGAAUGGAGGCCCUUGACAAAAUUCUCAAGCGGUUGCAAUGAUGGUAAUUUCUUCUCCUGCUUUGUAUUUAUUUGUUAUCUAAUUAGGAAGCGUGAAGUAUCUUGAAUCAUUUUCUGUAUCUGGAAUAUAUGCAAGAGUUUCUAAAAUUUUGAUAUGAGUGUAAUGAUGGUAAUUUCUGUUUUCUGUCUGUCAUCAAAUGUUAGAAAACUUUCAUUGAGACCCUUGAACCGAGUCAUUUUUGACAAGUGAAGGACAAUUGCUGAAGAGUGGGAAUGGUGCUAGAUUGGGGAAUAAAGACAAAGGAGGUAAAUUAUUUGCAGUUUAUUCAGCAUUAUUUGCUUUGGACCACCGCCUGAUUCACAAGUCUCCAUAAUUUGGCUUUUGACCAGUUAAUAAAUUUUUAAUUCCAUUGGUGCUAAAUGUACACGUGAAGCAGGCAGAGCAGGACUGUGGAAAUGAGAAGGUUUUUAGUGAAAGCUUAAACUCAGGUAAUUCUAAAAAGUACAUGUUUUUGCUGAUUUAUCUAAAUCAGGAAAUUUUAUUUCCAUCUGUUACAAGAUAAAACAGAAACAGAACACAAAGAAAAAUAUUCUACUUCUUGUGGCAAUCUUGCCUUCAUUCAGACAAUGAAACCAUUUCCUUUCACCAAUUUCUUCCAAAAGUUUGAAUAAGUUUCAUGGUUGGACAUAGUUAGCUUCUUUUUCUUUUUGGUGCAUUUAGGUCCUAUCAAGUGACAGCCAUAAGUAUGAUUGCAUUAUUGGGAAAUUUUAGGUUUGGAUGGCUCCCCAUGUUAUUGCCAAGAAAGUCCUCAUGUCAGAAGCUGCGGUUCUUUUCAUCAGCCUGAACCCGAACCUGUCGUUAUGGAUAACUCAGGUUUUUGUCAUCAACUAUAUCAUCUUUUUUACUGUUUUGAAACUCUUAAGAUUAAACUUCAGUAAAGUUGUUUCAGUUAUCCAUGUAAUCAGGCUAAGGAUAUUUAGCAGCUUAUUUAGGCAACUGCCAGAAUUCAGUUUGUUUGCUCGAAACUUGUAUGGUGACAAGGAUACUGGCAAGGAUAGUGAGAUAGUUUUUUGUGUGAGUGAAAUUUGAAAGCUUGGGUGUUCUGGGAUUUGCAAUUGCAAUCAUCCUCUGAGUCAGGUGAUUUCUUCUCCUGCUCUGUCUUGAUUUUCUCUCUAAUUGAAAGCAUAAAGUAUUUCAAUCAAAUUCUGUACCAGGAAUACGUAAAAGUUACUAAUAUUUUAUUUCCAUCUGUUUGCAUUGAUAACUCGGCGGCAUAUGUUCUAGUUAAAGAACAAACAGAAACAGAGUUCAGGAAAAAGUUUCUUCGGCCACCAUAUUUGAAAAUGAAACCAUUUCCAGGAAGCAGUUGGCAGCAAAUUCAUAUGGAGUGUAGACAAUGAUGAGCGAAAAGGUGAUACGCAAUUUCUUUUUUUUUUUUUUUAAGUGAAAUUAUUUGUUAGAUUGAAGCUGAUAUUGUAAGAAGGCCAUUGAGCUAACCUAUGUCGCCACUUGCCUAGAUUGCAGGGGGUCAAGACUCAAAAGAAGCACUGAAAUUUAAAAAAGCAUGCAAUAGUUCUUUUGCCAUGUGUCAAUUAAUGCAAGUUUGAAUAAGUUUAUUGGCUGAACGAUGUUAGCUUCUUUUCCUUUCGUGCACUUUGGUAUGCUAUCAAGUGACAGCCGUAUGUAUGGCUUGCGUAUAGCUGCUGCUGGGAAAAUUGACGAUUUCAUGGCUGGCCGUGUUAUUGUCUUAAAUUAGUUGUGAUAAGCUGUUGCUUGGAGAUUCUGUUGCCAAGACUUUGCUCACAUCAGAAGCUGUGGAAUCUGAACCCUUCGUUAUGUAUCAUCUUUUUCAUUGUUUUAAAACUCUCAGGAUUAAACUUGAGCGAAUUUGUUCGGUUGUCUAUAUAAUCAUGUAUUGAGUAACCUCUCAGGAUACUGAGCAGGCAAAUGUUAUAACUCGGUUUGUUAGCCAAAAACUUGUUGAAGAUUCUUGACAAAGCUGCAUCAAGUGAAUUGUCGGAGCUCUGAGGGUGAGAGAAAUUAGAGGGUGUAUAGGGAUUUGGAUUUGUUAGGAAGUUAUCAUUUUUAUUUUUAUUUUUAUUUUUUUCACAGAAAAUCUUCUGGUGGUGCUAUAUUUUCAAACGACAGUCCGAUUCAAAACUUGAUAUUCCAAUUAUAUUCAUAAGCUUCUACAGUUAUCUUCAAAAAGACAAAUGGAAGGCUUUGAACGGCUUGGGUCUGAG